ACAGGAACAACUUCCUGUGCCCUGUCACACACUAGUUGAAGAGACGGUUCAAUAACCUCAUCAAGUCUCCACCAUUCCCCCACUCAAUUCUUUCGAGAGAAACUUUUCCUCAAGAAAGGACCCGAUUCUUGAAACAAUCCCUUAUUGCUUUUGGAUCUGAGACAGGAGGUAUACCAAACUAUUUUGGGUGUCCUAUGAAGAUGCAUUUAUCCGCUUUGGGUUCGAGCUUAUCAGCCUGAAACUUUUUCACAUAAGCGUCGCAGCCCCAAACUUUUAAGAAAUGACAGCUUAGGUUUCUCUAAACCAUAGUUCAUACGGUGUCAUCUCAUCGGAAUUACGUGGUGCCCUAUUUAAAGUGAAUGUGGUUGUAUCUAAUGAUUAACCCAUAAACUAUCAUGGUAAUUCGAUAAGAGACAUCAUGGUAUGCAUCAUAUCCAAUAGGGUGCAGUUAUGAUGUUCGGACACACCAUCACACUAUGGUGUUCCAGGCUGUGUUAGUUGUGAAACGAUUUCCACAAUGUCUUAAUUCUGUGCCAAACUCGUAAUUCAGAUAUUCAUCUCUAUGAUCAUAUCAUAGAUCUUUUAUCCUCUUGUCAUGAUGAUCUUUCAACUUCACCCUGAAAUUACUUGAACCUUUCAAUAAUUCAGACUCGUGAUUCAUCAAGUAAAUAUACUCAACAUCUACUCAAAUCAUCUGUGAAGUAAGAACAUAACGAUAUCCAUUACAUGCCUCAGCACUCAUUGGACUGCACACAUCAAAAUGUAUUACUUCCAACAAGUUGCUUUAUAGUUCCAUUUUACUGAAAAAUGAGGCUUUCAGUCAUCUUGCCCAUGUGGUAUGAUUUGCAUGUCUCAAGUGAUUCAAAAUCAAGUGAGUCCAAACGGUCCAUUUGCAUGGAGUUUCUUCAUGCAUAUACACCAAUAGACAUGGUUCGCAUGUCUCAAACUUUUCAAAAAUGAGUGAGCCCAAAGAUCCAUCAACAUGGAGCUUCUUCAUGCGUUUUAUACCGAUAUGACUUAAGUGGCAGUGCCACAAGUAGGUGGUACUAUCAUUACUACGAACAUGUGUAUCACUACGAUCGAGAUUCAAUAAACCAUUCAUUUUAGGUGCAAGACCAUUGAAGGUAUUAUUCAAAUAAACAGAGUAACCAUUAUUCUCCUUAAAUGAAUAACUGUAUCGCGAUAGACAUAAUCCAGUCAUGUCUAUGCUCAACGCAAACACCAAAUAACAAUUAUUUAGGUUUAACACCAAUCUCGAUGGUAGAGGGAGCGUGCGAUGCUUGAUCAUAUCAACAUUGGAAACACUCCCAACACAUAUCGUCAGCUCACCUUUAGCUAGUCUCCGUUUAUUCCGUAGCUUUUAUUUCGAGCUACUAGCACUUAGCAACUGAACCCGUAUCUAAUACCCUGGUGCUACUAGGAGUACUAGUAAAGUACACAUCAACACAAUGUAUAUCCAAUAUACUUCUAUCGACUUUGCCAGCCUUCUAAUCUACCAAGUAUCUAGGGUAAUUCUGCUCCAGUGGCUGUUCCCCUUAUUACAGAAGCCCUUAGUCUCGGGUUUGGGUUCAACCUUGGGUUUCUUCACUAGAGCAGCAGCUAAAUUGCCGUUUCAUGAAGCAUCCCUUCGUGCCCUUGCCCUUCUUCAAACUAGUGGUUUCACCAACCAUCAACAAUUGAUGCUCCUUCUUGAUUUCUACUUUUGUGGUGUCAAACAUCGCGAAUAUCUCAAGGAUCAUCAUACAUGUCCCUGAUAUAUUAUAGUUCAUCACGAAGCUCUAGCAGCUUGGUGGUAAUGACUUCGGAGAAACAUCACUAUCUGAUCUGGAAGAUCAACUCCCACUCGAUUCAAAUGAUUGUUGUACUCAGACAAUCUCAGCACAAGCUCAACAAUUGAGCUUUUCUCCCUUAGUUUGCAGGCUAAGAAAAUCGUCAGAGGUCUUAUACCUCUUGACGUGGGUACGAGCCUGAAAUCCCAAUUUCAGCCCUCGAAACAUCUCAUAUGUUUCGCGACGUUUCAAAACGUCUUGGUGCCUCAACUCUAAACCGUUUAACUGAACUAUCACAUAGUUAUCAAAAUGUGUAUGUCAGAUGUUCGCAACAUCCACAGACGAUGUUCGAGGUUCAGCACACCGAGCGGUGCAUUAAGGACAUAAGCCUUCUAUGAAGCAAUGAGGACAAUCCUUAGUUUACGGACCUAGUCCGCAUAAUUGCUACUAUCAACUUUCAACUAAAUUUUCUCUAGGAACAUAUCUAAACAGUAGAACUGAAGCGCGAGCUACGAUAUAAUUUGCGAAGACCUUUUGACUAUGUUCAGGAUAAUUAAGUUCAUCUUAGGAACUCCCACUCAGAUAGACAUCCCUCUAGUCAUCUAAGUGAUUACAUGAUCCGAGUCAACUAGGCCGUGUCCGAUCAUCACGUGAGACGGACUAGUCAUCAUCGGUGAACAUCUUCAUGUUGAUCGUAUCUACCAUACGACUCAUGCUCGACCUUUCGGUCUCUUGUGUUCCGAGGCCAUGUCUGUACAUGCUAGGCUCGUCAAGUUAACCCUAAGUGUUUUUGCAUGUGUAAAACUGUCUUACACCCGUUGUAUGUGAACGUAAGGAUCUAUCACACCCGAUCAUCACGUGGUGCUUCGAAACGACGAACUUUAGCAAUGGUGCACAGUUAGGGGAGAACACAUUCUUGAAAUUGUAAUGAGGGAUCAUCUUAUUUACUACCGUCGUUCUAAGCAAAUAAGAUGUAUAAACAUGAUAAACAUCACAUGCAAUCAAAUAAUAGUGACAUGAUAUGGCCAAUAUCAUAUAGCUCCUUUGAUCUCCAUCUUGGGGCUCCAUGAUCAUCUUGUCACCGGCAUGACACCAUGAUCUUCAUCAUCAUGAUCUCCAUCAUCGUGUCUUCUUGAAGUUGUCUCGUCAUCUAUUACUUCUACUACUAUGGCUAACGCUUUAGCAAUAAAGUAAAGUAAUUACAUGACGUUUAAGUUGACACGCAGGUCAUAAAUAAAUAAAGACAACUCCUAUGGCUCCUGCCGGUUGUCAUACUCAUCGACAUGCAAGUCGUGAUUCCUAUUGUUUUAUGCGAGAUAAAUACUAAAUCUAUCCGCGUUGGCAUUUUAGGUGCGGGCGUGCCAGUAUACGAGUGUAUACGAAUUAAAACAAAAUAAAAUAAAGCACACAAAAUUAUGCGGAGAAAACUUGUAGUCUUUAUUGCUGAAGAUAUACAAAUCUCAUUUUACAUGCUCUUGGUAUAGCAUCUGACAUAUAAAAGACAAUUGCGUAAUUCUCAACUCCUAGAACCUCGAAGGGAUCUCUAGUUAAUUACAUUCAUAGCAUAUCUAUGAAAGACCUCCGAUUAAGCUGCCUCAAACGGUCAUCAUCAUUAUCAAACUCCUGGCUUCUGUCUCCAAGGCAAAAAGAAUAUGCAAACGCUCUGAGCAAAACAAUAAUCUCGCCAUGCCAAAAAUUUAUGGAUUCAUGCACCAAAUCAAACAAGGGAUAUAGAUCAAGUCUCAAAGAGAAAAUAAAGUGGAUCGUUCGGCCUCGUCGGUCACGAACAUGAUGUAUCCUGCCUCGUCGGCCAGGAAGUGUAUGUAAGUUCCGGCCUCGUCGGUCGCGGAAGAAAGUAUAUUGAGCAUGGACUUGAAGAUGAACCCUCAUCUGAUUGAGAAACAUGGUUCUGCAGAAUUUUGUCAAUGGCGUCUUGUUUAUUCCAGAGUGGGUAGCCAUGUCUUUAUUAAUAUUGGAUUAUCUCAUGAUGAGAAACCAUCCUUUGUAUAUCACGUGACCCCCUUGCUACCUCUGAAUAUAUGAUGUAUGCUGGACGAUGAUGUUGAUUCUUUUUGUACAGCUAUAUUGCUUUCCCUUGUGACUCCACACCAUGAAAUGUUUACGGCAACGAUUGAAGCGUCAGGUAGAGCCACGAAACAUCAUAACCUUCCCUUUUCCUUUUACUGAUCAAACCAUAAACAUCCGUGGUGACGACUUGAUCGCCAUGUAGAGCCACGGGAUGCCAUCAAACUGUUUUUUUGUAGAUCGGGUGAUAGAACGUCCGCGGCGACGAUUAGAUCGCCAUGUAGAGCCGCGGAUGCCGCCGAAUUCUUUCUAUAGAUCAAACAAGGAAACACCUGCGACGACGAUUAGAUCGCCAUGUAGAGCCGCGGGACACCGCCGAUUUUUGUUGUAGAUCAAACGAUGAGAUAUCCACGGCGACGACUAGAUCAUCAUGUAGAGCCGCGGGACACCGCCGAUUUUUGUUGUAGAUCAAACGAUGAGAUAUCCACGGCGACGACUAGAUCGUCAUGUAGAGCCGCGGGACACCGCCGAUUUUUGUUGUAGAUCAAACAAUGAGACAUCCUCGGCGACGAUUAGAUCGCCAUGUAAAGCCGCGAGAUGCCACAAAAAGAAGUGAACAAAGAGAAGAAAAAUAAAUAAAAGAGAUAAAUGAUCAUAUGCAACCUUCAUAUGAUUUACUCACCAUAUGGCUGUGCCAUCGACGCCGGCCACGGAGGGAAACGCCAGACGAGAAAUGAAGAUGUGUGUAUGUGUGAGUGCUGGGAUGGAGAUGAUACGAAGUGUGUGUGUGUGUGUGUGUUGAAUGGUGGUGAGAUGAGCGUGUAAAUGGUGCGCGCGUUGUGAGUGAGCUGAACCCCCUUUGCAGUCACUAGAGCAGCCCUUUUAUAGCAUCGUCUCCACCGGCGAAUAGAUAAAAAGAUAAGUACGAGAGAUUAGCAUCGUCGCCGCUGCCGUUAGUACUUAGUAACAAACCAUAUCUUAUCUCUAGUCUCUCGGUGUUGUUGAACCGAGAAAACAACAAACUCUUGGCCAAUACUUAUCUCUUCGUGGAUCUAGUCAAGUCCAAUUGAUUUAGCUUUUUUUAUCUCCAGCCGCUACACACCUUGCUUUGUACCAGUUUAAAUAUAUACGCGUCCAACUAGCCGGUGGCAUCGUACAAGAUUUCAUUCACGUUAUACGCACCAGACGUUUUUGCUGGGAUAGCUGCUGAUCAGUGGGUCCGUGCAUGCACAUAUGGUUCAUUCUAUUGGCAAACUGGCUGAUCCAAUAAACGAUUUGACCCAUACAAGUGAAUAUGCGUCAACGUGACUAGACCAGAUAAUUAUUAAAUAUAUAUAUUUGCCUCGCAUGAUGAGAGAAAAAAAAAUGGAGUCAAACAAAUGCCCCUCGCCAAGUUGAGUUCAAAUGCGAAGCAAUUUGGACUUAACUUGGCGAAAUAUUUCCAUACCUCAUCUGGAAAAGCCAAUCUCAACUGUCCGAGAUAACUGAGACACCCAAACCAUCGUAGAGACUCAAAGCCUCCUUUAGAUCCGCAACAACUCAGCCAACCUGCAGAUUCUAUAUCAACAACCAUCAUUAUCUUAAACUGACUGUACUAUAAAUACCCAUGCACUCCUCGGCUCAGCCCUUAAAACUUUUCUCCCAAGUUCCUGGUAUACGCAGCCGCACCCCAAUCCACGCAGCAGAACAAGGCUUCCUCCAUCGUAACUCUCAGGUAAAGCUGAAUAUCUUGUUUUUGCAAUUGCUUUCUCUCUCCUUUUAAUAGAUUAUAUAUGGGUGCUAGCAUUGUCAGCUAGCAAUCUUCUGUAAAACGAUCUAUACUAGAUUUCAGCCAAACUGCAGUUGAAGGCGGAAAAAAAGUAGAGUUGACAAUGCAAACUUCUUGAUUGGUUAAAGGCCACGGUUGCUCACUAGGCGGCUUUGCAUAGAGCGAUCAAGCUAAAACAGAUCUUACGCCAAGUACAGCCACAGCUGUAAUUCGCCCGUGGACAGGGGCGUCGUCUGCUGUACUUUGUAUGUAGUAGUCUUCGUUAGGCUGAGUCGAAGGGACAGUUGACAAGAGAUAGCAACCUGAAGCACAACGAUUUCAUCUGCUGCACUUGCAUCACGGAUUUCCACCAGAUUGUUCUGAAACCAAAGGAAGUUGCUGGAACUAGCGCAUGUAUUCGCAUCAUCAUAGCUUGCCACUGGAUGUCGUCCUUCUUAUUGAUUGCAUAGUCUUCGUCAGGUUCAGUUUCACUCAGUUGAAUAUCUUUGAGAAAUAUUGCGCUGUGUCAUGACAGAUUCACACCUUGAUAAAGUGUCCCAGUAGAUGGCAAAGGUGGCAUAUUGUCGCUUCAGAAACUUAUCGAGUACGAUGCCUAAAUAUUGAAACUGAAUUAUAUGACUGCCUUUUUUUUAUCCGUUUGACAGUACCACCAUCUACCCACAUGUAACCAUUUUUUUUACUCUUAUGCAGUUAAGAAAUCUUCCUUGUUCUUGUUGAAUGCAUAAUAAUUUCUUUCGGCGCCAUGGGAGCAGGCCCUUUGCAGAUCGGGAAGGGCCUAGGGAAGAAUACGACGGGCAUAUCAUCGCUGGGGAGCGACUGCAAAGGAACAGAGACGACCACCACAGUUUCGGUCGUGGGAAGGGUGGUUAUAAUCCUCUGUUUUACCGCCACAAUUUCAGUCAUGGAAGGAGAGGCUAUAAUCAUCGGCACUACCGCCACAAUUUCAGUCGUGGUAGGGUAAACCACAAUUCUUUGCCUUACCGUCACACUGUUACUCGGGAUUUUAGAACAGAACAUUCUUCUGAUUACGAUCGUCAGCACAAGUCUGAACUUGACAUCUCUGAUAUGAGUGAUAAACGCACGAAAAGCACUACAGAGGGUGGAUCCUUGGCUCAAAGAGAAAAACAGAAGGCAAAUGCAAACCUACUUCUCCACCAGUCUGUAUAUUUUAUAUGCUAUUCCCUUUCUUACUUAAACUCCCCUUUUUUUAAAAAAAGAAGGCUCGUCAGUGCUUCCUCUCAAACUGAAACUAGCCACAUCAGUGAUGGUGGCACAGAUAUCGACAAAAGCGCAGGCGACGAUGGUGAGGGCGUCAUUUGGGAAGAAUCGCAUGAGGUUUAUAAUGAUGACGCACUGAAGUUACUUGAUGUUGACAAAGAUAUUGAGGAUGAUGAUAUUGAGCCUUACAUUACUGAAGCCGCUAACUUAUUGGGCUUUGAGCGCACACAUAGGUUGAAGAUCCAAGCCGUGCCCCUUGACAAAUGCAAAGUCCCCACACCUCCUCAACAGUUAACGAACAAAGUCCUCCGUUUUGAAGGAUUUCAGUAUAAAAAUGAACUUGUUACAGCAGAUCAGGACACAACUUUUGUUGUUUUAGAGCCAAUUUCAAAAGAGGCGCCAUCGAUCAUUAUUAAUACCCUGGCACAGGAGUUCAUACGCAAUCCUGCGAAGCAGUGGCAUAACGAUUCUUCCCUUCAACUUUGUACUGCAAUCCCCUAUAACCAUAAACUGUUGCUUUGGGCUCGGAUGAUGCUCAUAUCAGAGGAAGACAAGGAAAUGUUGCUCAAGGCUGAUAUCUUCCGUGGUGUAUUGGCAUCUCUUUAUCAUGUUCCGAUCAAUCCUUCACUAGUUGCUGCCUUUCUUACAUUUUGGAACACUGACGGACAUACCUUGAUUACUUCUCAAGGGGAGAUGGGCUAUCCCCUUAUAGCUAUGUAUGAUGCUAUGGGCAUUCCAAUUUCUGGGCACCUUUAUGAGGAAUAUUUCCCAUUGCCGUCUGAAGUUUCAGAGAUUGUAAAAGUCCUUCACUCGGCCUAUGCUGAUAUCUGGGUGUUGCAUCAGAAUGGAAGCUCUUGUAAAGUCACUCUUCAAAAUUGGUUGGAUUAUUUUAUAGGUAUGAAAAUAAUAUAUAUAUUUUACAUAUACUUCUAUUCGACCAUAGUGUCUUAACCUGGACGGCAUAUAUCAUUGUAGGAGAAGAUCUCGGAGCUGUUGGCAAAACUGAAGCAAGGGUGCCAAGUCAUUUCUAUGCUGAUCCUGAAGAUCCCUUGCUCUCUCAUCUAGAGUUUCGCACGUUGUCUUUGCAGAAACGCUGGUCGGCUAGAUUUGGCAACCAUGUAAUUUUUUACAAGCAGACAUAUGAACGAGAAAUAUACUGUGCCGCCUUCAACGCAGCUUGGCUAUGCACAUACUGUGUUCCUAUCAAUAUGGGGUCCUUUAUUCGGCCGGAGGUCUUCUGUGCUGCAGCUAGACUUGCUCAAGGGAUCCGUCUUGCGAUUGGUACGGCAAGCAUGGCCUAUCUUUACCAAAGUCUUGAUAAUGUUUGUCAAGAGAUUAUAGCCGGAUCAAAGUCAGCAAGUGAGUGCCAACUGCCAUUACCUGCACAUUUUAUUAUGGGCUGGUUCUCCUCUUAUUGGAAAAUGACACCUUCACAACCAGCGGUGAAUCCAAAAAUUACUCACUUCCCGCCGUUCGUGACGGACGCAUGGAGAAUCACAUCUACAGCAAUUGAUCUGUUCAAAGCCCAUCAGUUGUUCCUUGACUCAGCUGCAGAUAGCAAAUCUCUGCUUUCCUUAUCUUUCUUGGGGAAAUCUCGCAUACGUUUCCCUCAGUCAGAGUCUGAAUUUUUGAUAAGUGAUGCACGAGAAGCCACAGAUGGUGGACGCCGUACUAUCCGUAUUACAACUAUCGACAUGCUAAUCAGUUGUGGUGUGGGUGCUGUUACACAUACUCAAUGUCAACUCCAUCACAACUUGGUAUAUUCCCCUCAUCGUUUUGCUCGGAUGCAUGGGUGUGAUCAAGAUGUCCCUGACUUCCUGAUGGAAGGACCCAAUGGAGAAUAUCUUCUGCAGUUUUCUAGUUAUUUGAAAGGCACCCGUGAGGAAACAACUGAGCACCUUCAGCGACGACACCUGGCUUACUACUUUCCAACCGGUCAUCAGCUUCAUUUACAGCCCUUGUCACGGCGAACCAAGCGCUCUAUUGAGUAUGUGACGUGGUGUACAUCAGCACUUGGUUUCCUCACUAAAGCUGAUAUGAUCUGUUCAGGUCAAGAACCAUCAUCUGCUCUCCAGAAAGGGGAGAUUGAAAUGCCUUCUAACACAGGUACAUAUUCCUCUUGUAGCAUUUUCUUUAAGUCUAGCUAACAAAAAAUAUAUUUGGCUGUAGCAAUUUCACGUACAUUGAAGAUCCAGAAGAAAAAUUCAACAAAGAUGAAUCUUGCCUCCACUAGUGACGAAGGAAAUAAGGCAGCCCCUAAUUCAGGUAACUGCAGAAUUUCAUUGUUCAUACUAAUGUCAUGCUGCUGUUCUCUUGUCUUUUCAGGUGAUAACAUUUUUUUUAAUACAGGUGCGCCUAUCAUCGGCGGCGUCACCAAACAGAAGAGGACUCGAGCUAGUUGCCGUAACAAGAAAAAUAAAAUGGCCCCUGAAUGUAAAAGAUAUUCCUCUUCACUGAAAACUAACUGUUCUUUAUUGAACUAUUGCAAGUCGAGCAGUGUACUGAUCAUAAAAAUUGUAUCCCCUUUGUAGCUUCACUCGAGCCUGCCACUGUCCAUUCAUCGAUAGAAAUUCCUCAGGUUUCAGAUAUCAAGACAAAUAUGACUUCGCCCGGAUUAGGUAAUGAGAAUUGUUUCUUAGCAUUAAAUGACUGUCUUUUGUAUGUUCUAAACUUGCUCCUGUUACAACCAUGUAUAUCUAUGAACAGAACAAAUAGCUGCCAAACAGUCUGACACACUGCUUACUGGAAAGAGAAACAAAUCCAAAGCGACGGCUGCUCGAUUCCUCAGAAUUUCACAUGCUCUCAUAACUGAUCACGGCAUAAAGAAGGAUGUGGUUACUACUGACUCUCAUGAUCCUAUAUCCGCUGACAGCGGAAUGUCACCACCCCAAGAGACCAACAUUCUUCAGACAGUUGGAGAAAAACGUUCCUCCCCUCACCGUGUAGCUGAAGUAGAGAAAUGUAGCUUGGAGAACCUCAACACUGAAGACAAACAUCUGGAUGUGACACUUGAACAUGCAGACCAACAGCAUGAUAGCCCCCCGAAGAAACCGCGUUUGGAUCGUCCAGGUAACUAGACCAAAGUUUGUUGUUUUGGUAGUACUGACAUAUAAUGUAAGCACGCAAAAUCUGCCCCGCUCACUGAACUUUUCUCAUUUCUCAUUCCAGGUGGAGGACAUGACUUGGAGAUGGCUUUGUCCAAAGCCGCAACACUGAAGUCCAGUAUGGACCAGACCAUAAAACGCUAUUUGGAGAACGUUGGUGAUGAAUUCAUCAGCCUUAAACGCAAUUCCGAGCGGAAGGAGCUCAACAAAUAUGAGGGACGUAGCAGGAUUGUGGUGCCCCAGUAUGCUGACCCUAGUCUGAGAGAUAUGAUGGUCUAUGUUCAGUCUGACCUUAAGAAGAUUCAGAAGUGGAUCGCUGCACCGAUAUUGGACAAAGUUGCUUUGAGUACACGGAUUGCAACAAUCUUGAACCGGUGGAGAACCAUGUUACAAACCAAAAUCCCGCAGGAGGUACAGGAACUCAUGAAUGAGUUAGAGUGCUUAAAGAUGAAUCUUGAUAGCAAGUCAGAUCAUGCUGUUCCCUUUAGUAUUUCCAAUCUGCGAGCAGAUGAAGAGCAUAUCAAAGAGCAGUUAAAAAUGGGUAAGAAGUCUCGUGAGUCCAUCAUGGUGGGAUACGACUCUCUUAAGGAUUACGGCAACGUAUGGGGCAGCCUCGAGGAUGAAGUGAAGAAAAGGAAAGAGGAAUAUCUCGAAAAGAUCAAGGAGCUGAACAAUGCCAUAAGAAUCGCGAGAUCCAAGCUCUCCCUGGAAAAGGAGUAUGAAACUAGGCUCAUUCAGCUUCACAACCAGUAUGACGAAAUAAUGAGCGAAGCACACACUUCCGUCUCUCGUUUGGAAGAAACCCUGGCACAAGGAAGUUCCUGCUUGGAGAGCAUUCAUAAGGCUAUUGGGGAAGCUGGGAGCCAAGGUGACUCUGAACUUCCUUCUGGUCUGCGUGAGCAACUCAAGUUCAUGGAAUCCUGCGCAGUGGAAGGUGUCGAACAGGAUGACGAGUAAAACCAUAUACAGCGUGUUCCUUUUACUUCAAAAUCAUUCAUGCUUUUUUUUCUUUUUUCUUUUUAAGAAAGCUCGCGUCGUAGUUUGCUUUUGUCAGCUGCUGGAUUUAUCACUGUAAUCCGCCUUAUUAUUUAUCAAUAAAGGAACACAUUCCUCUCUGCUAUCGCUGUUAUACUUGUACACUUUUUUUUACUAUAUGCUUUAUAUGACUGAAUUCCUUUGUGGGACUCCUUAUUCUUGAGCAUGAAACGGCAAAACCAGGCUAAAAUCUUGGUCAACGGAAACAUGUCUUUUGAGAAACGCGCAAGAAUGGCUUUCUUGUGCUGUAUGUCCAUCCUAACCUUCUGUACUAGUAAUUGUGAAGUAUCAUAUUAUCGACUUUAUUCAACAAAAUUAUUGCUUGAUUGCCAUCAUGUAAAUAGAAAUAAUAUUGGGUGAGAACACAGCGAAAUUCCCUGCCGUGCUGCAAUGUCGAUCGUGGCUCAUAGCGUAAAACCAUACUAUAAGCUGACAGUAUACAUAUUAUUCAGGCUGAAUCAGUAGCAGGUGAGGCCAUAGCGAAAAUCCAUGCCGCGACCACGCCAUGAAAAAAGUUAAUAUCCAAUUGAGACCACGAUGGUGCCAGCCAAAAGGAUGAUUGUAUUUAAUGACUGUCAUGGUAUGUAUAAUCCGGAUUCUGGCGAAGUACCAUGCCAUUAUCGUGAACUUCUCUGCGACCAUGCUACUGCUUUGGUGCCAACCAGAGAAUUCCAUGCCUAAUCAUUAAAAGCAAAAUAAUCUUGAGUUGGGGCGAAAGAACCUGCCCUAAUUCAAGGGAAAUUAUCAAUUCUACUGCGACUAUUACAUGCUCAUAGUGCCAGCCAGUGGAAUCGAAUAGUUGCUGGGUUACGGCGAACACCAUGCCACUCCCAAUUUUUUAAAAAAAUCAUCAUAGCGAAGAAGGUUUAGAACCAAAUAAAGUAUGAUUACCUCAAAUCACAAUUUAAAAUACAUACAUGUCUUGCACCACUAAAUGCCAUAAGACUGAAAAAAGAGAUAAAAGGCAGGAAAAAAAACAUAGUGAUGGCAAACAGAGUUAUACGAACACCUUGUUUUUUUUGUUGGUUGGUUUGUGGGCUCCACCUUCAAUUGUUAGACUAUGAGGUGACCCAUGAGUAAAGUUGCAAGGGAUUCAUAUGCCUUUCAUAUGCCCAAGUGAUCAUCGGCCCGGACCUCGUGGUCGACGUAUAGAAGUGUGGAUUCAGACUUCUCAUGGCUGUCAUUGCUUUGUAUAACUCCUAUUGUUAUUUAUCACCCUUCAUGAAUGCUCUCCUCAGAUGCAGUUCUCAUGAACAUGUCUCUUGGACUUUAAACUCCACACCCAAAAUUGUUGCUCUGCCUGACCUCACUCAGGCGAUCAAAUCCACAUGCAACUAAAACUCAUGUGCCACAGUCUGAACAUUGGGAAGGAGAGUCCUUUAUUUUAUUUUAGGGCGAACUGUGGCCCUUUUUGUUUUAUUUAAAAAAUUUAGAUGAAAAAAUUAAUCCAUGAUCAGCAAUGAGGAUGCUGUAUGGACACCAAGAGAAAAAACUUUCUUUUUAUUACAUUCUCCUGAACUUGCCCUUGGGCUGCUAGGCAAAAUACUUCUUGAGGAACUUGCCAUUGAUAGGAGGCAUUGGACGCACACCCUCUUGAUCAAUGAGUUGAUAAGCGCCACCAUCAUAAACCUGUUCAAUAACAUAUGGCCCCUCCCAUUUGGGCUCAAAUUUUCCUUUACCUUUUCCUAUGAGCACAAUAGGACGCCGAAGAACCAGCACCAGUUCUCCUUUUCUAAAAACUCGCGGCUUGACGAGUUUAUCGUAGGCUCGUACCAUAUUCUUACGAUAAAGCUCAAGAUUUUGAAGUACACGUAGGCGCCCCUCUUCAAUAGCGUCUAACUCCUGGUACCGUAAUUUGACUUGUUCAUCUUCUGUCAGCUCAUCACGUAUCGCCACACGGAGCGACGGUAUUUCAACCUCAAGUGGUAAGACAGCCUCGCUUCCGAAAACAAGAGCAUAUGGCGUACUCUGUGUUGGUGUGCGAACAGUAACACGGUAUGCCCAUAAAGCUUCAAAAAGACGAUCAUGCCAAUCUUUUCUAUGUUUUGUCACUGUCUUCUUUAAUAUCUUUCCAAGAGUUUUAUUGAAUGCCUCAAUCAACCCAUUGGCUUGUGCAUAGUAUCCCGUAGUAUAAUUCCAAUGAAUUUUGUACUUCUCAAUAAACUUGUACAUCUUAUGUGAUUUGAAGGCCUGGCCGUUAUCAGAAGUAAUACGACGAGGAACUCCAAAACGAUAAAUGAUAUUUCGCUCGAUAAAAUUGAUGACAUUACUAGUUUUCACCUCACGUAAUGGUACUGCUUCGGCCCACCUUGAGAAGUAAUCUGUGGCUGCCAAGAUGAAACGAUGACCUUCAGCAGAUGGCGGAUCAAAGGGACCAAUUACAUCGAUGCCCCAAGCAUCGAAUGGCCAAGAAGGGACGGUCGGGUGUAGUGGAACAGGUGGCCGGUGCUUGAAGUCUCCAUGUAUUUGACACAUGUGACAUGCUUUGGCAGCAUCUAAGCAGUCAGUCAUGAUCUUUGGCCAAUAGUACCCAGCUAGCCUGAUGCUAUGAUACAUCUUAGCUCCGCUCUGAUGUCCACCACAUACUCCAGAGUGCACUUCCUUCAAUAUACUAUUUGCCUCAUCCCGCGACACGCAGCGGAGCGUCAAAAGAUCUUCUAAACAGAAUACCGGCUUUCAACAAAUAGGAGGGAGCUCGACGCAAUAGUUGUCGCCUUGCCACUGGAUCAUUAGGAUGGAUGCCAUGAUUGAAGUAAUCAAAAAAAGAUUUACGCCAAUCAUCUUCUUCAACAUUAGCAACAACGACAACAUUUACUUCAUGUUCCUCUUGUACAAGUUCAAGAACAGCAGGAAGGAGCCAUCGCUCCUCUACUCUGACAUGAGCGGACUCAUUAUUAGGAAAAAUUAGUGCAGCUGCGAGUUUUGCCAAUGCAUCCGCCGAUGCAUUUUCACCUCGUGGAAUGUGAUCAACCUGGAUAAAUUCAAAUUUUUUUAUUAGUCCCUGGGCAGCAAGACAGUAAGGUACCAACUCUUGCUUGCGUACUUCAUAAAUACCAUUAAUCUGCCUAACAAUUAACUGCGAGUCACCAUAAACAUGGAGAGUCUGAAUAUUCAUUGAGAGUGCUAAAAGCAAACCAAAUAUAAGCGCUUCAUACUCUGCUUCAUUAUUCGAACAUUCCUCUUUGAGAAGGGCAAAUGAAUGGUAGAAUGUCUCACCCAUAGGGCCUUUAAACACCACGCCUGCUCCUGCUCUCCUUCUAGGUGCUCCGUCAAGAUCUUUCUCUGUGCGGGCAGCCCCAUCAAAAUACAACUCCCAUGUACUUGAGGUGACGUUGAAUAUUUCCUCGUCGGGAAGAUCAGUCACCAAUGGUGAAUCAUUAGGCACAGGAUGUGCUGCAAGGAAUCUGCCAGCACUUGACCCUUGACCGCUUUUUGUGGUACGUAAGUGAUGUCGAACUCCAUCAUUGGAACUGCCCAUUUGCCAAGUCUUCCUAAAAGUGCAGGUUGACUGAGAACAUACUUCACAGGAUCAGCUCUAGCAACCAGUUGAAUUUCAUGAGCUAGCGUGUAAUGUCUUACUUUCUUCAAGGCAAAAAUUAAAGCAAGGCAUACCUGUGUAAUUUUGCUCUGCUCCCACCAUGGUACGACUGAGGUAGUAGCAUGCUGCCUCCUUCCCUUCAUCAUUGUGUUGUGCGAGGAGGGCACCUACAGAAGAAUCUUGAGCUGCGAUGUAAAGUAUAAGCGGCCGUCCUUUAACAGGUGCUGCUAGAAUAGGGGGAUUCAGUAAAUACCGUUUAAUGCUUUCAAAGGCAUUUUGACACUGCUCGUCCCAGUUGAAUGGUGCACCCUUCUUCAUGAGUUUGGAGAAUGGCUGGAUUCGCCCCGAGAGAUUCGAUAUGAAACGCCGAAUAUAUGCCAGCUUUCCCUGCAAAGAUUUCAACUCCUUUAAAUUUUGUGGAGGUGGCAUUUGGACAAUUGCUUUAAUUCUUUUUGGCUGAAUCUCUAUACCACGAUGGUGGACAAUAAAACCAAGAAACACACCUGACUGAACAGCGAAAGCACAUUUGAGAGGGUUCAUCUUCAAUUGAUGCGUCCUCAAUCUUUCAAACACGACCUGAAGAUCCUCCAUGUGUCUUCCUUGUUCUCUACUCUUCACUACCAUAUCAUCAAUGUAACACUCAACAGACCGAUGUAUGAGAUCACCAAGCACGUGAGUCAUGGCCGUCUGGUAGGUAGAACCAGCAUUUUUUAAACCAAACGGCAUUACUGUAUAAUAGAAGUUGCCCCUGGGCGUUCUAAAAGCUGUGUCGAUGGCAUCAUGUUCAUCCAUCUUAAUCUGAUUAUAUCCAGAAAAUCCAUCCAUGAAUGAAAGAGCACCAUAUCCUUUAGUUGAAUCAAUCACCAUCUCCGUCAUUGGGAUGGGGAAGUCAUCCUUAGGGCAAGCCCGAUUGAGAUCACGAAAAUCGACACAGAUUCAUAUUUGCCCAUUCUUCUUCUCUACUGGCACAAUAUUGGCCAGCCAUCGAGGAUAUCGUACUUCUUUUAUGAAACCCGCGGCAAUCAGUUUAUCCACUUCAUCUACUAUUUGAUCCUGCAACUCAGGACGAAAGCGCCUUGGUAAUUGCUUUACUGGACGAAAUUGUGGAUCGAUUGCUAAUUUGUGUGUAGCAACUUGAGGGUCAAGUCCAGGCAUUUCCUUAUAUGACCAAGCAAAACAAUCCCGAUAUUCCAUCAGGAAUGCCCUGUACAUUUCUCGCUCUUCAUAGGUAAGGGAUGCACUGACAUAUGUAGGUCUGGGGUCUUCCUCGGUACCUAAAUUGAUUUCAACUAACUCAUCAAUAGUAAGCUGAAUAUCAUCUUCGAGUUGCUGGGGAGCAGGAGCGGCAUCGAGAACCUCUCCAUGAGCCACCGGCAUGGCCUCAUGCAUCUUGGAGAGGAGAUAUUGUUUAUUUCUCAAACCUUCACAAGCAUUUGCCGCGGCUUCAAAGGAACGUGGUUGAUACGGACAUGAAUAUAUUGGCAUAAGCUCGUCGUCAUCUGAAGAUGCUUCAUCUAAACCAAGAUAAUCUUUAUUUCUAACCGAAGAGGUCACGCAACUAUUAACUCGUUGUACCAUACAUAAAUCUUCAUCGUCAUCUGAAGAAGCGGCCUCAUUAUAACCAAGACCAUACUUUGGUUGAACUGUACUUCUCUUCCUAAUUAAACUCUCCGCUUGUUCCCACCAUUCUUCACAAACAACUGGUGGUGGUGGUAGCCUGCUAUUUGGUUGUACCAAAAUUCCUGCCUUUUUUAAUAAUGGAAUCAUCCUGUCCUCAACUUUCAUAGUCAUGAGUGCUUCUUCAAUGGCAAGAACCCGAUCAGACUGCUUAUAUAUGUCAUCACAUGGUCGCUUUUCUGGGACCUUAUAAAAAAUAGUAGGCAAGGUGUUCUCACUUUCUUUUUGAACAGACAAAACAUCCAAUGGUGUGGUAACUGAAACAUAUAGUGAGGGGGGUUGCAUAAGCAAAUCUGGAACCCUCAACGUUGUGCCUGAAGGUUCCUCAUCCAAUUUCGUUGUGAGAACCACAGGAAUAGCAGUCGUUGGAGCAUGUGCCUUUAACAAAAUAGGAGCAGUGACUGAUAAAGCGUGCCCUCUUGUGACCCCUACCUCCAUUGAUGAGCUAGUAGAUGAAGCAGUGUCUGUUGUUAACAAGAUUGGCGUAGUCGCAGACAAAACCCGUCCUGUAGGCCUAGAUGAUGAACCUUCUGCUCUCAUAUUUGCAUUACCACAUUGCUGAUCUCGUGACUUCCUUAUCAAAGCAGUCUCUCUUGAGUGGGCUGAGCAAGGUGUGAUUAGAAAUUUCAUUUCCGUGGGGGAUGGUGUAGCAUCCGGCGUGACUAACACAUCAGCAUUAGAUGUUGUUCGUCCCUGCUGUUUCCCUGACUCGAUACUCGGGAAAUAAUAUUUAGCAUCGGCAUGGUGAACUUCUUGAAUUGUAUAAGGAGCAGUAUUCCCAGCGAUACAUUGUUGUUCUCCAUUGCCAUCCAUGAACUUUAGGCAUUGAUGCAGUGUUGAAGGGACUACACGAUAUUUAUGUAUCCAUGGUCGCCCCAAAAGUGCAGAGUAUGAAGCAUUGGCCUCUAUAACGAAGAACUUAACUUUGAAACUGUAAGACGCCAUCUGCAACUUAAGAGUGAUAACACCUAAGGCAGGCUUGGCAUGAUUAUCAUACCCACAAAUUACUACCUCGGUGGGGCUUAGAUCAUCCAUUAUGUACCCUGCUCGAGUUAAACUUCGUACAGGCAGGAUGUUCACAGCAGAGCCAGGAUCGAUCAAUAUUCUUCGAAGAUGUGCAGCUCCAAUAUUUCCCUCAAUAUAGAGGGGGCGAUUGUGAUCACCAUACUCCAUUAUUUGGUCCUCAUCAGAAAAGGUUAUCUGAUUAGCAUAGAGUAGAUUGUCAAAGAGUCUGUGCUUGGCCAUUGCCGCUUGAUAAUGUUCAGGCUUUUGCAAAGCUUUAAUAAGAGCCUCUCUAAGUUCCGGUAGAAGCACUAAUGCAUCAUAAACGCUUAGUAGUGCUGGAAUCCGCUUCAAAUGAGCAAUGACAUUAUAUUCGACAUCAUGCUCUUUUGCCUCCUCGUCCCUCGACUUCUCUUGUUGAUUGUUCGAGACAGUUGCCUCCCUACUUGUGGCUGGUUUAUCUUUCUUUGUUCGGUACUGCUUACUUCUCAUGGGCUCCGAUAGUACCUUUCCUGCCCGCAAGUUCAUAUGUACCUCCAUUUCUUGUUUCUCCAGUGACGUAUCAGUUUGCAAUGCCUCACAUUCUUCCUUUGUGAACACUACUUCAGUCUCUGAGUCAUUUGUACUUCCACUAGAGGCAACCAUGUUGCAUGUAGCAUUCUCAGUACUUAAUUGUGGUCCAUCCGGCAAAUCAUUUUUUACGUCAUGGUGUGACUGGUCCCAGCUUUGCGGGAAAAACUGGGCUAAAGUGGGAUGUACACGCCUUGUCCGAGGAAAAGAUUCAUUCCCUUCAGACCUGGGAAUAAAUCUUGGCGGCAUACGGCGAUGACUCGGGUUGGGACUCCGUCUAUUUGCUGACGUAUAUUGUAAGAUGGACGGAGAGCUCAUGGUUCCCUGAUGCACCUUUGUUUGAUUACGUCUAUGAUGAACUCUGCUCCAAGGGUGUGAGCUAUCUUCUGAAACUAUAGGUGUAAGCCGAAGUCCCUGAAACUGAUGUUGAACUUCAGAAAAUGGCAUCCAAUAUGCCUCUUCUGAACCAUGUUUCUGUAGUACCUCUGCUUUAUUAGUGGACACCAUGUUUACUUGAUGAUAAUCAGGAUUCACGGCUUGCGGAUCAAGAUUCAACUUCUUCUCAUCGAUUGCCCUUUGCAACCAUUCUUUAAAAGCGACCCAAUCUUCUACUACAUGACCAACGUAUCGAUGAUACGGGCAAUAUAACGGAUUGUCUGUCAUUCCCGCCUGGUCGGGCCGCCGCGGUUCAGGCAAGUUCAAAGCCCCUUGUUGUGAUAGCUGAUUAAAGAAAUUUUUAACAAACUCUCUCCUGAAUAUAUAUUGCUUUUUAAGCAAUUCUUGAAUACUAGGGCGGGUUCUCUGCCCCUGUUCAUUCCUUACUCCAAGAGCCUGCAUAUUUUGGCGAGGUGCUACAGCCAUCGUAGAUAGCCUGGUAGUAUUACUUUCUGCUUGUAUUUUAGGCUUAUUCCCAUUAUUAAAUGGUUUUGCCGUUGACUGAAACUUCUUCGAGUAAUCUGAAGUGCCUGCAUUUUUGUAUAACUCCAUAAUAUGUGGAGCCUUCUCAAAUUCUAAUUUGGUGGCAGCAACAGCGUUACCAAGUGCACUGAAAGUUUUAGGCUCGCGCCUAGAAACCUCUAACGACCAAUGUUGCUGCAUUCCGUGCACACACAUGUCGACAGCAUCUUCUGGGUGCAUCUCUCUAGUCAAGCGCACAUAACUGUUACGAAAUCGGACGAUAUAGUCAUCUAUCUUUUCAUCUCUUCUUUGUUUAAGCUGUGACAACUCCAAAAGGGAUGUAUCUUUGCUCAUGCUAAUGAAAUGAGAUUUAAAAAGAUCCUUCAUUGUUUGCCAACUGCGUACUGAACCAGUAGGUAAGCGACUAUACCAAUGAAAGGCCGGACCUGUCAAUGAUGAUGAAAACUGACGAAGUAAAAGUGAGGGCGAAUUGGCUGUGUCACCACACGCUGCUUCAAAAUAGACGAGGUGUUCCCUUGCAUCACCAUUACCAUCAAACUGCCUGAAUUUUGGUGGACGCCAUCCAGCAGGAAAAGCUACCUUGUCAUGCCACGCCUCAUAUGGCUUCUCCAACUCACUUUCAAGGGUUCUAGGUGUUUGUUCUUCUGCAAUUUGCUUCAUUUUUCUGUUGAUCAACUCUUCAGCGAUGUCAUGAUAAUCUCUUAGUGUCCCUAAUGCAGGAGCUGCUGAUAUAGGAUGUGUAGGUGCAAUUGGCAUAUUUAGAUGCACCCCUCCUGUGAAUUGAGGCUGCUCAACUCCACCUGUUGCACGAGGCGUAUGCUGGUGUUGUGCCAUAGCUUCCAACUCGGCAAUUUGUGGAUCCACCACUUGUGGUAGAGGAUUAGCAGAUUGCGUCCCAUUUACAGCAAGUUUUGCAAUCAUAUUAAAUAGUUGAUCGAUCUUUGUAUCAAUAGCAUCCAUCCUUCUACGUGUUUCCCCGUUUAGAGCACCUGAAGUUCCUUCUUGAUGGUGUAAAGAUCGAGCCUUCUCUUCUUCAGUCACAACUGGUCCUGGUGGCAAGUCGUGUUGUUUCCCUGCAUCAUCUUGUGCAAUGGCUGCCAGACCUAGCUCGUCCUGAUUAGUAUGGACAUGAACUGACGCAAGAUUAAUUGCCCGUGCAACAUCCUCAUUAUCCAAAGGCUCUGAGGCGUCAACCUUUGGCAGUGACGAGGAUGACUCCGCGUUUGAUCUUUCAUCACUAGUUUGUUCAUCCGUGGGAUCAAAAUCUGCAUUUAUAGUUUGUCGAGCCACUUUUCUCAACCGUGUAAGUGCCCCAUAGCGUUCUGCAAUUUGUUGGACCUGAUUCUGAUCAGCAGGAAGACGAGAACUAAUACUGGCAUAAGGUCUGCUAUACUCACUUGCGCGUAACAAAAUUUUAUCUUCUGGAGUUUUAUCACCCCUUGAUGUCAGCGGAAGACAUGAUGCUGUUAUCAUCGCACCACUCCUCUGUUUUAUCACAGCAUGCUUUCUUACAUGUUCUUUUGCACAGGGUGAAUUUCUCAUGAAUGAUGGAGUAGGAUUAGGCAGGAUUUCCUCGUCUGACGAGUAAGAGAACUCAUGACGAACAAGUGGCGGCUCCCACUCUGAAUCUGAAUUUUGCACCGACCGGACUGUCGCCAUACGACAUGCCACAUUAUUAAUCAUGUUGCCAGAUCGCCUUCUUCCAUUCCCAUCAUUCUUGAACCUAGUAGUGUUUGAUCCGUUAUCUCGAGGGAUCAACGCAUUAUUUGAUCCUUGUGGAGCUGAAUGAGAACCACCUCUUGGCCUUUCUGUACUGAGGUUCCUUUGCUCAACCCUUAGUGGUUUGGGAGCCAGAUGCUCUAUCAAUGCAUUAUAUCUCUCAUUUCUUUUCAAAUUUGGAGAAAUCUGAAGUGUUACACUUUCAUUAUCCUUAUAAAUUCGGCCAUCAGCCCUCACACGGACCUGCACGUGUCUUAGCACCAAAUCUUGCAAUUCUUGAUACAUCGCUUCACGAGUCCUCCUCCUCUCACGUUUACGCUGAUUAACUGUCAAUGCAUAAGGGGCCCUUGGGGUUGCAUCAAAGGUCGGUGCCCCCCGUGAAUACCUUGCAUGUUUCCAAGGUGCUGCCGUCAUGGGGUCAUGUUGCCUUGGUAGAGCAAACUGCUGCGGAACCCGGUUUGAGGACUCAAUGUUUUGCGAAGAUGCUUUCACUCGCCACUGAGGCUUAUAUCUUCUUGUUUCAGGCAGAGGGUGGCAACGAUCUCGACGAUUCCCAUGUGGCCAGGGAGUGUUUUCACGAUAAUGAGCAUAUGUGGAUAAUGGUCUGUUCCUAGGUGGAAGAUGCUGAUGUUCAUUUUGAAGUCUGCUUUGCAUUGCUCUAAUCUGAUGUUGCAUCUGUUCUAACUGAAGUCGGAGUUCCUCUGCUCUGGGCGCUGGUGUUUCAUUGGUUAAAAUAGCAAACCUGUUAUUGUUCUGCGAAGUAGAGUGAUGUCUCUCUGAGGUCUGGAAACAAGGUACCCGUACUUGUUGAUCCCGACUGAUAGAACUUCGUUGAGAACACAAUCUUGGCCAUGUUCGCUCCUUACUGAUGCGUCUCCAAAAUUCAUUCAUUAUGGUUUCUUUGACCAGCUCGCAACUGGCCCCUCGUUCAGGAGAAAGAACAAGAAACUCAUCGCUCAUAUCAGUGUACUGUUGAUCCUGACGCCUACUCACAUCUGAACUCUUAGACGGUGCAUCACGCCCGGCAACGCGAGCCCUUAAAUGUGACUGCAACUUCUUCACUUGUUGCCUCUUCCUUCUGUAAUUGCGGUGUGCGUUCUUUUUGUUCAGAGUUCGAGCACGUGCAAUACUAGAAUUCAGGUGUUGCUUGACGUUUUCCAGUUCUUGAAGGAGUUCAGCUUCGGUAGUAUGUGUAGUUUUGGUUUUGAACACUGAGAGGCGUUGCUUAUAGCCGGCGUUCAGAACGGCUCCUGGGAAUUUCAGUAACUUCCUAGCAUCCGUCAUUAAUGCUUGACACUCUCCCCUAGCCCUUGCAUCCACGUACUUCUGAACUUUCUUGGCGUCAUCUAAGUCUGAGGAGUGGUCUGCCUGGUACACAUACAUGUUGGAGCCAAAGCUUGAAACUACAACUGGUGGUAAUGAACCAAACCAAAAAACAAAAGGCUCCAUUUGGUUUGCGUCAGCCUUCGGUCCAUAGUUGGUGAAGCCCCCAUCUGCACGAGAUGUACACUGGUUAGCACUUCACCACACCACAUUAUCAGCCAAAAAAAGUGCCAAGGAGACAGAUCAUGAGUAGAUUCUGACGACUGAUGACGAGCAGCGAAGAUGGGAGGAGAGUCGAGUCCCACCGGGCGUGCCAUUUGUUUUAUGCGAGAUAAAUACUAAAUCUAUCCGCGUUGGCAUUUUAGGUGCGGGCGUGCCAGUAUACGAGUGUAUACGAAUUAAAACAAAAUAAAAUAAAGCACACAAAAUUAUGCGGAGAAAACUUGUAGUCUUUAUUGCUGAAGAUAUACAAAUCUCAUUUUACAUGCUCUUGGUAUAGCAUCUGACAUAUAAAAGACAAUUGCGUAAUUCUCAACUCCUAGAACCUCGAAGUGAUCUCUAGUUAAUUACAUUCAUAGCAUAUCUAUGAAAGACCUCCGAUUAAGCUGCCUCAAACGGUCAUCAUCAUUAUCAAACUCCUGGCUUCUGUCUCCAAGGCAAAAAGAAUAUGCAAACGCUAUGAGCAAAACAAUAAUCUCGCCAUGCCAAAAAUUUAUGGAUUCAUGCACCAAAUCAAACAAGGGAUAUAGAUCAAGUCUCAAAGAGAAAAUAAAGUGGAUCGUUCGGCCUCGUCGGUCACGAACAUGAUGUAUCCUGCCUCGUCGGCCAGGAAGUGUAUGUAAGUUCCGGCCUCGUCGGUCGCGGAAGAAAGUAUAUUGAGCAUGGACUUGAAGAUGAACCCUCAUCUGAUUGAGAAACAUGGUUCUGCAGAAUUUUGUCAAUGGCGUCUUGUUUAUUCCAGAGUGGGUAGCCAUGUCUUUAUUAAUAUUGGAUUAUCUCAUGAUGAGAAACCAUCCUUUGUAUAUCACGUGACCCCCUUGCUACCUCUGAAUAUAUGAUGUAUGCUGGACGAUGAUGUUGAUUCUUUUUGUACAGCUAUAUUGCUUUCCCUUGUGACUCCACACCAUGAAAUGUUUACGGCGACGAUUGAAGCGUCAGGUAGAGCCAUGAAACAUCAUAACCUUCCCUUUUCCUUUUACUGAUCAAACCAUAAACAUCCGUGGCGACGACUUGAUCGCCAUGUAGAGCCAUGGGAUGCCAUCAAACUGUUUUUUUGUAGAUCGGGUGAUAGAACGUCCGCGGCGACGAUUAGAUCGCCAUGUAGAGCCGCGGAUGCCGCCGAAUUCUUUCUAUAGAUCAAACAAGGAAACACCCGCGACGACGAUUAGAUCGCCAUGUAGAGCCGCGGGACACCGCCAAUUUUUGUUGUAGAUCAAAAGAUGAGAUAUCCACGGCGACGACUAGAUCAUCAUGUAGAGCCGCGGGACACCGCCGAUUUUUGUUGUAGAUCAAACGAUGAGAUAUCCACGGCGACGACUAGAUCGUCAUGUAGAGCCGCGGGACACCGCCGAUUUUUGUUGUAGAUCAAACAAUGAGACAUCCACGGCGACGAUUAGAUCGCCAUGUAGAGCCGCGAGAUUCCACAAAAAGAAGUGAACAAAGAGAAGAAAAAUAAAUAAAAGAGAUAAAUGAUCAUAUGCAACCUUCAUAUGAUUUACUCACCAUAUGGUUGUGCCAUCGACGCCGGCCACGGAGGGAAACGCCAGACGAGAAAUGAAGAUGUGUGUAUGUGUGAGUGCUGGGAUGGAGAUGAUACGAAGUGUGUGUGUGUGUGUUGAAUGGUGGUGAGAUGAGCGUGUAAAUGGUGCGCGCGUUGUGAGUGAGCUGAACCCCCUUUGCAGUCACUAGAGCAGCCCUUUUAUAGCAUCGUCUCCACCGGCGAAUAGAUAAAAAGAUAAGUACGAGAGAUUAGCAUCGUCGCCGCUGCCGUUAGUACUUAGUAACAAACCAUAUCUUAUCUCUAGUCUCUCGGUGUUGUUGAACCGAGAAAACAACAAACUCUUGGCCAAUACUUAUCUCUUCGUGGAUCUAGUCAAGUCCAAUUGAUUUAGCUUUUUUUAUCUCCAGCCGCUACACACCUUGCUUUGUACCAGUUUAAAUAUAUGCGCGUCCAACUAGCCGGUGGCAUCGUACAAGAUUUCAUUCACGUUAUACGCAUCAGACGUUUUUGCUGGGAUAGCUGCUGAUCAGUGGGUCCGUGCAUGCACAUGUGGUUCAUUCUAUUGGCAAACUGGCUGAUCCAAUAAACGAUUUGACCCAUACAAGUGAAUAUGCGUCAACGUGACUAGACCAGAUAAUUAUUAAAUAUAUAUAUUUGCCUCGCAUGAUGAGAGAAAAAAAAUGGAGUCAAACACCUAUUACAAGAACAUGAUCAAUCUCAUACAUCACAUACAUCAUUCAUCACAUCCUUUUGGUCAUAUCACAUCACAUAGCAUACCCUGCAAAAACAAGUUAGACGUCCUCUAAUUGUUGUUUGCAUGUUUUACGUGGCUGCUAUGGGUUUCUAGCAAGAACGUUUCUUACCUACGCAAAACCACAACGUGAUAUGCCAAUUGCUAUUUACCCUUCAUAAGGACCCUUUUCAUCGAAUCCGACCCGACUAAAGUGGGAGAGACAGACACCCACCAGUCACCUUAUGCAACUAGUGCAUGUUUGUCGGUGGAAUCGGUCUCACGUAAGCAUACGUGUAAGGUUGGUCCGGGCCGCUUCAUCCCACAAUACCGUCGAAUCAAGAUAAGACUAGUAACGGCAAGCAUAUUGAACAAAAUCAACGCCCACAACUUCUUUGUGUUCUACUCGUGCAUAGAAUCUACGCAUAGACCUAGCUCAUGAUGCCACUGUUGGGGAACGUAGCAGAAAUUCAAAAUUUUCCUACGUGUCACCAAGAUCUAUCUAUGGAGAGACUAGCAACGAGGGGAAGGAGAGUGCAUCUACAUACCCUUGUAGAUUGCUAAGCGGAAGCGUUCAAGUGAACGGGGUUGAUGGAGUCGUACUCGUCGUGAUCCAAAUCACCAAUGAUCCUAGUGCCGAACGGACGGCACCUCCGCGUUCAACACACGUACAGCCCGGUGACGUCUCCCAUGCGUUGAUCCAGCAAGGAGAGAGGGAGAGGUUGAGGAAGACUCCAUCCAGCAGCAGCACAACGGCGUGGUGGUGGUGGAGGAGCGUGGCAAUCCUGCAGGGCUUCGCCAAGCACUACGGGAGAGGAGAAAGAGAGGGAGGGCUGCACCAACGAGAGAGAUCAAAUCACGUGUGAUGGGCAGCCCCAAGCCUCACUAUAUAUAGGGGACAGGGAGGAGGGUGCGCCCCCUCUAGGGUGCCCACCCCUAGGGGGGGCGGCAGUCCUAGAUGGGAAAGGAGAGGCGGCCAAGAGGGGGAGAGAGGAGGGCGCCCCUAGGGUGGGCCUUAGGCCCAUCUAAGCCUAGGGUUUCCCCUCUCUCCUCCUUUGCUGCGCCUUGGGCCUUGUGGGAGGCGCACCAGCCCACUUAGGGGCUGGUCCCUCACCACCCUUGGCCCAUGCAAGCCUCCGGGGCAGGUGGCCCCACUUGGUGGACCCCCGGGACCCUCCCGGUGGUCCCGGUACGUUACCGAUAAACCCCGAAACUCUUCCGGUGACCAAAACAGGACUUCCCAUAUAUAAAUCUUUACCUCCGGACCAUUCCGAAACUCCUCGUGACGUCCGGGAUCUCAUCCGGGACUCCGAACAACAUUCGGUAACCACAUACAAACUUCCUUUAUAACCCUAGCGUUAUCGAACCUUAAGUGUGUAGACCCUACGGGUUCGGGAACCAUGCAGACAUGACCGAGACACCUCUCCGGCCAAUAACCAACAGCGGGAUCUGGAUACCCAUGUUGGCUCCCACAUGUUCCACGAUGAUCUCAUCGGAUGAACCACGAUGUCAAGGACUUAAUCAAUCCCGUAUACAAUUCCCUUUGUCUAGCGGUAUUGUACUUGCCCGAGAUUCGAUCGUCGGUAUCCCUAUACCUUGUUCAAUCUCGUUACCGGCAAGUCUCUUUACUCGUUCCGUAACACAUCAUCCCGUGAUCAACUCCUUGAUCACAUUGUGCACAUUAUGAUGAUGUCCUACCGAGUGGGCCCAGAGAUACCUCUCCGCUUACACGGAGUGACAAAUCCCAGUCUCGAUUCGUGCCAACCCAACAGACACUUUCGGAGAUACCUGUAGUGCACCUUUAUAGUCACCCAGUUACGUUGUGACGUUUGGUACACCCAAAGCAUUCCUACGGUAUCCGGGAGUUGCACAAUCUCAUGGUCUAAGGAAAUGAUACUUGACAUUAGAAAAUCUUUAGCAUACGAACUACACGAUCUUUGUGCUAGGCUUAGGAUUGGGUCUUGUCCAUCACAUCAUUCUCCUAAUGAUGUGAUCCCGUUAUCAAUGACAUCCAAUGUCCAGGGUCAGGAAACCGUAACCAUCUAUUGAUCAACGAGCUAGUCAACUAGAGGCUUACUAGGGACAUGGUGUUUUCUAUGUAUCCACACAUGUAUCUGAGUUUCCUAUCAAUACAAUUAUAGCAUGGAUAAUAAACGAUUAUCAUGAACAAGGAAAUAUAAUAAUAACUAAUUUAUUAUUUCCUCUAGGGCAUAUUUCCAACAAUGAUCAACAUAAUGAUGUUCACCAUUGAAGACUAAUCCAUUUCAUGUGAUGCUCGGUUAUGGUUUAGUUGAUUUGGAUCACGUGAUCACUUAGAAGAUUAGAGGGAUAUCUAUCUAAGUGGGAGUUCUUAAGUAAUAUGAUUAAUUGAACUUAAAUUUAUCAUGAACUUAGUCCCUGAUAGUAUGUUGCUUAUUUAUGUUGAUUGUAGAUAGACGGCCCGUGCUGUUGUUCCGUUGAAUUUUAAUGCGUUCCUUGAGAAAGCAAAGUUGAAAGAUGAUGGUAGCAAUUACAUGGACUGGGUCCGUAACUUGAGGAUUAUCCUCAUUGCUGCACAGAAGAAUUACAUCCUGGAAGCACCGCUGGGUGCCAGGCCUGCUGCUGGAGCAACACCAGAUGUUAUGAACGUCUGGCAGAGCAAAGCUGAUGACUACUCGAUAGUUCAGUGUGCCAUGCUUUAGGCUUAGAAUCGGGACUUCAACGACGUUUUGAACGUCAUGGAGCAUAUGAGAUGUUCCAGGAGUUGAAGUUAAUAUUUCAAGCAAAUGCCCGGAUUGAGAGAUAUGAAGUCUCCAAUAAGUUCUAUAGCUGCAAGAUGGAGGAGAACAGUUCUGUCAGUGAGCAUAUACUCAAAAUGUCUGGGUAUAAUAAUCACUUGAUUCAAUUGGGAGUUAAUCUUCCAGAUGAUUGCGUCAUUGACAGAAUUCUCCAAUCACUGCCACCAAGCUACAAGAGCUUCGUGAUGAACUAUAAUAUGCAAGGGAUGAAUAAGACUAUUCCCGAGCUCUUCGCAAUGCUGAAAGCUGCGGAGGUAGAAAUCAAGAAGGAGCAUCAAGUGUUGAUGGUCAACAAGACCACUAGUUUCAAGAAAAAGGGCAAAGGGAAAAAGAAGGGGAACUUCAAGAAGAACAACAAGCAAGUUGCUGCUCAGGAGAAGAAACCUAAGUCUGGACCAAAGCCUGAAACUGAGUGCUUCUACUGCAAGCAGACUAGUCACUGGAAGCGGAACUGCCCCAAGUAUUUGGCGGAUAAGAAGGAUGGCAAGGUGAACAAAGGUAUAUGUGAUAUACAUGUUAUUGAUGUGUACCUUACUAGAGCUCGCAGUAGCACCUGGGUAUUUGAUACUGGUUCUGUUGCUAAUAUUUGCAACUCGAAACAUGGACUACGGAUUAAGCGAACACUGGCAAAGGACGAGGUGACGAUGCGCGUGGGAAAUGGUUCCAAAAGUCGAUGUGAUUGCGGUCGGCACGCUACCUCUACAUCUACCUUCGGGAUUAGUAUUAGACCUAAAUAAUUGUUAUUUGGUGCCAGCGUUGAGCAUGAACAUUAUAUCUGGAUCUUGUUUGAUGCGAGAUGGUUAUUCAUUUAAAUCAGAGAAUAAUGGUUGUUCUAUUUAUAUGAGUAAUAUCUUUUAUGGUCAUGCACCUUUGAAGAGUGGUCUAUUUUUGAUGAAUCUCGAUAGUAGUGAUACACAUAUUCAUAAUGUUGAAGCCAAAAGAUGCAGAGUUGAUAAUGAUAGUGCAACUUAUUUGUGGCACUGCCGUUUAGGUCAUAUCGGUGUAAAGCGCAUGAAGAAAAUCCAUACUGAUGGACUUUUGGAACCACUUGAUUAUGAAUCACUUGGUACUUGCGAACUGUGCCUCAUGGGCAAGAUGACUAAAACGCCGUUCUCCGGUACUAUGGAGAGUGUAAGUGCAUCUAGUGCCACCCCUAGUUGGUUUUGGAGUAUUGACGACAAACCUAGUUGAGGGACUAAUGUGUUUGUGAGAAUUGCAGGAAAACACAGGUAGAAGUCCCUUAUUGAUUCGGUUUUACUACCAGAGAUGACCCCUAAAAAUGUACGAAGACAUUGAAGACAAUGGUGGUUUAUGAAGAUAUUCAUAUUGAAGACAAUGACAUGAGAAGACUCCCUAUGAAGCUUAUGGAACUCGAAGACUUAGAUCCUUCGUAGUUUGAUUUCAUUUAUGUUGUGUCGUAGGAACCACCGUACUGUUAAGUGGGGUCCAAGAGAACCGGUCAGAAUGACUGAAGUGAUGCCUAAUUCAAAUCCUAUGUCUUCGAGCGAAGACUAUGAGAGCAAAUCUUGUCCAGAGUCAGACAAGUCAGCUUUACUUGUAGCCCAAGAAAAGUUGCCGUGUGAGUUCAAAAUUCGACCGUUGGUACACGUGUCAGUUCCUUAGUGACCCAGGGUCAUUUCGGACAAAUCAGGUUGGGUUGCCAAGUGGCUAUAAAUAGCCCACCCCCACAACCAUAAACGGUUGGCUGCUCAGAUUUCAGUGCACGGCUUUUGUCGUUUCAGAGCAACCCACCUCGAAGCCUUUGAAAGAAAAAUUCCUAGUGAGGAGAAAAGCCCUAACCACCCAGAGCCAGAGUAAAUUGGGCAUCACUUAAGUCUUCUUAUCUGUGUGAUCUGAAGACUUAUUACACUUGAGGACUGUGCAUCCUCCAGACGGUUAGGCGUCGCGUUCUGAGCAUCCAAGAGACAUUGUGGAUUGCCAGUGAACAAAGUCUGUGAAGGUUUGGGAGUCUACCUUGAAGACUUACCAGAGUGAUUGGGCGAGGUCUGUGUGACCUUAGCUCAAGGAGAAAACGGUGAGGACUGGGUGUCUUGGACUAAGUGUCCUUGACUGGGUGUCCGGGACUGUGUGUCCUUUGGUUUAAAUACCUAGCCGCUCCAACCAGACGUACAGUUGUCACAGCAACUGGAACUGGUCCAACAUAUCAUUGUCUUCAACGAGUCACUGGUUUCAUCUUCACUUCCUUUGACUUACUGUUAUUCAUUGUGAAGCCAUUGCAUGCUUGCUUUAUCUUUUGUCUUCACAACGUGAAUGUAUGAUCUGUUUGGCUUCAUAACUUCUUCCUACCUGAUCCUUAUUACACUGAAGCUGUUUGUCAUUGUGCUUUCACUCUAUUGAAUACCUGACCAUGCCUGGCCUAGUGUAAUCUAACUUCCGCUGCAUAGUAAUAGGCAUAAUCUUCACUGUUUGUCUUCAUAACUCCCACGUUUUGAAGACUUUCAUAAAAAUCGCCUAUUCACCCCCCCUCUAGUCGAUAUAACGCACUUUCAAUUGGUAUCAGAGCAAGGUGCUCCCUUGUUCUGUGUGAUUUGGUUUAACCACCUGGAGUUUUAGCUAUGUCGACUGCAGGGAUAAUCAAAGUCUCCGCUGCGUGCUCCGUCUUCGAUGGAACUGAAUAUCCCUACUGGAAGAAUAAGAUGCGCAUGCAUCUUGAAGCCAUUGACGUCGACCUAUGGUAUGUCGUCGAAAACAGCGUUCCCAAGGCUGGAGAAGGUGUCACUGCUGCUGAUGUCAAGAAGUUCACUCAACUGGACUCUACUGCUAAGAAUAUCAUCUGUGGUCAUCUGACCAAAGGACUGUAUGGCCGUGUGAGUGCCUUGAAGACAUCCAAGCUAGUCUGGGACUGGCUCUCCAAGGUCAAUGAAGGCAUCUCAACCCAGAGAGAUCAGAGAAUCAGUGUUCUUCGCAACCUCUUCAACCGCUUCAAGCGAAAUGACAAUGAGAAUGUUCAGCACACCUUUGAUCGGCUCACUGACAUCACAAAUGAGCUUCAAGCCCUCGGCGCCAUUGAGAUCACCAAACAUGAAAUCGUCAAGACGCUGCUGAGAUCACUUGAUAGUUCGUUUGACAUUCUGGCCCUGAUGAUUCAAGAACGUCCUGAUUUCAAGACACUCGAUCCGUAUGACAUACUUGAGAGGCUCAACACACAUGAGUUUCAGCUUUCUGAGAAAAGAGAUAUCUACGGUCCAAACUAUGGGCGAACUCGUGCUUUGAAGGCAAAAGUUGUCUCCUCAUCUGAAGAAGAAUCUGACUGCAGUUCUGAUGAUCCUGAAGACAUUGGAAGAGAACUUGCAAUGCUAGUGAAGAAGUUCCAAAAAUUCACCAAGAAGAAAGGCUUCAGAAAAUCUUCACGAUCAAGCUCAAGGAAUGAUGAAGCUUCUGUUCAUGACUACAAGAAGAAAACAUGUCACAAGUGCAAGAAAACUGGACACUUCAUCUCUGAGUGUCCACAGUGGGAAAAUGAGAACAGAAGGAAGAAGAUGAGCAAGGAAUAUGAUUCUGACGACAAGAAGAAGAAGAAAUACUCAAAGUCUUCUUCCAAGUCUUCAUCAAAAUCUUCAUCACACAAGAAGAGCUCAUCUGGCAAGGCACGUGCGUUUGUUGGAAAGGAGAUGGAUUCAGAGGAGGAGUCCGCAUCUGAGGAGGCAGAGGUGGAGUCUGAGGAGGAGUCUGAUUCUGGCAUUGCGAGUCUGGCUACAGCAUACGUCGCCAAGUCCAUCUUCAACACUGAAGACAAUGACUGCAUCACCGACACCGACGCAAAUGACAAGAACAACUCCACUCCUACCUACUGCUUCAUGGCACGCGGUGCCAAGGUAAACACACGCACUACUCGCUAUGAAACAUCUAGUGACGAUGACUCUGAAUGUGAUUCAAAACCUAGCUACAAAACGCUUGCUAAAAUUGCAACUGAACAACAGAAAGCUAUGGAACAUAUUCAAAAACUGCUAGACAGAAGCGAUGAUCUGUUGGGUGCUGAAAUGACUCGAUCUGAAUCCUUAAUUGAAGACAUAAAAAACCUUCACGUUAAGUAUCAGGAACUUGAAGAUCGUCAUGAUACUCUCUCAACUACCCAUGAAAAGCUUUCCUAUGAUUAUCUUCAAAGGAAGCAAGAACUUGAGAAAUUGAGGGUGGCUCAUGAAGAUCUUCAAAAGGAAAACGAGUCACUUCGCUCCGAACAGAUCAGUCCCGCUCAGGAAGGAUUUGAACCACCAUGUCUUAAAUGCAUUGAGCGUGAUAAUGCUACUUCUGUUGCUGAAUGUUCCACUGCUACUGCUGUUCCAAUAUCUUCAACUGUUGAUGUGGUAACUAACCCCUCUGCUGAGGAUACCACUGUUAUUGCUGAUGAGAAUGCUAGGUUGAAGACAUUGCUUGAAAUAGGGAUGUACAAAAGUCUGAAAGGGCAUCAGACAUUAUGUGAUGUCCUUAAGAAGCAGAUUCUGAACCGAAACCCUAGGAAAGAGGGUGUUGGGUUCGAGAGGAGAAUUAAUGCAGAUGGCUCUUACUGGAAACCUGAGCAGUACCCCAAAACCACAUGGGUUGCUGCAAAGGAAUCCUCAGCAGAUCCAUCCAAUCUAUCUGGCUUCACUUGUGCUAACCCCAUUAUCAUUGAUGAAUCCUUUGAUGCAAACUAUAAACUGUUUAAGAAUCAGAAUGGUGAAGUGUUUGCCAGGUACAUUGGUACUAACUGCAGGAAUGGACCGCCUAUGAAGAAGAUCUGGGUUCCGAAAAAGUGUUUGGAAAAUCUUCCUGUGAAUGUCUUCAUGACACCUCACUUGAAGAAGACAAACCUCAGACCAAAGGCUUCAUACGGUCCAAUGGCUUCAUACAAACAGAGGACUCGCCUGAGUCACACUAACGCAAAUGUUUUGCAGGGAAACCAUACUCAGGCAUAUGAAUAUGAGAGCGGUUCAUCGAACCGUCAUGUUCAUAUGACCAAAAAUUAUUCUGCUUAUUCCUAUGAGUAUUAUUGUCCCCCUGCUAGACUGUUUGCUAGGGAUCCAAAGCCAAAAUUCUCAGAUGCUGCACUUAGACUUAUUGCUGGGAAAGGUCUCCAGCAGAAAAACAAAAUCUUCUGAUGCUAUUGCUGGGGACCUUAAAAAUCUUGUAGGGCGCAAGAUAAAAUGCCCGAAUGGCAUCAUUAUGUACUUUGCUCCUGAAUCGCAUGCUACUCUCCCUAUUAGUCCUAAUCUGGAUCUAAGUUUUCAUAACCCACUGGUUCGUCAAAUGUUUAUGCUUCACAACUCUCUUCGUGAAGCCUAUCCCCCUAACUGCACUGUAGGGUACGACACCAGCGACUUCAAAGUCUUCAGAAUGGAUUAUUGACAGUGGGUGUACAAAUCACAUGACCGGCAGAAGAAGCCUUCUUAUGGACUCAACUUUACGUCCAUCCGACAAGAGUCACAUCACAUUUACUGACACUGGUAAAAGUAAGGUAUUGGGUCUAGGUAGAGUUGCAAUCUCAAAGGAUCAACACAUGGAUAAAGUCAUGCUUGUUGAAUCCCUUGGCUUCAACUUAAUGUCUGUCUCAAUGCUUUGCGAUUUGAAUAUGAUUGUAAUGUUUGGAAAAUAUCGUUGCCUGGUGCUAAUGGAAUCUGACAAAUCUCUAGUGUUUGAAGGGUAUCGGAAAGGUGAUUUGUACGUGGUAGAUUUCUCAGCAGGACCACAACUUGCAGUAUGUCUUCUUGCAAAAGUUUCAGAAUGCUGGCUUUGGCAUCGAAGGCUUGGGCAUGCUGGCAUGAGGAACCUCCACACCCUUGCGAAGAAAAAGCACGUCAUAGGCAUCGAGGGCGUCAAGUUCAAGAAAGAUCAUUUAUGCGGUGCCUGUGAAGCAGGGAAAAUGACAAGGGCAAAACAUCCUUCAAAGACAAUCAUGACUACUACACAACCCUUCGAACUGCUUCACAUGGAUCUUUUCGGUCCCACUCACUACUCAACUUUUACUACUUCUGCUUGCCUCUAUGGCUUCGUCAUUGUUGAUGAUUACUCUAGAUAUACUUGGGUACACAUAAUCCUUUACAAGACUGAAGUGCAGGAUGUCUUCAGACGCUUCGCCAAUCGAGCCAUGAACAAUUUUGGCGCCAAGAUAAAGCACAUCAGAAGUGACAAUGGCACUGAAUUCAAGAACACUGGCCUUGAUACAUAUCUGGAUACCUUGGGCAUCACACAUGAAUUCUCAGCUCCAUACACGCCACAGCAGAAUGGCGUCGUCGAACGCAAGAACAGAACACUCAUUGAGAUGGCCAGAACAAUGCUAGAUGAAUACAAGACUCCAAGAAAAUUCUGGACUGAAGCCAUUGAUACUGCAUGCCAUACAAUCAAUCGUGUUUAUCUUCACAAGCUUCUGAACAAGACAUCUUAUGAACUCCUAACUGGCAAGAAGCCAAAUGUCAGUUACUUCAGAGUAUUUGGCGCAAAAUGCUGGAUCAAGGACCCACACCACACCUCAAAGUUUGCACCAAAAGCACAUGAGGGAUUCAUGCUUGGAUAUGGAAAGGAUUCGCACUCCUAUAGAGUCUUCAAUCUCUUCCACUACAAAGUGGUUGAAACCGUGGAUGUGCGGUUCGAUGAAACCAAUGGAUCACAAAGAGAGCAAUUGCCAAAUGUGCUAGAUGAAGUUCCAGCUAGUGAAUUAAUCAAGCUUAUGGGAACUGGAGAGAUUAUGCCUACUGAAGCUCAUCCUGAAGAAGAACUUAUCAUCUCAACACCUGAUCCACAUGAAGACAAUGCUCAGCCUGAAGAUAUACCUCCAAAUGACAACGCAGAUCAGCAAGAGCAAAGUCUUCGCCUAUACAUCCUCGUGUUGCAAAUGAAGUACAGAUUGACAGAAUACUUGAUAGCAUCAAUGCACCUGGUCCACUCACUCGUUCAAGGGCAACUCAGCUAGCAAACUUCUGUGGGCAUUUCGCACUCGUCUCAAUAUCAGAACCCAAGAAAGUUGAAGAAGCCUUCAUGGAACCUGAAUGGAUUCAAGCUAUGCAAGAAGAGCUUCAACAGUUUGAGCUGAAUAAUGUAUGGGAACUGGUUAAGCGUCCUGAUCCACGGAAGCACAACAUAAUAGGCACCAAAUGGAUAUACCGCAACAAGCAAGAUGAGCAUGGUCAAGUUGUCAGAAACAAAGCUCGUCUCGUUGCUCAAGGAUAUACUCAAGUGGAGGGCAUUGACUUCGAUGAAACAUUUGCUCCUGUGGCUAGGCUUGAAGCCAUACGCAUACUGCUGGCCUAUGCAAAUCAUCAUAACAUACUUCUAUAUCAAAUGGAUGUGAAAAGUGCCUUUCUCAAUGGCAAGAUUGAAGAAGAAGUGUAUGUUGCACAACCACCUGGCUUUGAAAAUCCAAAACAUCCUGAUAUGGUAUACAAGCUCAACAAGGCACUGUAUGGCCUCAAACAAGCCCCUAGGGCCUGGUAUGAUACACUCAAGUACUUUCUGAAGAGCAAAGGCUUCAUACCUGGUUCCCUGGAUCCCACUCUUUUCAUGAAGACAUACGAUGGUGAACUGUUUGUGUGCCAAAUAUAUGUGGAUGACAUUAUCUUCGGCUGCACCAAUCAGAAGUACAGUGAAGAGUUUGGAUACAUGAUGCAAGAGCAAUAUCAGAUGUCCAUGAUGGGGGAGCUGAAGUUCUUCCUCGGUCUUCAGAUACGGCAACAACGCAAUGGCAUCUUCAUAUCUCAAGAGAAAUAUCUUAAAGAGUGCCUGAAGAAGUUCGGUAUGCAAGAUUGCAAAGGCUUCACAACACCAAUGCCAGCCAAACAUCAUCUAGGUCCUGACGACAAUGGUAAAGAGUUCGAUCAAAAGGUAUACCGCUCCAUGAUUGGGUCUUUGCUUUAUUUAUGUGCAUCUAGGCCAGAUAUCAUGCUUAGUGUUUGCAUGUGUGCUCGAUUUCAAGCGGCACCAAAGGAGUCGCUUCACUUAGCUGUGAAGCGAAUUCUUAGAUAUUUGGCUCACACCCCAACUCUAGGAUUAUGGUAUCCAAAGGGCUCAGAGUUUGAUUUGGUUGGAUUUUUGGAUGCUGAUUAUGCUGGUGACAAAGUUGAUCGCAAGUCUACAUCAGGCACAUGUCACUUUCUGGGACGAUCACUUGUAUGUUGGUCUUCAAAGAAGCAGAACUGUGUAUCUCUCUCCACUGCUGAAUCUGAAUACAUUGCUGCUGGAUCUUGCUGCGCUCAGCUUCUGUGGAUGAAGCAAACACUCAAGGAUUAUGGCAUUCAUCUGAAGCAAGUGCCACUUUACUGCGACAACGAAAGCGCCAUCAAGAUUGCCAACACCCCAGUUCAGCACUCGAAGACAAAGCACAUUGAAAUUCGUCAUCACUUUCUCAGAGAUCAUGUUGUGAAGGAAGACAUUGAUAUCAUACACGUCAACACUGAAGAGCAAUUGGCAGAUAUCUUCACCAAGCCCUUGGAUGAGAAGAGGUUUUGCAAGUUACGGUGUGAGCUAAAUAUCUUGGAAUCCUCAAAUGUCCUGUGAUCAGGCACACAUCCUAACACUUAUGCAUAUUAAUGACUUAGAUGUGCAACACACAAAGUAAAGUAUAUCUUCAAUCAAUGAAGACAUACAUUCUAAGUGUGAAUACAUUAAUGUGGAAUUUGACUUCAGAGCGCCACGAUAAUUGUGCGCCGUGUCUGGGUCUAAUACUUCCUAUACGGUGGGUAACGCCACCACCAAACGUUCCAUUUUGAAGUGUUUCACUCAUGGCGUUACCAUGCAAUUUCUUCACAUUUGGUUUGGCUUCGAACUCAACAUGUCUUCAUGAUUAUCUUCACUGCAUUGAUUAUAUAGAUAUAUAUAUAUAUAUAUAUAUAUAUAUAUGUACUGGUGUUCUGUCCUCUACAGCAUUCACUUAUAGCUAUGUCUUCUUGUUUGAAUCUUUUGAACUAAGUGAAUGUGAUCGAACCCUAACCUCUCCAUGCUUUCUACCUCAAACUCUAUCUCUCCAAGUCAUAUGCAUUCUAUUGAAACUGUCGAAUGCCUUCACUGAGUCCUUGUCAGCUGAAGACAUAGAGACAACCAUAAAAGUCCGUUUUUAAUGCUCAUUCCUCCACAUAAGAUCCAGAGAAGCAGGAAUGACCGCCCGACAAUUUAGGCGUGCGUGGGACGUGGAACAACCCCCAAAAUACCGCAUGAUGGCCACGUGCUGUUCAGAUGCGAAUUGCCAGGGGCACCUGAGUAAUAGCGCAGUGCCGCCACUAUCCCUAUAAAUACACGAUUCACUGCGGUCAUUAUCUCUUCUUCCACCCUCGCACGAACCCUAGCGCCGCCGCUAGCUCUCGACGAUGUCGGCGACGAAGCGCUUCACUGCCGCAACCUCUCCGACGCUGUUUUCACGCCGACCGCGGACAUCAUCCUCUCCGCCGUCGCCGUAGGUGUUUUCCGUCGCCAAGUCAGGGCACGGAGGACUGAACUGCUUGGCAUCAACUUCCUACCGUCUAGCAGUUCCAGUGUGGUAAAUAAAGCUUCUUUUUACAGCCUCUUUUGAUCUCUUGGUUCUGUCACUUUCUACCAUAAGAAGUUUCUCUUCACACCAGUUAGAUCUCUCGCUGCAUCUCAUAACAUGCCUAGUAUAUUCACUUGUGCUUCAUAAAGUAGUUAGAUUCCUUACUUGUACUGAUCAAUGGGUUCGUACAAAUCUGGAACCAACUUCUUAUCUAUAAGUGAAUGUCUUCGCACAAUGAGGUCAAUGUCUUCUAAACCAAUUUAUCUUCAAAAUCUUCUGAGAAUGCAUAUGACCUCUUCCCCUUCCCUCGCACCUUAAUGCUGUCACAGGUACAUGUCCGUGGGAGAAUCCUUUGGUUCUCAUAGUCUGCAUUCAUUUGCAGAGUACUUGCAGCAUCACAUCAACUCUCCUGAAGCCAGUUCUUGUUGGUCAAGCAAAAGGAAGCCUUUGAAGCCUUUUAACAUCUUGAAGCCUUCCAAGUUAAGAUUCAUGGCUUCAGAAACAGCAGCAAGGAAGGGAGGCAGACAGAGACGUGGUGGAACGUCUAAAGAUCUGCCUGAUGAAUUGGCAGAGAUGUACAAAACUGAUCCUGAAGAAAGCUAUGGUCAGCGCAAGACAUGAAUCCAAUGGAUUCGAAGAUAUUGGGCAGAGCAAUGGUUUCAAUACCGCUUCGUCACUUAGGAAUAUGCAGAGAAGUGCGCCAUCAAGAGACCAUGGGGAGACGUAUUAUACAAAAAUCUCGUACCUAGGUCCAGAGACGAAGCCAUUGCUCAAGGCUUCUAUCCAUGCAUGGUGAGAGGACCACAGCCAGCUGAAGCACAUCCGUCAUCACUUCUCUGGUGUCGCGAUGACAAUCUGUUCAAGCGCAACUUCCAAUUUGCUCAGAACUCUGCAAAGCAAAACAAGAAGAAAUUUGGGCUUGACUUCAACCCUGGUCCCUCCUCACCAAGGGCAAAUGGCACAUGCGACGCCGAUCCCAAUAUCAUCGGGCCGUAUGCCAAUCUUGCAGGCCUCAUCACCCGCAUCCUAGUCCAAGGGACUGCCGUGAAUGACCCUCCAGCAGAUACUGAGUUUGAUGACGCCCCUGCUGCGCCGAAGCCAAAACAGAAGAAGCCAAAAGCUUCAAAGCCAGCCGCUUCUCACAAAAUCUCAAGAGCGAAGCCAUUGGCAACUGCACCUCCUGAAGCCAGUGUGCAGUCUGAAGACUUAUCACGAGUCUCCAAGCCCCAAGAAGCCAAGAAGCCUCAGCCACACACAGGCAAAGAGCUCACAGCUGCUGCCAUUCUGCGGUGCAAAACCAUUGAUCUCUCAAGCGAUGAAGAUCUUGGAGAUGAUGCUCUUGAGCAGCUCAUCAAGAGCAAGGAGGAGGCUGAAAUCUUCAAUAAUCUGCCUCUGUUUGAUGUCGCCAUCAUCCACAACUUCAUCGAUGAAUGGUUGCCUCACCGGACAUCAGCUCCAAUGAUCUGCAGCUGCCCAUAGGCCUCAGCGUUGCCUUUCAAGGCGCAAUUGCUUCAGAACUUGCAAUAGCCCAGCGCAUUGUUGAACUGAAGCAGAAAAUUGAUUUUGAAAAGGCUCAGUUCAAGAAGCACGUGGCCAAGCUCAGCGUGCAAGAAGUGAAAAACUUCAAGAUCAUGUUGCACGAUCUGAAAGAGAACUUUCUGAAGACGCGUGCCGAAGCUCAAGGCUCGCGAGAGCGCAUGAAGACUCUAGCUAAUCGCUGCGUGCAGGCCUACAAUGAGGCCGAGAAGCGCAAGGCACUUGGGCGUCCCGGCAUUGACCCCAGGGUGGCCGCGAAGAAGAAGAAGAAGCCUGCUGUGCCUGAACCAGAGGCGCCAAGGUCAGAAACUGCUCCGAUUGUCUUCCCCACUGCAACAACUGGCUCGAAGCCAAAGAGUCGAUCAACCGCCUCAGAGCUCAAGAAGACACGGACUACAGAGGCUGAAGCUAGGAAGAGGAAACACUCUGAAGCCUCUCCUUCUGACCCCACCAUCAAGAAGCGCAAGACCAAGAAAUAUCGGGCUGCUCCCACAGAGCCCUUGAUAGUUGAACCCCUCUCUGUCCGCUAUCCUGACGCAGAUCAUCAAUUGACAGUGCAUGAGCCUGCUUUCAUAGAGGCUCUGCACGCUGAAGACAUUCCAGCAGCCGACCCAAUAGCUGUUGAAGACAUUGGUCAUCGGGACAAUGUGCAAGGUGAUGCAGCCCUUCCUCAGCUUGAGACAAGCGAACUGAUCAGCAUUGGUCAUCCAUUGACGCCAAUCACACAAGAUGCAUCAUGGGCAGAUCGCCCACAGGAGGAAGAUAAUGAGCCCCAACCCACUGCAACUCCACCGGCGCCUACAUUCCAUAGGCUUCACAAAGGGCCAAAGGCUCAGGCUGCUGAGGACAUUCCGGCUGCAUCAGCCGAAGAGCAUGCAGAAAUACCACAAGCUCCAACUCCCCCGCACCAACAAGAAGCAGUUCUCCAGGAGAAUGUGCCUGAAGAUGUCCCUCCCAAUACACGUGUGGAGGCUGCAAAUGUUGAGGCUGCCACAAACAACGCCGAAGCAAAUGUGGAGCCCUCCCCAACAACAGCUUCAGAAGACAAUGAAGCUACUGCUCCUGAACCUUCUGUGCCUAAGUCUGCUGCGGGUCCCCAAUUCAACUAUCAUGUUGCGCACAGGCCCCAGGUCCAGAAGCCGAUCCCACGACUGCCAAGGUUCCCAGGUCCUGCAUCAGCUCCUGGCUCCUUCAACAUCAAUGGCUUCAGGACAGACAACACGUUUUUCAACAGCUCCAAGAACCCUUAUUCAAGGGAACGGAUUGUAUCCGAUAGGUUCUGGAGCUAUCAACAGUGCAGCUAUUAUUCAUGCAUCCUAUACAACCAAGGCCGCAUCUUUCCUCACAAGCGCCUUGAGGUUGAAGCUGUUGCUGGUCUGCUUGGUCUGGAAGAAGCACUGGAUUGCUUCAAGCAAGUGGGUCUGCUGCCGUUUAUCACCGAUGAAGAGCACUGGAACGAAGAGCUUCUGCUCCAGUUCUAUGCCACCCUGCAUAUCAAAGGCUAUAACAGAGAUCCGAAGACAUGGAUCCUGGAGUGGAUGACCGGCAAUGUCCAUCAUGAAGCCAAUGCUUUCGACAUAAUUGAGCUUACCGGCCUUCCCACUCCUGGCGAAUUCUUUGAAGAAGGCUGCCAACUCCAUGCUGAAGCAAUUGAGAGCAUAUUUCAGCGUCCUGAGCCAGAUAUGAGUCAGAUGCUCUCAAUGAUGAAGCCAUUGCCUCCUAAUGCACCCUAUCCAACUCGGUUCUUCGUUGAAGACUUAGAGUACCUGCCCAGAACAAUAUAUCACAUCAUAAGGCGGACUCUCUGGCCCGUUAAGGGACACUCUCGAUAUGCAACGAUUGAAGGUGCAAUGAAGACUCUCAUCUUCUGCAUUCUUCAUGGCAAAUGCUUCAACGCACAGGAUCUCUUCAUCCGUCAACUCGCAGCGUCUGCCUCAGAAUUGUAGCUCUAUGCUCCUUGGGUUAUGAGGCUGAUCAAGCUUCACUCUGCAAUCUCCUAUCAACCCUCAGCCCGCAACCAUAGGAUAUUUUUGCCAGAUGUGGACACAUCUGCUGAAGCAAUAUAUCCAGAGCCUGCCAAGCAACCAUUAAGUCUUCAGAAUGCAGAACACCAGAGCUUCACUCAAAAUAUUGAAGGUGUUGAAGCUCUCUCCCGAGUGUAUCCAAUGGCUGGCACCACACGUGCCCCUGCAUCAACUGAAGCCACUAACAGCACAGCUGCAAAGAGACCCAAGAAGCGCGCUCGUGCACUCAAUGACCGAGAGCUUCUUGUGGCUCUUCACCAAAAGCAUGAUAGGCAUCACGACUGGCUCAAGAGGCAGAUGAGAAGCAUCAUGCAAGACGUCAAUCGCAUCAGAAAUCUGGCAACCAAGAAUGCAUUUGUCGCACACGAGACCUGUCGCCGCACUUGGAAAGGCCUCACCAUGAUGUGCACUGAAGCUGACCUGCAUGAGGAUGGCUUCAAAGAGAGAUUCAAAUUUGACUCCACGCCUCCAAGAAAAGCUGUGAUGCGAAGCACACCAUCACUUGAAGAGUCAGAGUUCUCUUCUUCUGCUGCCACCGUGUCUGCCCGGAUUAUUGAAGAAGAAGACGACGCGACAUCAUCUCCACCUGCUUCAACACGCGUUGAAUCUGCACCAAGCUCGUCUGCACCGCCACCAAACAACUCCACCGACCCUGCUGCGCCUGGGAACACGUAGAAACCUCUAUGUCUUCAAACCUUUUUGGUCAUCACUGACAAAAGGGGGAGAAGCAUAUGAUGUUUAUAGUCUUCAAGCGGGUCACUAUGGGCGGGUGCCUUCAUAUUUUGCUACAUUUUGCUUCGUGCUUACAACUCCCGUUUUUGCUACAUUUGCUUCAUUGAGUUGUAACACUUAGCCUUGAUGGUCGUCUGCUACCUGUUUGUCACUCCGUUUUGCGAAGAUAAAUUCCGCAUGUGCGACGAUAAAUUCCGCACUCAUCUCAUUCUGCAGACGUCCAUUUUCCAUUAUGCAUGUCAUUAUCUUCAUAUACUUUCACAUGCAUAGUGGAUUGUCAUCAUAAGUUGAAGUGGAUCUCCACAAGUACAACCUGCCAUGUGCGUUUGCAUUCAAGAAGCAAAUUACUUAUAUGCACAUCUUCAGGGGGAGCCCUUGCAACUUAUGAAGACAAUUCCUUUACAAUUUCAAAAAUUAUGUUCCCCGUUGAAAACUUCAACUAGUUUGUCAUCAAUCACCAAAAAGGGGGAGAUUGUAAGUGCAUCUAGUGCCACCCCUAGUUGGUUUUGGAGUAUUGACGACAAACCUAGUUGAGGGACUAAUGUGUUUGUGAGAAUUGCAGGAAAACACAGGUAGAAGUCCCUUAUUGAUUCGGUUUUACUACCAGAGAUGACCCCUAAAAAUGUACGAAGACAUUGAAGACAAUGGUGGUUUAUGAAGAUAUUCAUAUUGAAGACAAUGACAUGAGAAGACUCCCUAUGAAGCUUAUGGAACUCGAAGACUUAGAUCCUUCAUAGUUUGAUUUCAUUUAUGUUGUGUCGUAGGAACCACCGUACUGUUAAGUGGGGUCCAAGAGAACCGGUCAGAAUGACUGAAGUGAUGCCUAAUUCAAAUCCUAUGUCUUCGAGCGAAGACUAUGAGAGCAAAUCUUGUCCAGAGUCAGACAAGUCAGCUUUACUUGUAGCCCAAGAAAAGUUGCCGUGUGAGUUCAAAAUUCGACCGUUGGUACACGUGUCAGUUCCUUAGUGACCCAGGGUCAUUUCGGACAAAUCAGGUCGGGUUGCCAAGUGGCUAUAAAUAGCCCACCCCCACAACCAUAAAUGGUUGGCUGCUCAGAUUUCAGUGCACGGCUUUUGUCGUUUGAGAGCAACCCACCUCGAAGCCUUUGAAAGAAAAAUUCCUAGUGAGGAGAAAAGCCCUAACCACCCAGAGCCAGAGUAAAUUGGGCAUCACUUAAGUCUUCUUGUCUGUGUGAUCUGAAGACUUAUUACACUUGAGGACUGUGCAUCCUCCAGACGGUUAGGCGUCGCGUUCUGAGAAUCCAAGAGACAUUGUGGAUUGCCAAUGAACAAAGUCUGUGAAGGUUUGGGAGUCUACCUUGAAGACUUACCAAAGUGAUUGGGCGAGGUCUGUGUGACCUUAGCUCAAGGAGAAAACGGUGAGGACUGGGUGUCUUGGACUAAGUGUCCUUGACUGGGUGUCCGGGACUGUGUGUCCUUUGGUUUAAAUACCUAGCCGCUCCAACCAGACGUACAGUUGUCACAGCAACUGGAACUGGUCCAACAUAUCAUUGUCUUCAACGAGUCACUGGUUUCAUCUUCACUUCCUUUGACUUACUGUUAUUCAUUGUGAAGCCAUUGCAUGCUUGCUUUAUCUUUUGUCUUCACAACGUGAAUGUAUGAUCUGUUUGGCUUCAUAACUUCUUCCUACCUGAUCCUUAUUACACUGAAGCUGUUUGUCAUUGUGCUUUCACUCUAUUGAAUACCUGACCAUGCCUGGCCUAGUGUAAUCUAACUUCCGCUGCAUAGUAAUAGGCAUAAUAUUCACUGUUUGUCUUCAUAACUCCCACGUUUUGAAGACUUUCAUAAAAAUCGCCUAUUCAAACCCCCUCUAGUCGAUAUAACGCACUUUCAGAGAGAGCAACAGAUUUAUUGGAAAUCAUACAUACAGAUGUAUGUGGUCCAAUGAACGUUGAAGCUCGUGGCGGAUAUCGUUAUUUUCUCACCUUCACAGAUGAUUUAAGCAGAUAUGGGUAUAUCUACUUAAUGAAACAUAAGUCUGAAAAAUUUGAAAAGUUCAAAGAAUUUCAGAGUGAAGUUGAAAAUCAUUGUAACAAGAAAAUAAAGUUUCUACGAUCUGAUCGUGGAGGAGAAUAUUUGAGUUACGAGUUUGGUGUACAUUUGAAACAACGCGGAAUAGUUUCGCAACUCACACCACCCGGAACACCACAGCGUAAUGGUGUGUCCAAAUGUCGUAAUCAUACUUUACUAGAUAUGGUGCGAUCUAUGAUGUCUCUUACUGAUUUACCGCUAUCGUUUUGGGGUUAUGCUUUAGAGACGGCCGCAUUCACGUUAAAUAGGGCACCAUCGAAAUCCGUUGAGAUGGCACCUUAUGAACUAUGGUUUCGCAAGAAACCAAAGUUGUCGUUUCUUUAAGUUUGGGGUUGCGAUGCUUAUGUGAAAAACCUUCAACCUGAUAAGCUCGAACCCAAAUCGGAGAAAUGUGUCUUCAUAGGAUACCCAAAGGAGACUGUUGGGUACACCUUCUAUCACAGAUCCGAAGGCAAGAUAUUCAUUGCUAAAAAUGGAUCCUUUCUAGAGAAGGAGUUUCUCUCGAAAGAAGUGAGUGGGAGGAAAGUAGAACUUGACGAGGUAACUGUACCUACUCCCUUAUUGGAAAGUAGUGCAUCACAGAAAACUGUUUCAGUGACACCUACACCAGUUAGUGAGGAAGCUAAUGAUGAUGAUCAUGAAACUUCAGAACAAGAUACUACUGAACCUCGUAGAUCAACCAGAGUGAGAUCCGCACCAGAGUGGUACGGUAAUCCUAUUCUGGAAGUCAUGCUACUAGAUCAUGAUGAACCUGCGAACUAUGAAAAAGCGAUGGUGAGCCCAGAUUCCGCAAAAUGGCUUGAAGCCAUGAAAUCUGAGAUGGGAUCCAUGUAUGAGAACAAAGUAUGGACUUUUGUUGACUUGCCCGAUGAUCGGCAAGCAAUUGAGAAUAAAUGGAUCUUCAAGAAGAAGACUGACGCUGACGGUAAUGUUACUGUCUACAAAGCUCGACUUGUGGCAAAAGGUUUUCGACAAGUUCAAGGGAUUGACUACGAUGAGACCUUCUCACCCGUAGCGAUGCUUAAGUCUGUCCGAAUCAUGUUAGCAAUUGCCGCAUUUUAUGAUUAUGAAAUUUGGCAGAUGGAUAUCAAAACUGCAUUCCUGAAUGGAUUUCUGGAAGAAGAGUUGUAUAUGAUGCAACCAGAAGGUUUUGUCAAUCCAAAGGGAGCUAACAAAGUGUGCAAGCUCCAACGAUCCAUUUAUGGACUGGUGCAAGCCUCUCGGAGUUGGAAUAAACACUUUGAUAGUGUGAUCAAAGCAUUUGGUUUUAUACAGACUUUUGGAGAAGCCUGUAUUUACAAGAAAGUGAGUGGGAGCUCUGUAGCAUUUCUGAUAUUAUAUGUUGAUGACAUAUUACUAAUCGGAAAUGAUAUAGAAUUUCUGGAUAGCAUAAAAGGAUACUUGAAUAAGAGUUUUUCAAUGAAAGACCUCGGUGAAGCUGCUUACAUAUUGGGCAUUAAGAUCUAUAGAGAUAGAUCAAGACGCUUAAUUGGACUUUCACAAAGCACAUACCUUGACAAAAUUUUGAAGAAGUUCAAAAUGGAUCAAGCAAAGAAAGGAUUCUUGCCUGUGUUACAAGGUGUGAAGUUGAGUAAGACUCAAUGCCCGACCACUGCAGAAGAUAGAGAGAAAAUGAAAGAUGUUCCCUAUGCUUCAGCCAUAGGCUCUAUCAUGUAUGCAAUGCUGUGUACCAGACCUGAUGUGUGCCUUGCUAUAAGUUUAGCAGGGAGGUACCAAAGUAAUCCAGGAGUGGAUCACUGGACAGCGGUCAAGAACAUCCUGAAGUACCUGAAAAGGACUAAGGAUAUGAUUCUCAUAUAUGGAGGUGACAAAGAGCUCAUCGUAAACGGUUACAUUGAUGCAAGCUUUGACACUGAUCCGGACGAUUCUAAAUCGCAAACUGGAUACGUGUUUACAUUAAACGGUGGAGAUGUCAGUUGGUGCAGUUCUAAACAAAGUGUCGUGGCAGGAUCUACAUGUGAAGCGGAGUACAUAGCUGCUUCGGAAGCAGCAAACGAAGGAGUCUGGAUGAAGGAGUUCAUAUCCGAUCUAGGUGUCAUACCUAGUACAUCGGGUCCAAUGAAAAUCUUUUGUGACAAUACUGGUGCAAUUGCCUUGGCAAAGGAAUCCAGAUUUCACAAAAGAACCAAACACAUCAAGAGACGCUUCAAUUCCAUCCGGGAUCUAGUCCAGGUGGGAGACAUAGAGAUUUGUAAGAUACAUACGGAUCUGAAUGUUGCAGACCCGUUGACUAAGCCUCUUCCACGAGCAAAACAUGAUCAGCACCAAAGCUCCAUGGGUGUUAGAAUCAUUACUGUGUAAUCUAGAUUAUUGACUCUAGUGCAAGUGGGAGACUGAAGGAAAUAUGCCCUAGAGGCAAUAAUAAAGUUAUUAUUUAUUUCCUUAUAUCAUGAUAAAUGUUUAUUAUUCAUGCUAGAAUUGUAUUAACCGGAAACAUAAUACAUGUGUGAAUACAUAGACAAACAGAGGGUCACUAGUAUGCCUCUACUUGACUAGCUCAUUAAUCAAAGAUGGUUAUGUUUCCUAACCAUAGACAAAGAAGUUAUCAUUUGAUUAACGAGAUCACAUCAUUAGUUGAAUGAUCUGAUUGACAUGACCCAUUCCAUUAGCUUAGCACCCGAUCGUUUAGUAUGUUGCUAUUGCUUUCUUCAUGACUUAUACAUGUUCCUAUGACUAUGAGAUUAUGCAACUCCCGUUUGCCGGAGGAACACUUUGUGUGCUACCAAACGUCACAACGUAACUGGGUGAUUAUAAAAGAGCUCUACAGGUGUCUCCAAAGGUACAUGUUGGGUUGGCGUAUUUCGAGAUUAGGAUUUGUCACUCUGAUUGUCGGAGAGGUAUGUCUAGGCCCUCUCGGUAAUGCACAUCACAUAAGCCUUGCAAGCAUUACAACUAAUAUGUUAGUUGUGAGAUGAUGUAUUACGGAACGAGUAAAGAGACUUGCCGGUAACGAGAUUGAACUAGGUAUUGGAUACCGAGGAUCGAAUCUCGGGCAAGUAACAUACCGAUGACAAAGGGAACAACGUAUGUUGUUAUGCGGUCUGACCGAUAAAGAUCUUCGUAGAAUAUGUAGGAGCCAAUAUGGGCAUCUAGGUCCCGCUAUUGGUUAUUGACCGAAGACGUGUCUCGGUCAUGUCUACAUUGUUCUCGAACCGUAGGGUCCGCACGCUUAAAGUUACGAUGACAGUUAUUAUGAGUUUAUGUAUUCUUGAUGUACCAAAGUUUGUUUGGAGUCCCGGAUGUGAUCACGGACAUGACGAGGAGUCUCGAAAUGGUCGAGACAUAAAGAUUGAUAUAUUGGACAGCUAUAUUCGGACACCGGAAUUGUUCCGGGUGAUUUCGGAGAAAACCGGAGUGCCGGAGGGGUUACCGGAACCCCCCCGGGGAAGUAUUGGGCCUUAGUGGGCCUGAGGGGAGAGAGAGGGCUGAAGCCUAGGAGGUGGCGCCCCCCCCAUGGGGAGUCCGAAUUGGACUAGGAGGGGGGCGCAGCCCCCCUUUCCCUUUCCCUUUCCCUUUCCCUUUCCCUUUCCCUUUCCCUUUCCCUUUCCCUUUCCCUUUCCCUUUCCCUUUCCCUUUCCCUCUCCCUCUCCCUCUCCCUCUCCCUCUCUUUCCUUCCCCCUCUCUUUUCCUAGUUGGACUAGGAAAGGGGAGUCCUACUCCCACUAGGAGAAGGACUCCCCCCUCCCUUGGCGCACCCCAUAGGGCUGGCCGGCCUCCCCCGUGCUCCUUUAUAUACGGGGGCAGGGGAGCACACCUAGACACACAAGUUGAUCUUCGUGAUCAUUCCUUAGCCGUGUGCGGUGCCCCUCUCCACCAUAUUCCACCUCGGUCAUAUCGUUGCAGUGCUUAGGCGAAGCCCUGCGCCGGUUGAACAUCAUCACCGUCACCACGCCGUCGUGCUGACGGAACUCUUCCCCGACGCUUUGCUGGAUCGGAGCCCGGGGAACGUCAUCGAGCUGUGCGUGUGCUAAGAACUCGAAGGUGCCGGAGUAACGGUGCUUGGAUCGGUCGGAUCGGGAAGACGUACGACUACUUCCUCUACGUUGUGUCAACGCUUCCGUUGUCGAUCUACAAGGGUACGUAGAUCAUACUCUCCCCUCUCGUUGCUAUGCAUCACCAUGAUAUUGCGUGUGCGUAGGAUUUUUUUUGAAAUUACUACGUUUCCCAACAGGAACACCACAGCGUAAUGGUGUGUCCGAACGUUGUAAUCGUACUUUACUAGAUAUGGUGCGAUCUAUGAUGUCUCUUACUGAUUUACCGCUAUCGUUUUGGGGUUAUGCUUUAGAGAUGGCCGCAUUCACGUUAAAUAAGGCACCAUUGAAAUCCGUUGAGACGACACCUUAUGAACUAUGGUUUGGCAAGAAACCAAAGUUGUCGUUUCUUUAAGUUUGGGGCUGCGAUGCUUAUGUGAAAAACCUUCAACCUGAUAAGCUCAAACCCAAAUCGGAGAAAUGUGUCUUCAUAGGAUACCCAAAGGAGACUGUUGGGUACACCUUCUAUCACAGAUCCGAAGGCAAGAUAUUCGUUGCUAAAAAUGGAUCCUUUCUAGAGAAGGAGUUUCUCUCGAAAGAAGUGAGUGGGAGGAAAGUAGAACUUGACGAGGUAACUGUACCUACUCCCUUAUUGGAAAGUAGUGCAUCACAGAAAACUGUUUCAGUGACACCUACACUAGUUAGUGAGGAAGCUAAUGAUGAUGAUCAUGAAACUUCAGAACAAGAUACUACUGAACCUCGUAGAUCAACCAGAGUGAGAUCCGCACCAGAGUGGUACGGUAAUCCUGUUCUGGAAGUCAUGCUACUAGAUCAUGAUGAACCUGCGAACUAUGAAAAAGCAAUGGUGAGCCCAGAUUCCACAAAAUGGCUUGAAGCCAUGAAAUCUGAGAUGGGAUCCAUGUAUGAGAACAAAGUAUGGACUUUGGUUGACUUGCCCGAUGAUCGGCAAGCAAUUGAGAAUAAAUGGAUCUUCAAGAAGAAGACUGACGCUGACGGUAAUGUUACUGUCUACAAAGCUCGACUUGUCGCAAAAGGUUUUCGACAAGUUCAAGGGAUUGACUACGAUGAGACCUUCUCACCAGUAGCGAUGCUUAAGUCUGUCUGAAUCAUGUUAGCAAUUGCCGCAUUUUAUGAUUAUGAAAUUUGGCAGAUGGAUGUCAAAACUGCAUUCCUGAAUGGAUUUCUGGAAGAAGAAGAGUUGUAUAUGAUGCAACCGGAAGGUUUUGUCGAUCUAAAGGGAGCUAGCAAAGUGUGCAAGCUCCAGCGAUCCAUUUAUGGACUGGUGCAAGCCUCUCGGAGUUGGAAUAAACGUUUUGAUAGUGUGAUCAAAGCAUUUGGUUUUAUACAGACUUUCAGAGAAGCCUGUAUUUACAAGAAAGUGAGUGGGAGCUCUAUAGCAUUUCUGAUAUUAUAUGUGGAUGACAUAUUACUGAUUGGAAAUGAUAUAGAAUUUCUGGAUAGCAUAAAGGGAUACUUGAAUAAAAGUUUUUCAAUGAAAGACCUCGGUGAAGCUGCUUACAUAUUAGGCAUAAAAAUCUAUAGAGAUAGAUCAAGACGCUUAAUUGGACUUUCACAAAGCAUAUACCUUGACAAGAUUUUGAAGAAGUUCAAAAUGGAUCAAGCAAAGAAAGGGUUCUUGCCUGUGUUACAAGGUGUGAAGUUGAGUCAGACUCAAUGCUCGACCACUGCAGAAGAUAGAAAGAAAAUGAAAGAUGUUCCCUAUGCUUCAGCCAUAGGCUCUAUCAUGUAUGCAAUGCUGUGUACCAGACCUGAUGUGUUCCUUGCUAUAAGUCUAGCAUGGAGGUACCAAAGUAAUCCAGGAGUGGAUCACUGGACAAUGGUCAAGAACAUCCUGAAGUACCUGAAAAGGACUAAGGAUAUGUUUCUCGUAUAUGGAGCUGACAAAGAGCUCAUCGUAAACGGUUACGUUGAUGCAAGCUUUGACAUUGAUCCGGACGAUUCUAAAUCGCAAACCGGAUACGUGUUUACAUUAAACGGUGGAGCUGUCAGUUGGUGCAGUUCUAAACAAAGCGUCGUGGCGGGAUCUACAUCUGAAGCGGAAUACAUAGCUGCUUCGGAAGCAGCAAACGAAGGAGUCUGGAUGAAGGAGUUCAUAUCCGAUCUAGGUGUCAUACCUAGUGCAUCGGGUCCAAUGAAAAUCUUUUGUGACAAUACUGGUGCAAUUGCCUUGGCGAAGGAAUCCAGAUUUCACAAAAGAACCAAGCACAUCAAAAGAUGCUUCAAUUCCAUCCAGGAUCUAGUCCAGGUGGGAGACAUAGAGAUUUGCAAGAUACAUACGGAGCUGAAUGUAGCAGACCCGUUGACUAAGCCUCUUCCACGAGCAAAACAUGAUCAACACCAAAGCUCCAUGGGUGUUAGAAUCAUUACUGUAUAAUCUAGAUUAUUGACUCUAGUGCAAGUGGGAGACUGAAGGAAAUAUGCCCUAGAGGCAAUAAUAAAGUUAUUAUUUAUUUCCUUAUAUCAUGAUAAAAGUUUAUUAUUCAUACUAGAAUUGUAUUAACCGGAAACAUAAUACAUGUGUGAAUACAUAGACAAACAGAGUGUCACUAGUAUGCCUCUACUUGACUAGCUCGUUAAUCAAAGAUGGUUAUGUUUCCUAACCAUAGACAAAGAGUUGUCAUUUGAUUAACGGGAUCACAUCAUUAGUUGAAUGAUCUGAUUGACAUGACCCAUUCCAUUAGCUUAGCACCCGAUCGUUUAGUAUGUUGCUAUUGCUUUCUUCAUGACUUAUACAUGUUCCUAUGACUAUGAGAUUAUGUAACUCCCGUGUACCGGAGGAACACUUUGUGUGCUACCAAACGUCACAAGUAACUGGGUGAUUAUAAAGGUGCUCUACAGGUGUCUCCAAAGGUACAUGUUGGGUUGACGUAUUUCGAGAUUAGGAUUUGUCACUCCGAUCGUCGGAGAAGUAUCUCUGGGCCCUCUCGAUAAUGCACAUCACUUAAAGCCUUGCAAGCAUUGCAACUAAUGAGUUAGUUGCGGGAUGAUGUAUUACGGAACGAGUAAAGAGACUUGCCGGUAACGAGAUUGAACUAGGUAUUGGAUACCGACGAUCGAAUCUCGGGCAAGUAACAUACCGAUGACAAAGGGAACAACGUAUGUUGUUAUGCGGUCUGACCGAUAAAAGAUCUCCGUAGAAUAUGUAGGAACCAAUAUGGGCAUCCAGGUCCCGCUAUUGGUUAUUGACCGGAGACGUGUCUCGGUCAUGUCUACAUUGUUCUCGAACCCAUAGGGUCCGCACGCUUAAGGUUUCGAUGACAGUUAUAUUAUGAGUUUAUACGUUUUGAUGUACCGAAGGUUGUUCGGAGUCCCGGAUGUGAUCACGGACAUGACGAGGAGUCUCGAAAUGGUCAAGACAUAAAGAUUGAUAUAUUGGAAGCCUAUUUUUGGAUAUCGGAAGUGUUCCGGCUGAAAUCGUGAUUUUACCGGAGUACCGGGAGGUUACCGGAACGCCCCGGGAGGUACAUGGGCCUUAAUGGGCCUUAGUGGAAGAAGAGGAGAGGCGGUCAGGGCUGGGUCGCAUGCCCCUCCCCCCUAGUCCGAAUAGGACAAGGACAGAGGGGGUCGGCGCCCCUUCCUUCUCUCUCUCUCUCUUUUCCCACCUCGCGAAUCCUAUUCCAACUAGGAUUGGGGGAGAAGUCCUACUCCCGGAGGGAGUAGGAAUCCUCCUGGCGCGCCCUAUGGUGGCCGGCCGGCCUCCCCCUUUUGAACCUUUAUAUACGGAGGCAGGGGCACCCCAAGAGAUAGAAGUUGAUCCACGUGAUCAUAUUCUUAGCCGUGUGCGGUGCCCCCUUCCAUCAUAGUCCUCGAUAAUAUUGUAGUGGUGCUUAGGCGAAGCCCUGCGACAGUAGUACAUCAAGAUCGUCACCACGCCGUCGUGCUGAUGGAACUCUUCCCCGACACUUUGCUGGAUCGGAGUCCGGGGAUCGUCAUCGAGCUGAAGUGUGCUAGAACUCGGAGGUGCCGUAGUUUCGGUGCUUGAUCGGUCGGGCCGUGAAGACGUACGACUACAUCAACCAAACGCUUCCGUUGUCGAUCUACAAGGGUACGUAGAUCACACUCUCCCCUCUUGUUGCUAUGCAUCACCAUGAUCUUGCGUGUGCGUAGGAUUUUUUUUGAAAUUACUACGUUCCCCAACAGGCAUGUACGCACCCCGGGAUUGGGAGAGUGUGGAGCCACCAGGGGCUAUUUAGUAGCCCCACUGUCAAACUCCUAUGGCUAAGUGAAAGUGCUAAAGCAUUAUAGUCCGGUUGCCUCGCUCGCUCCGCUAUCACCUCCUUAAUAGGACCAAGACAUUGGGUUAAGUGUGAACGCAUGUUUUUUGCGAGCACCUCCGCAUUAUAUGCGUGGGGGUUGAAGCUGACGGCUGCAAUCUUUCAGGUUAUACACAUGUAUACAUAAACGACCGCCCAAGAGGCAUCAUAUUACUUUCAGGCAAAAUUAUAAAAAUAGCCUUACAAAAAUUUAUAAAAGCAUUUCGCUUACCAUGAGAUUACAUAAACAUAAUAUCUUUUGAGCACUGAGUCUCUAUCAAACGAGCACCCUCAAGAACUUCUUCAAAGUAGUGCUCAGCAGCCAUUCGACCUAUGGCCGAAUCCCACGCUGCAACAGUGGUAGCAUCCAUCUCCGCCCAGUAUGCUUUAACACGGGCAAAGGCCAUCCGUGCACCCUCUAUGCACGCCGACCUCUUCAUCGCAUUAAUGCGCGGCACCACGUCAAGGAACUGCUGCACCAAGUUGAAAUAGAUGUUCGGUUUUGACCUUUCCGGCCGUAGCUGAUCCACAACAGACCUCAUGGCGCGUCCGGACAACCUAUUCAGUUCGGCCCAUUCGGCUAAUUGGUCAGUCAAUGAAAGCGGACGCUCAAGAGAAUGGAAUUGUCUCCAAAACAGCUGGUCUAAUUCACGGUCCGUCUGACCCUGGAAGUACUUGGCCGCAUCGGCAGCGCUCGCCGCCAAAUCCAUAUACACAUCCUCCAAACUCCAUAGCCGAUCUAGAGGGGCAUAUCGUGGAACUCAAAAUUUCAGCUUGAUCCGACCGUCCAAACUCCGGUAACCUUCCGAUUAGUGCAUCACUUUUCGGAUCUGUUUUCUGCGCGAAAACGAAUCCGACCCGAGUUCAUCUUUUUUAUGAACGGGGUUUUGGACAUCCCUUUUGAAGGAAGUUUUGUAUGGGGUAUUGUGUUUUGUUGCCGAACACAUCCCACUAACUUUAAGAUCUUUUGAACAUGAUCUUCAACAUCAUGCUGGUGUCAAACCAGUCCGGCAAUAUUACUCCACGGCUGCCGACCUGUGCUAGACACGGCGUCACUUUGUUGAGCCGAGCUCAACUUCUUUGGAUCAUCAUCUCGGCAAGCCGAACAAGAGUCCGGCAUCGCGAAGGGUAAAUCAUCACCAACAGCGUCGCCCCACGGAUUACACGGAGCGGGCAUCCCGGCAUCGCCGCACGGUCGCUUCAUCAAGCCGGCAUCGACCACGUCACGACUUGCAUCGACAGGGCCGCACUAUUGCUUCUUUAAGCUGGUGUCCAUCACGCCGACCUACUUCGACUCAUCGGCUGACAUCGAGGCUUCGACAUCUCGGCUGGACCGGGGGCUUCGCCAUCUCUUCAUCAACCUACUCCAGACACUUCGACGUCACUAGCCAACCAGCUCCAUCACGUUAGAUGGGCCGAGGGCUUUGCCUCGGCGAGCCAACCUUUACCAGCAUUGCCAUGCCGUCGUUUUAUCGCCCAUCAGACAAUGGGUGUGCGGAGCGAGUCCCAAUUUUGGGAAUCACCUUCCUUCGGAUUGCUACAACAAAUAAACCAGGUGCUAUUAAUCUUAGUAUUUUUUGCUUGUUUGGGUUCAUUUUUCCCAAGGAAUUAUUAAAGGAAAUAUGCCCUAGAGGCAAUAAUAAAGUUAUUAUUUAUUUCCUUAUAAUCAUGAUAAAUGUUUAUUAUUCAUGCUAGAAUUGUAUUAACCGGAAACAUAAUACAUGUGUGAAUACAUAGACAAACAAAGUGUCACUAGUAUGCCUCUACUUGACUAGCUCGUUAAUCAAAGAUGGUCAUGUUUCCUGACCAUGAACAAAGAGUUGUUAUUUGAUUAACGAGGUCACAUCAUUAGUUGAAUGAUCUGAUUGACAUGACCCAUUCCAUUAGCUUAGCACCCGAUCGUUUAGUAUGUUGCUAUUGCUUUCUUCAUGACUUAUACAUGUUCCUAUGACUAUGAGAUUAUGCAACUCCCGUUUACCGGAGGAACACUUUGGGUGCUACCAAACGUCACAACGUUACUGGGUGAUUAUAAAGGAGCAUUACAGGUGUCUCCAAAGGUAGAUGUUGGGUUGGCGUAUUUCAAGAUUAGGAUUUGUCACUCCGAUUGUCGGAGAGGUAUCUCUGGGCCCUCUCGGUAAUGCACAUCACAUAAGCCUUGCAAGCAUUACAACUAAUGAGUUAGUUGCGAGAUGAUGUAUUACGGAACGAGUAAAGAGACUUGCCGGUAACGAGAUUGAACUAGGUAUUGGAUGACGAUGAUCGAAUCUCGGGCAAGUAACAUACCGAUGACAAAGGGAACAACGUAUGUUGUUAUGCGGUCUGACCGAUAAAGAUCUUCGUAGAAUAUGUAGGAGCCAAUAUGGGCAUCCAGGUCCCGCUAUUGGUUAUUGACCGGAGACAUGUCUCGGUCAUGUCUACAUUGUUCUCGAACCCGUAGGGUCCGCACGCUUAAGGUUACGAUGAUAGUUAUAUUAUGAGUUUAUGCAUUUUGAUGUACCGAAGGUUGUUCGGAGUCCCGGAUGUGAUCACGGACAUGACGAGGAGUCUCGAAAUGGUCGAGACGUAAAGAUUGAUAUAUUGGAAGCCUAUGUUUGGACAUCGAAAGUGUUCCGGGUGAAAUCGGGAUUUUACCGGGUUACCGGGAGGUUACCGGAACCCCCCGGGAGCCAUAUGGGCCUUCAUGGGCCUUAGUGGAAAGGAGAAAGGGGCAGCCCAAGGGGGCUGCGCACCUCCCCCCUCCCCUAGUCCUAUUAGGACUAGGAGAGGUGGCCGGCCACCCCUCUCCCUCUUUCCCCCUUGGGAAUCCUAGUUGGAAUAGGAUUGGGGGGGGGGAGUCCUACUCCCGGAAGGAGUAGGACUCCUCCUGCGCCCUCUCCCUGGCCGGCGCCCCCUCUCCCCCUUGGCUCCUUUAUAUACUGAGGCAGGGGGCACCCCAUAGACACACAAGUUGAUCCUCGUGAUCGUUCCUUAACCGUGUGCGGUGCCCCCUGCCACCAUAUACCUCGAUAAUACUGUAGCGGAGUUUAGGCGAAGCCCUGCUGCUGUAGUUCAUCAAGAUCGUCACCACGCCGUCGUGCUGAUGAAACUCUACCCCGACACUUUGCUGGAUCGGAGUCCGGGAAUCGUCAUCGAGCUGAACGUGUGCUCGAACUCGGAGGUGCCGUAGUUUCGGUGCUUGAUCGGUUGGAUCGUGAAGACGUACGACUACUUCCUCUACGUCGUGACAUCGCUUCCGCAGUCGGUCUGCGUUGGGUACGUAGACAACACUCUACCCCCUCGUUGCUAUGCAUCACAUGAUCUUGCGUGUGCGUAGGAAAUUUUUUGAAAUUACUACGAAACCCAACAAUUAUUACUCUGGUUUGCCCAUCAUAUGUACACAGGUCUAUCAAAUGAUGGCCUCAUUAACGACGGGCGCGUGGUGGUUCGGUCAGUCUUCGUACAUAGUCCGGCGAACGUCGCAUCCGGAACUCGGACCGACUUGUGAAUUCAGGCUUUGCCACGCCUUUACCGCAUCACGCCGACGCCCUGCAUCGACAUUGGUGCUUUGACUUCGGCGCCAGGCCAUAUUUCUUUUAUUACUCACUUUGCAUAAAUUAUUUAUUAUGCAACGAUUUUUUUUAAUUAUCAUCAUCACUAUUAUCUCCCGUUUGCACUAUUUUUGUGCACAGGAAAAUGAUCCGGGGACUUCGGCGUCACUCUGCCGGUCUACAUCGACCGUGCUAUGUCACCACUUCGGCGUGUCGAGCUCUCCGCUCCGCCACCUCGGGACUGGCUUGGGGGAUGGAACCUUGUCCCGCAUCAAGCUCGGACCGCGUCAUCAAUACCGAACACAUUAACCAGCUAAGUCGCUUUCAUGCUCAAAGCUUUAAUUUCUAACUUGCGUUCGGUUCGACCAAGCGUUAUACUUUUUUGGAAAAAAGUUGCUUGUAAAAAAUUUCCUUGUCCAAACUUUGUUUGUGACCCAUAAAUUCAAAUACCCAAUUCAUUUGGGGGCUUCCUUUAUGAAGCUUUUCCUGUUGCAUAUGAUUAUACUUGUACGGCUUUGUUCCUUGUUCGUGUAUUACGCCACAAUAUGCAUCAUAUUGACUUAAGCGAUUUGCAAGCUGGGUUGCCUUGCUCCUGUGUUUACCCCUACGUUCCCGAUUGUUUGGCUAGGGAGUAAAGGGAGCACCUCUGCGAUUGUCACGAUCGGGUCGCCCGAGCCGGACCUCAGACUGGGUGAAGCCGAAAGCUAGCGCUCUUAUAGUUUUCAAUGAUGGUCGGCACACAACAGAACUCAUGAGUAUAAAAAAUCUAUUGCACAAGUCUCAUAAUAACAAUGAGCACCAAAGAAAGGUAUCGGUGGGGGUACUAUUUUCUUCGAAGAUGCUUCUUACACUUCACAGUAAUAUAGCAUAAGUUCCCUGAGCGUGCUUUGCCUGUUACAGCCUUAUGGCCUGAUUGCCUGGUUAUUGGAAACACCGUCGAUAUUCUCGACCGAUGGAGUACAUAACACUUUUCGGUCCUUGACCGAAGAGGGAGAAGCCGACGAUCGGUUAAGACGCGUUUAAAGUUCAGUUGAACAUAGAUAUGAUAUAAGUACUUCGGUACAUGCAAUCAUUCUUCUACCCAAGUCACUUGGGGGCUCUUAAGUUUAUUUGAGCCGUUUUAUAAUAAGUGUUCUUCUUCUUAAUCGUUGCAAAGUUUUAUUAUUAUUAUUUAUCACUCCUUUUUUCGACACGAGUGUGCGGUCACUAGCCGGUGAGCCUAAUUUCUCUCUCAAAGCCGCUAGAGUUUAGUUUGCUAAACUGGCCUGAUGAGAAGUACUCCACCCUCGGGAUAGGAGGUUGAAGCCGUAGGCUGACCCGCUCGAAGUCUUGAGAUAGGAUAUAUCACGUUAAAGCACGACAGAAUCACUUCUUUUUUCUAAGACCAAUUUUCGGAUUGGCACCGAACACUUGAUCUUGUUCGGACGUCAUGUUUUUACUGACGUUUCUUGGUUUUCCAAGCUUUUUGGCACUUUUAAACUAUUUGUGCUUUUCCAGCAUUAGUCUCGCAGUGCAACGCCGGACACCUUUAGGGAUUCGGCAAAAACAUUCUCGGAUAUUGCUAUAUAUGCAUCGGUUUCGAAAUGUGUCUUCGGUCAAUAGUUGGGUUGCCCGGCUCCUGUGCUUUCAUCCUACGUUCCGCUUUGUUCGGCUAGAUGUGCAAAGGGAGAACCACUGCGAUUGUGCUUCCAGCUCGCAUGGUCAAGCACCUUAGUGGAGAAAGCCGAAAACUGACUGUCACAAUAAGCGUAAACUGGUCAGUGAUCCGAUGACUAUGACGGGCCGUUCAUAACAUUGGCCGAAGUGUUUACGGCUUGACCUCGACUGUCGCCGAACACUACCGGGGGCUAUUAACUGGCCUCCCAAACUAAAUCCUCGAUAUUUUGCUCUUACAUUCGAGCUGAGGUUUCAUGAUCAUGCUUAGCAUGACAACCCAAAGAAAGGAACCGAUAGCGGGACUAUUUUCUUUGGAAGACAUUUCUUCUGUUAAACAGUAAUAUAACAUAUCUCUCUGCGUACCUUUGUUUAUAAAACCGUAUGGCCAGAUUGCCUUGUUUGUUGUAAAUCUUUGCCCUCAUAAAGACUUUAUAAAGUAGGACAAACACUCCUCGGCUACUGGCCGAGGAGGUGGAAGCCGAUGGUCGGUCAACAAAGUUUUGUACAAUGCGGAUCUGAGCAUUAAUGACAUAAAGUACUUGGAUACAUAGAGUCAUUACACAUAAUUUGUGAUUUUACUAUGGAUAUUGAUCCUUAAUUCGGCCACCCGUGCCCGCAUUAAGGCUCGGGGGCUACUGGGCUUCGGGCUUAUUAUUUACAAAUAUUAAAGGGGCACAUCGAUCCCCUGAUCUGGUGUUGCCACCCGACCAGUGUCUCGGGGGCUACUGCAUUGCUUGUCCAAUACAGAAAAUUUUAUGUGCAAUAUAGUUUCCGAGGAGAUUUUGAUCCUCAUGUUGGUCGGCCGCACCCAACCUGAGUCCCGAGGACUGAGCACGCCGCUUUUAGUGUCCCGAAGUAUUCUGCCGAGCUUGGACUCGAUCCUUAGACCGAUUUUGCAAAUCAACCUGAGUCUCAGCGGCUACUGGGAUCAGCGGUCUUACAUCAUCCUUCAGGUGCAUCUCGGGUUUCAGACCGAUACCCACCUUGAGGGCUACUGGCUAUAUAUCUCGGUAGAGAAUAAAUUGCACCAAUAAAAAAUAUUCACAAAAAUCGGCCCACAUUCAGGGUGGUGCACCACCUCGGAAGCAGCCCGACAUAAAGCUCGGGCGCUAGUGGCUGGCUCCAUAGAGGGCAUUUCCGGCAUUAAGCUCGGCUAAACUCCUUCAAACUUCUUUGAACCAAGGUGAUUUACGACACCUCGGAUAUAGUCCGGCGUUGGAGCUCGGAUACAGUCCGGCGUUGGAGCUCGGAUAUACAGUCCGGCGUUGGAUCUCGGAUACAUAGUCCGGCGUUGGAGCUCGGAUACAUUCCGGCAUUAGAGCUGGGAAGCGGUCCGGCGUUGGUGCUCGGUUGCAAAAGAUACCUCGAAUACAGUCCGGCGUUGGAGCUCGGACGCAAGAGGACGCUGCCGCCUGGGAACAACUUCAAACCCGAGGUGUGGCAUAAAAAUAACAAGGCAUUGAUAAAGGCCGGAAACUUAAAGGGGCUCCUUGGAUACCCGAGGUGUAAACUCGUCGAAUGCAUUUCGGCGAUCCUCAAGAUCGAAGAUGAGAAGAUUUGUUAAACCAGUUUUCAAGACCGGCGACCGAAGAUGAAGAACGGUUCGGAAGAAUCGAGGAGCGUCCCUAACUCGAAGACCGGUUCAGGGGGCUACUGACGGUGUCCUGGACUAGGGGGUACUCACCACGUCGUCUCCCGAUCUAUUAGAUUGGGCCGAGGACCCCCAUGGCCGUAUACUCAUGGGCCAGUUCGGACAGCUGCCGCAUACAAGGAAGAUUACACAAGACUUGGCGAUCAAGACAAGGACUUCUCCCCACCGGCGUAUUCGGCUAGGACUCUUGUUAACCUAGGCCUCUGGUGCAUUAUAUAAACCAGGGCCGGGCUAGUCGAUAGAAUAUACACAUCAACAAUCAUACCACAGGCUAGCUUCUAGGGUUUAGCCUCUCUGAUCUCGUGGUAGAUCUACUCUUGUACUACCCAUAUCAUCAAUAUUAAUCAAGCAGGACGUAGGAUUUUACCUCCAUCGAGAGGGCCCAAACCUGGGUAAAACUUUGUGUCCCUUGACUCCUGUAACCAUCCAGCCUAGACGCACAGUUCGGGACCCCUACCCGAGAUCCGCCGGUUUUGACACCGACAAUAUCCCUUAGUUUCCAAUAGGACCCCGCUGCCACGGGAGGGUAGGACAAAAGAUGUCAUGCAAGUUCUUUUCCAUAAGCACGUAUGACUAUAUACGGAAUACAUGCCUACAUUACAUUGAUGAAUUGGAGCUAGUUCUGUAUCACCCUAUGUUAUGACUGUUACAUGAUGAAUCGCAUCUGGCAUAAUUAUCCAUCACUGAUUCGGUGCCUACGAGUUUUCCAUAUACUGGUUUACGCUUAUUUACUUUCCCGCUGCUACGGUUACAAUCACUACAAAAUACCAAAAACAUUACUUUUGCUGUCUUUACUUUUGUUGCCACUACCACCACUAUCAUAUUACUUUGGUACUAAACACUUUGCUGCAGAUACUAAGUUUCCAGGUGUGGUUGAAUUGACAGCUCAACCGCUAAUACUUGAGAAUAUUCUUUGGCUCCCCUUGUGUCGAAUCAAUAAAUUUGGGUUGAAUACUCUACCCUCGAAAGCUGUUGCGAUCCCCUAUACUUGUGGGUUAUCAGUAGGGUCUCCCUCCCUUCGCCGAGUACAGUAGAAGGCCGUUCCUGACGGAUGACCUCAGCACAGGCAUCCUGCAGCUCGCGGAGGACCACUACAUUGUUGCCGACCUCAAUGUCUACCCCAAAAGAAAGGGCAAUGGCAUGCGUGUCGUACUCCGCGUCUUCAACUCCGAGACUGGAAAGUGGAAAAUCAUCCCCAAAUUGGACCCGGGCAAUGGCGGCCAGUUCCCCGAACUCUGGUCAACCGACAAUGUGCUCGCUUUCGACGGCUGUUUCCUGUGCUGGGUCGACUACUUCGCGGUGUCCUGCUAUGUGACUUCUCCGAAAACAUAGACUCCCUGUCGCUCUGCUUCGUGCCUUUCCCUGGAGGAAAAGAGUACCGUGGUAAGGUACGGGUUGAAAGGUACUUCCCGGAGAGAUUCCGAAGUGUGUCCAUCAACCAAGGCAAGAUCUGCUUCGUCCACAUUGACAAUGACUUCCAGACAGAGUCCCUGGUCGCUGCCGCCGAUGCCUUGAGCUUCGUGAUAGAAAAAGGCAAGGGCAGCAGCAGCAGACUCCGAAGAAAAUCACCAGUUGGACUUUGAACUCCGAGUUUGAGUGGAAGCUACAUCGUGUGAUCAACCUGGACUCUCUCUGGGCGCAAGCUGGUUACAGGGAUCUGCACAUAGAUCAGCGAAAAUAAUUAUUAAAACAUGUUCCAACGUGUAUCUGAAAAACGUUUAGCAUGUAUUUGAAUGUUUUUCAAACAUGUUUUUGUAAAAGUUGUAAUAAUGCAUUUGAAAAAUAUUAAACAUGCAUAAAAAUGUUUUAGAUGCAUACAAAAGAUAUAGAACUUGUAUGAAAAGGUAGACAUCAAAACAUAUACUCGAAAAAAUGUUAAUAAUAUAUAUUUGAAAAUGUUUAACAUGUAUAAAAAAAUAUGAUGUAUAUUUAUUUACAAGGCGUAUGAAAAAUGUAGAUGUUUGUUGAGAAAAAAGAAAAUGAAGAAACAAAGAUAAGCGAAUAAAACCAGUGAAAUGUUCUUAUAUUUAUUUAUAAGAACAUUUUUUACACUAGUGUAGUGUCAAAAACGUUCUUAUAUUAUGGGACAGAGGGAGUAGGAAAGAAACAAAGAAAACCGAGGAGACAAAAGGAAAAAAAAUAAAAUGAAAAAAGAAGGAAAAAGAGGAAAACCGAAAAAAAACCAAAGAAAACCUAGCAAAAAGUGGAGACGAAAAAACCUAGCUACAGGAAAAGGCCAGCCCAGUAGAGUGCCAGUCAGAGGCGAGACGGACUCCGCUUCGGACUUGUUUCCGGUUGCUGGCCUAACCGUCUCGUGGCCGGCCCAGUGAGAUUUUUAGUAACUUAUAGCCUGUGGCCCUUCUUUCCCGUCCACCAAAGACCAAACCAGUUCCUCCCCACCAGAAACAUGGUUAGGGUUAGGGUUAGGGAGGAGGCGGAGGCGGCUGCUUUAUUCCCGAUCCCGAUCUCAAUCCCGAUGCCGAUCCCCAUGACCACCGGAGGAAAAAAGAUUAGGGAGGAGGCGGAGGCGGAGGCGGAGGCGGCUGCUUUAUUCCCGACGCGGAUCCCGAUCGGCAUGGCCAGCAGAGGCGGAGGAGCGCCAUGGGCGGACGGUGCCUUCCCCGAUUGGGUGAUGCUGGACCGCCUCGGCCGCACCAAGUCCUACGACGGCAUAUGCGCUGUUCGUGAGGCCGUCAACCAGAACAAGACCGCCGCUGCAGUUCACAUGGCCAGCGGCCGCUCCUGCUACGUGUCCUUCGCCCUCGCCGAUCCUCCAGAAGGGGUCUCCUACUUCGACCUCCACUGGCCGGAGAAAGAAGCCUCAGCCACCCGGCCCGCCUGUCCCUACGUCCGGGCAACUGACGAGGACCUCGUCCUCUUCCACAUCUCCAUCCCGAGCCAGACUCGCUACGACAACAUCGCGUCAGAUCUGUUCGUCUACACGGCCGCCGGUCCUUCCCCCUCGGUGCAGCAGCUCCCUCGGUACACCAAGGACAGGAAAAGGCCGUUCCUGAUGGAUAAAUUCGCCACAGGCAUCCUGCAGCUCGCGCCGGACUGCUACAUUGUUGCCGACCUUAAUGUCUACCCCAAAAAAAGCGACACUGGCAAUCAUCCCAUGCUUGUUGAACUCUGCAUCUUCAACUCCGAGAAAGGACAUUGGGGAACCAUCUGCAACAGGCCUGCCCCGCGGCCGCAUGACCAGAGCAAUGUCCGGUUCCCCUUCCUGUGGUCAACUGACGAUGUGCUCGCUCUUGAUGGUCGUUUUCUGUGCUGGGUAGACUACUUCAGCGGUGUCCUAAUAUCUGACUUCUCCGAUACAUGCUCCCCUGUGCUUCACUUCGUGCCUUUCCCCGGGGGAAAAGAGUACCGUAAUGACGUACGGGUUGAAAGAUACUUCCCCGGGAGAUUCCAAAGUGUGUCCGUCAGCCAAGGCAUGCUGCGCUUUGUCCACAUUGACAAUGACUUCCAUGAGAGAAUCCAUGGUGGCCAUCGUCACCUUCUUGAGAGAAGACUAGGGCAGCACCCUCGCCAAAAGAUCACCAUUUGGAAUUUGAACAUGAUGUCCAAGUUCAAGUGGGAGCUCCAUCGUGUGAUCUACCUGGAUUCUGUCUGGGGUAGCUCUGGUUACCAGGAGCUGCACAUACCUUGCCGUCUUCCUGAGUUCCCAAUCAUCAGUGCGGAUGACCCGGAUGUUGUAUGCUGCCUUUUAAGGGAGGAGGAAUUUCACGGUGAGGCGUGGAUGAUCAUGGUUGACAUGAAACAGGCACAUGUUCAGUCAUGUACUCCAUAUAUCAAUCAACAGUCCUGCUAUGCUAAGUCUGUGGGUGUGGAUGUGCAAGCUCGCAAAAGCCGUUUUGCUAAUGUGCCCCUACUUCCAGCUGUCUUCUCCAGACACCUUGAAAGGCCAACAGGUAACUAGAAGAAGUUCUCUUAGUGUUUAAAUGACGCUCUUUUAUGUACGUUAUCACAUAUUACCUAACAUGGUUGCCUUUGAUUAGCUUUCUGUUGGAUAUGGUAGUGUAACGCUGCUUUUUUUCUUACUACUAUUUAUCUUGCCUAUGAUGCAAAUACAUAUGCUGCCUGGUUGCGUGUGCGAUUCUCAUAGGUAAUUGAAUUGUGACUUUGGUGCACGCUUAUUACCCCCCUCCAUUAGCGGCAUUGGUUCUACUGAUCAGGGUUGUUUGCCCGGCAUUAUUCUCUGUAGCUUUGGUCCUGCUUCAAAUUUUCUAAUUUGCCGCUUUCCGACACUGCAUCGCUGUGUUAUCGUAAUAUAUACUCCUGUUAAUAAUAGCUUUAACUAAUUGAAGCAUUUGAUAUAUUGUUACCAUGAAUCUUCUGUUAGGCUGUUCAAGCGUUUGAGUUUUAGCCACUCUAGCUGUGUAGGGCUCUACACUGUAUGACAAUAAAAGCUUUGGUCCUUAUGCCAUCAAGAUGUCCUUGAGAGAGUCCUCUAUUUCUCCUAGUAGGAUCUUUUGCUCUUUAUGGGACUGUCCAUUGCCUGUACAGGUUUAGUUCUUGAUUCAUCACACAGCCUUCUGUUGCUACUAGUAUGGUGUGCUAUUUUUAAGUGAAUUUUAGGAACAAGAAAAACACUAUUUUGAUUGCUCUUGUAAAGCAUAUUAUAUGGUCCUCUAUUUUCUAGUAGCAACCUGACAGAAGUAUAUAUAGACAUGCACACGCGCGCACAUGCAUUUAGCUUUUAACACAUAUUAUUUCUGUUGGCGAGAGUUUUAAAAUGUGUUUCGUUGGGUUGCUUUGGGUCAAUCAGGUCACAUCUUUGGCUGUUUCUGUUAGAAUCAGUUUGUUUCAGAUAGUGUGUACUUUCUGUAUCAUGUAACUGGAUACUGGGCUGGUGAAAAGCCAUUCUCCCUGCAUGAGAAUGUCAUUGGGUAAAACUCCUGUAUUUUAGCCUUGCCGGCCUUCUCAUGUGUCUGUCUUUGUCUUGAUUCUGGCGACAAACUUUCCCGCUGGUUUCUUCAUCUUCUCACGCCUCAUCCGACAUCCUUAAACCUGCCUUGUGCGACCUGAAUGCACCACCCCAUCCUCGGCCCAUCAGCAGCAUGUUCGCCAACAGUCCCCUGUUUGCCAGUUGUGGUCUUUUCAGCUGGUUGAUAAAGUCGAUACCUGCUCAUUGAGGCCACAAACGCAACGUCAUGACUAUGUGGCAGAAAUGAAAGAAAACGCUUUGAUGACAAGUUACCCGAGAGCUAACGAUGAAGAGCAUAAUGCCAUCACCUUCCGAAACAAGAUCAAUUAUAUGAUGUCAUUACAUUACAUUUAUAUUAAUUGAGGUCGUUACCAUUUUCUUUAUUAAAAAUACUCCAGUGCAAUGCCAUUACUCUUUCUAGUUUGUCUAUUUCUUUUUUUGAACUAGUAUUGUGUACAACAUUUUUGUAAAGUGGCAACUAAUCAUAUCUGUCCAUACUGCUCAUGAACAAAGUGUAUAUAGCUAAGUUAUUUUGUUUCUGUUUUUAAAGGGAUGCUAUGGAACAACGACAAGCUUGCACCUCAUCCUUCAAAGAAGAGUAAGUUUGCAAGGUAAAGACUUGGGAGUAUGGUUCGCUCAAAUCGAAGAUGAUGUUUGUCAAAGGUGCAACUUUUGGGAUUCUCAAACCGAAGAUGAUGUUUGGUGCGGUGCAGACAGAAAUGUGGGAAAAUAUCAUAUUUAUGUGAUGAAGAUGAUGUACUAAUGAAUAUCCAUUAGAGUAAACGAUACAUAUUAUGGAUCCUGUAAUCGUAUGUUUGAAAGCCAGCCUGUUAUAUGUUUGGGAUUGAACAUUGCUGGGUGUUAAUUAUGUUUGCCGUCGUCUUUUAGACCAGUACAUUUUUGCCCUCGAUAGCAAAUGGUUUAGGCCCUGCCUGGGAGCUCAGAUUCAUUUCCGAGCUGUAACAUUUUACAGCUGUAACCUGACGGUGAUGGGCCGAGGUGGUGGUGUCGUCUCUGGUCGACAUGUCGCCCACGGUGGGGAGAAGAAAUGGUGGCGGCCGCCGCCCAUUCUUGCGUGUCGAGCUGCUGCAGCACUUGUACCGCCGCCGCCCAUUCUUGCGUGCCGGCUGCCAUUGAUUUUUGAGUCACCCUCCCCCUAGUUUUGCUAAGAGUAUUUCAAUCGGGGUAUUUUGGCUGAAUUUUUUAUAUUUUUGAGUCACCGUCCCCCUAGUUUUACUAAGGGUAUUUCAAUGGCAAACGUUUUACGCCGGGGCGCCGGCCGAGUUUUCGGCCGGUCGCUCGCGACACGCGGUCUGACUCGUGGCCCCGCACCGCUCCCUUUCCCCACCACACCUUUUCCCCACCUUAUCCUCAGCCACACCACGCCGUUAUCUUUUCCCCACCUUAUCCUGAGCCACACCAGCAUCUAUCUUCAUCAAAUCCCUCUCAUCAUGGAAGUCCUCAUCCGUGUCGGCAGUGACGAGGAGGACAGCGGCAGCGACGACGAGGGUAGUAGGCGGCAGGAUGACGGGUCCGACUAGGUGUCGGGUGCCGCUCCGUGCGGCACCGGCGACCCCAUCAUCCGUGUCGCCGGCUCCUUGAACUUCUCGGGGUUGUCUCCUUGGGCGGCUGGCGUUGGGAGGCUGCGGAAGAGGAAGAGGGCGGGCGGCAAGGCCGUCAAGUCGGAGUACGCGGGCACCGACGCCUUCGACGCGUGCUGACGUCCUGCCGCCUCGUCUUCGAGCUCUGCUUCCGGCGCCGCCAUCACCAUCCAGCCUUUGGACGGCCACCAAGAUGUUCUCUUGGUGUCUUCUGCCACCCGUAGCUCGCCUAGGCGCUCCUUUUGUCCCUUCCGCCUCCUUGACAUGCCUCCUGAGGAGAGGGACAAGAAAGGGAUUACGGGCACCUUAUCUCUUUUUAGUUUGUAAGCCUUCGGGCCUUUGUUGAAUUUAAAACUUGUUAUCCCAUCAUUCAUGUUUUCCAUUCCCUAUGGACUAUACCUGAGUGGAAUGUUUUUUUAAUGAAAAAGGGAUGCUUGCCGGGUCAUUUGUUUGCGGGUGGAACCCACAACAAGGAGUAAAUCCUUGAUAUCUUCAAGAUAAACAUUUCCUUGCCCGGCAACAGGCCUUGCCGUCUCCCCACUUCGCUCGACCUUCCUCACGCUUUCGGCGGAGGCAGGGAUGAGGCGGGUUCAGGCUCCUUGUUUCAUCCUUUCGCUGCCGCGACUACGACCAAACUUGGCCCCAGGAACGAGCCCUAGGGCCUAGAGUUAUGGGAGCACGGUAGCUUAGGGGAAAACGAGGUUUCACAUACCUCAGUCCAUAAUGGAAUGCAUGAUAAGGGAUGAAGGGGUCCCGAACUGUGUGUCUAAGGCGGAUGGUAACACGAGGCAGGGGACACGAUGUUUUACCCAGGCUCGGGCCCUCUUGAUGGAGGUAAAACCCUACGUCCUGCUUGAUUUUCUUGAUAAUAUGAGUAGUAUAAGAGUUGAUCUACCACGAGAUCAGAGAGGCUAAACCCUAGAAGCUAGCCUAUGGUAUGAUUGUAUGUUGUCCUACGGACUAAACACCUUCGGUUUAUAUAGACACCGGAGGGGGCUAGGGUUACAAAAAGUUGGUUACAAAGGAGGAGAUACACAUAUCCGUAUUGCCUAGCUUGCCUUCCAUGCCAAGUAGAGUCCCAUCCGGACACGAGACGAAGUCUUCAAUCUCGUAUCUUCAUAGUCCAACAGUCCAAGGAUAUAGUCCGGCUGCCCGGAGACCCCCUAAUCCAGGACUCCCUCAGUAGCCCCUGAACCAGGCUUCAAUGACGAUGAGUCCGGCGCGCAGUGUUGUCUUCGGCAUUGCAAGGUGGGUUCCUCCUCCGAAUACACCACGGAAGAGUUUGAAUACAAGGAUAGUGUCCGAUCCUGCAAAAUAAGUUCCACAUACCACCGUAGAGAGAACAAUAUUUCCACAAAUCUAAUCUGCUGACACGUUUUGGCAGCAUGACAUCACGCCACGGUCCGGUAAUUAUUUGAACCGUUUUUCCUAAACCAGCCCCGCACAUAACGCAAGGCGGUUUAUUGACACGUCUUGUCAAAGCAGAGAUCGUGUUCCCCUUAUUGCGGGAUUCUCAUCAAUACGGACAUGGGUAACCCAACCGCGCCAUCAAUUACGGCGCUUGGGGGAUAAGCGAGUUUUACCAGACUAGUCGGGGUGCAUAGUUUAGUCUGCCCUUAUAAAGGGAUAAGAUCUCACCUUUUUCUACCCACGCCUUGUUCCUCCUUGCUCAUCCAUUCUCGCGCACCCGAGCUCCAGCGCCCAAGUCCGCAUCCUUCUCCUCAACUCUCUCCAAACAUGUCCGGAGCGGGAGGCAAGUGGAUGGCCUCCUCCGUCAUGGAGGGACACAUCAAAAAGCUACGUGGAGCCAGAUACUUAGCCGCGGAUAUCGCGCACCAGCUGCCAGCCGCGGGGCAGAUCGUCCCUACCCCGGAACCUCACGAAAGGGUGGUUUUCCUCCCCCAUUUCGUCCGUGGACUGGGGUUUCCCCUCCAUCCAUUCGUCCGCGGCCUCAUGUUCUAUUACGGGCUGGACUUUCAUGAUCUGGCGCCGAAUUUCAUCCUCAACAUCUCGGCGUUCAUCGUCGUGUGCGAGGCUUUCCUCCGCAUCCGGCCCCACUUUGGCCUAUGGCUGAAGACCUUCAAUAUCAAGCCGAAGGUAGUAGGCGGCCAACAAGCGGAAUGCGGCGGAGCCAUGGUGGGAAAAAUGCCCAACAUUACAUGGCUCGAGGGCUCCUUCGUGGAGACCAUAAAGGGGUGGCAAUCGGGGUGGUUCUACAUCACCGAGCCGCGCGACACCAACUGGGUGGCGGCCCCCGAGUUUCGAUCCGAAGUCCCCACGCGACUCACUUCCUGGAAGGAGAAGGGCCUGUCUUGGGGCUCUUCGGUGGAGCUGGACGGACUCCAGAAGUGUAUCCGGAACAUGACAAGCAAGAAACUUAAGCUUACCAACAUAGUCCAAGUCAUGCUCUUCCGCCGGAUCCUCCCGUGUCAACAACGGGCUUUCAACUUAUGGGAGUUCGACCCGGCCCAGCACCAGACUCUACAUGAGCUCUUCGACACGAUGCAUAAGGACGUCUGGAAGGUGCUGUUCAAGGGCGUCGAUGUCCCUCCUUCUCUUACCGAGGACCGGGGGCUAAGCGCGAAGCGCCAUGCGAAUCCGGUAAGUUCUGUACAUCUGGUAGGGUAUUUAUUUCCCAUAGCUUAACCAUGUGCGGGGUCUGAGCUCCCAUGCCUUUGACAGGACUGGGUGGAGACAUUGGAGAAGAUCACCUGUCCGGCCCCUCUGCCCGAAGACCCUGCGGACGCUCUCUUGACGGAGAUGCGGACUCUGGCUCCUUACGAGGUGCCGGAUAAGACCAAGAAGAAGGCCAAGGGAACCCGAAAGAGUUCCCGGCUCCAGGUGGUAUCGGACUCAUCGUCCCAUAACUCCGAGACGCACUCCUCCCAUGAAAACGGGGAGAAGGAAGACGGAGAUUCUCCCCCUCCAGCUGGGGGAGACAAGAAAAGGAAGGCCGCCCCAAUCGGGGAGGCCGAAGGGUCCAAGAAGGGAAGGACUCUCCUUCCGGACUAUUCCACCACCGCCGCCGACGGCGAAGACGAGUGGCUGCUCAGGGCCAAGCCCCUGGCAAAAUCGUAAGUAUUCGGAUACCAGAGUAACUCAUAGCAUACUUUUGUUGCACUGCUUCUCCUAACGUCGAAUAUGAUUUUGCAGUCCGCCCCAAGCCCGUAUCGACGUAUCAUCGUCGGACGACUCCUUGGACUCGUCGGACAUGGAUAGUGAUACACUUCCAACCACCACCUCUGCUGGCCCUACGGANNNNNNNNNNNNNNNNNNNNNNNNNNNNNNNNNNNNNNNNNNNNNNNNNNNNNNNNNNNNNNNNNNNNNNNNNNNNNNNNNNNNNNNNNNNNNNNNNNNNNNNNNNNNNNNNNNNNNNNNNNNNNNNNNNNNNNNNNNNNNNNNNNNNNNNNNNNNNNNNNNNNNNNNNNNNNNNNNNNNNNNNNNNNNNNNNNNNNNNNNNNNNNNNNNNNNNNNNNNNNNNNNNNNNNNNNNNNNNNNNNNNNNNNNNNNNNNNNNNNNNNNNNNNNNNNNGCCUCAAGGCGACCUUCUAGACUCCAGGAGCAAAGGGAGCAAGGCUCCCAGGGGCUCCCAGUUCGGCCCAUAGCCGGACACAGUGCCGGAACCUCCAGUGGUUCCGGACUCGGGCAGGCGGCCCCCUUCCAAGAGGGGCAAGCCGUCCGCGCCGGUGACCUCUGUCCAUCCAGAGGCACCGGACGAACUGCUGGGAGCGCUUAGCGGCGCUUCCAUCGACGAAGAGCACCACACUAUUAUGAGUGCGGUGAUCAAGAAGGUUCAGUCCGCCAAGAGCGGACUGACUGAAGCCUGUACCAGCCUUCUAACAGGCUUUAAGGCAAGUAAUUAAAAUAUAGGAAAAAUGUUACCGCAUAGACAGUAGCCCCUGAUGCUCUGUUUGGUGUUCACAAAGAAAAGCCGAAUAGAGGAUCGAAUAAUAUCUGCAGGAGUCUAAUAUAAGUAUGUCUGUAUGCGUACGCAGGCUUCGCUGCUGACCUCUGCCGCACUGACUGCGGAGGUCGCCGCACUGAAGCAGGAUUUCGAGCGGUCCGAGAAAGAGCUCGGCCUUGCCAAGAGGCAGCUCGAGGAGAACAAGGGUAAGUAAUACCUUGUCUAUAUAAAAAAGAAAAUGUGGUUGCGAACUGACAGGAUCAUCAUGAAUGUGCCAGGGGCCACGACCGAAGUGGCAACCCUAAAGCAAGCAUUGUCCGAGGCCGAAAACAACGCGUCCAAGGAGCGCACCAAGCGGGAGAGACAAGAGGCACGGGUGGGCAAGGUGCAGCAAGAGCUCCAGGCUCUCAUGAAGAAACACGAUACUUUGGAGCUUGACUCGAAGACGCGAGAGUCCGAGCUUGCCGCGGCCCUCGAGAGCACCAAGCAUGCCAAGGCCGAAGCCCAAAAGGUCCUCCAGGAAAUUGAGGCGAUGAGGAAGAUAAUGGCGGGUAAGGCAUUCAAUAUGCAAAGCAAGUAUGUGAAAGUAAAUUACUUGUUACUUACCCGAGUCCGGAGCUCUCCAGGAGCAUUCGCAGAUUUGCCCCGCAGCGUGUCGGAUGCCGUGAAGUAUUACCAGGCCGAGAAGGGAAGCUCGACGGAGAAGUUGUUCUGGUCUCAGUAUACUGGGAUCGAACACCCGGUGCCUAUGAGCGACCAGCUGAAGCAACUGGUCGAGCUGCACAAGGCGGCCGAACAGGCCAUGAGGGGCUUUAUAGUCCGGAUGUGGCCUGGCGACUCCCUUCCCAACAGCUACUUCGUCUUGGUUAGGUGAUACGUCUCCAACGUAUCUAUAAUUUUUGAUUGCUCCAUGCUAUAUUAUCUACUGUUUUGGGCAAUAUUGGACUUUAUUAUCCACUUUUAUAUUACUUUCGGGACGAACCUAUUAACCGGAGGCCCAGCCCCUGAUUUGCUGUUUUUUUUGCCUAUUUCAGUGUUUCGAAGAAAAGGAAUAUCAAACAGAGUCGAAACGGAACGAAAUCAACUGGAGAAGUUAUUUUUGGAAGGAAACCUACCGUAUAGACUUGGACCCUACGUUAGAAAGUUUAUGAGUUUGAAAUUAUUAAGGUAUGAAACAAUUGCUUGGCUUGUCAUCGGGGUUGUGCAGGAUGAGAGCAUUCUUGUGUGACAAAAAUGGAGCAUGACUAAACUAUAUGAUUUUGUAGGGAUGAACUUUCUUUGGCCAUGUUAUUUUGAGAAGACAUAAUUGCUUAGUUAGUAUGCUUGAAGUAUUACUAUUUUUAUGUCAAUAUGAACUUUUGUCUUGAAUCUUUCGGAUCUGAAUAUUCAUAUCACAAGUAAGAAGAAUUACAUUGAAAUUAUGCCAACUAGCAUUCCACAUAAAAAUUAUCUUUUUUAUCAUUUACCUACUCGAGGACGAGCAGGAAUUAAGCUUGGGGAUGCUUGAUACGUCUACAACGUAUCUAUAAUUUUUUAUUGCUCCAUGCUAUAUUAUCUACUGUUUUGGGAAAUAUUGGACUUUAUUAUCCACUUUUAUAUUAAUUUUGGGACUAACCUAUUAACCGGAGGCCCAACCCAGAUUUGUUGUUUUUUGCCUAUUUCAGUGUUUCGAAGAAAAGGAAUAUCAAACGGAGUCGAAACGGAACGAAAUCAACUGGAGAAGUUAUUUUUGGAAGGAAACCUACCGGAUAGACUUGGACCCUACGUCAGAAGAUGAAGGAGGAGCUCGCGAGGGUAGGGGGCGCACACCCCGGCCUCGUGCCCCCCCUUCAGUCCACCGACGUACCUCCUGCACCCAUAUAUACCUACGUAACCUAAAACUUCCAAAACGGAGAUUAGAUCGGGAGUUCCGCCGCCGCAAGCCUCUGUAGCCACCAAAAGUCAAUCGGGACCCUAUUCCGGCACCCUACCGGAGGGGGGAUCCCUCACCGGUGGCCAUCUUCAUCACCCCGGUGCUCUCCAUGACGAGGAGGGAGUAGUUCACCCUCGGGGCUGAGGGUAUGUACCAGUAGCUAUGUGUUUGAUCUCUGUCUCUCUCUCUCUCUCUCUCUCUCUCUCGUGUUCUUGAUUUGGCACGAUCUUGAUGUAUCGCGAGAUUUGCUAUUAUAGUUGGAUCUUAUGUUCCUUCUCCCCCUCUACUCUCUUGUAAUGGAUUGAGUUUUCCCAUUGAAGUAAUCUUAUCGGAUUGAGUCUUUAAUGAUCUGAGAACACUUGACGUAUGUCUUGCCGUGCGUAUCUGUGGUGACAAUGGGAUAUCACGUGAUUCGCUUGAUGUAUGUUUUGGUGAUCAACUUGCGAGUUCCACCCAUGAACCUAUGCAUAGGGGUUGGCACACGUUUUCUUCGUGAUUCUCCGAUAGAAACUUUGGGGCACUCUUUGAGGUUCUAUGUGUUGGUUUGAAUAGAUGAAUUGAGAUUGUGUGAUGCAUAUCGUAUAAUCAUGCCCACGGAUACUUGAGGUGACAUUGGAGUAUCUAGGUGACAUUAGGGUUUUGGUUGAUUUGUAUCUUAAGGUGUUAUUCUAGUACGAACUCUAGGGUUGUUUGUGACACUUAUAGGAAUAUCCCAAUGGAUUGAUUGGAAAGAAUAACUUUGAGGUGGUUUCGUACCCUACCAUAAUCUCUUCGUUUGUUCUCCGCUAUUAGUGACUUUGGAGUGACUCUUUGUUGCAUGUUGAGGGAUAGUUAUGUGAUCCAAUUAUGUUAGUAUUGUUGAGGGAACUUACACUAGAGAAAGUAUGAACCCUAGGCCUUGUUUCCUAUCAUUGCAAUACCGUUUACGCUCACUUUUAUCAUUCGUUACCUUGCUGUUUUUAUAAUUUCAGAUUACAAAUACCUUUAUCUACUAUCCAUAUUGCACUUGUAUCACUAUCUCUUCGCCGAACUAGUGCACCUAUACAAUUUACCAUUGUAUUGGGUGUGUUGGGGACACAAGAGAAUCUUUGUUAUUUGGUUGCAGGGUUGCUUGAGAGAGACCAUCUUCAUCCUAUGCCUCCUACGGAUUGAUAAACCUUAGGUCAUCCACUUGAGGGAAAUUUGCUAAUGUCCUACAAACCUCUGCACUUGGAGGCCCAACAACGUCUACAAGAAGAAGGUUGUGUAGUAGACAUCAUUAGGCGGCUUGUAGAUGCCUGCCCACGGUUGGAGGUCAUAAAGCGGUCCGUCUGCAUCGAAGGUGCACACCGGGCCUUUGCCCGUUCGAAGGUGCACUGGGCCAAGAUGGACGCCGGGAAUCUAGUGAAGGAGGGGCCGCCGCAGGGCAAGGAGCAUCGCCACCCUGAGAUGUAUUAUGAGGGUGUACUGAAGGGUGCCCAUCUUGUGGCGGACAAGUGUGCGAAGAAUGUAAUUUUUGAAUGAACUUGCUCGUCUGAUCCUGUAUUAUGAAAACUUGUUCAUAUGCACUAUGCAACGGUUGUUUGAAUUUAAAAUAUUACCUUCUGUGCGGCUGUUUAUCAAAUCUGAGAGAUGGCCAGUCGUCGGCUUCUGCCCCCAUGCCAUGAGUGCUGGGGUGUUCGGGAUGAAUCUGAGCACUCUUUUUCCCAUUGUUGGGUCCUUCGUGGGAGGUGCUCAGCGCAACGAACAAGGCAAUCAGACUAUAAUGCUUUAUCACUCUCACUUAGCCAUAGAAGUCUACAAUUUUAAAUUUUGGCGAAGCCCCUAGUAUUCAUAAGACCGAAUUCGGGGCGCUAUACACGCCUUAAGCCGGACAAAGCCGACUCCUCGCUCUAAGCGACAUAAGUCUUUAGGAACUCGAGACCUCUCGAACAGCGACCAGCUCUCACCUUAUCAUGACAGUCAGUUUUAGCUUUCUCUACUGAGGUGCUUAGCCCAUGUCGGGGUUUGGGUGUGACAUAUGCCAAAGGAUGGCUUAUCAUGGUGGGGGCGAGUAGAACGUCGCCGGUGCCUGGAAACGGGAUAAGGCGAAGACAUGCACGCCGAUGAAUCUUACCCAGCUUCAGGGCUCUCCGGGGAGAUAAUACCCCUACUGCUGCUCUACGGGGUCUCCGCAUGAUCACUAUGGCAAAGUGUUUACACGGUUGCUCCUCGAGCUGUUUGCUGGAGGUAGGAGAAGGCAAGGCUAGCUCUCUCCUUCCUAUAUGAUCUGGUCUAGUGCUAAUGGAUUCCAACCCUUUGCAUGGAUGCCCUGGGGGGUUUAUAUAGGCCUACCCCCCAGGGGUACAAUGGUAAUCCGACUGGGCGCGGGCCCAGCCGUCAGUCUCUCUGGCUGCCGUCUUAUCCGCCAACUCCUGGGCCCCGUCGACUGGUGGGCCCCACCGACUGGCUCGGUACGGAGCCGACAGGCCGCGUCCGCCGCGGGCGGGUCUUACCGGCUGCAGAUUAUUGUAGCCGUGCCUCUAAUGAUGCAGGCUUAGUCAUGAGGUCAUGGCGACAGCUCCACCGUCUGGCAGGUGAUCACUGUGGCCACUACUUGUCGUGUCUGAUUAAUGGCGCGUGGGGCCCGUGGGAGGGUCGGCCGACUUCUGGUGGCCGACUCCCAUCCGGGCCGACUGGUGGUGCUUUCACCGUCUUUUGUAUGCCUGCCGACUGGUGGGACCCAUCAUCCCUGGGUCAUACCAGCAGGCCGUCGUGGGCACAGGGCUCCGCCCCCUGGGGCUGAUGUCAGGGCCAGCAUGGCAAUAGUGUUGCGCCAUGCGGAGAUCUCCGCGGGUACGGCAUACUGUAGCCAUGCCUGCCCUUGGAAAAGGGGUGGGAGUGGACCUUACUGUGGCCACUCCCCAUCCCGUCCCUCUUUAUAAGGGCAUGGGGGUUGUUGGCAUCGCGGGCCGAGUCCCCAAGGCCGGCUUCUCUGGAAGUCGCCAGUCAGGAGUCGGCUCAGCCUGAAGUCGUCCCUAGGACUCGGCCGCGAGUGGGCAGCCGGCCGCCUCGCCGCCAACUCUCAGAAGGCGGCUCUUCGUCCUGGGGUCUCGAGGGGCGCAGUCUGCCUCAAUGUCUUGAAAGGUUCUGGGCCUGGGUUAGCCUACCCGUGGCCCAUUACUCCGACAGUAGUCCCCAAAGCUGGUGAGGCUCCGAGGGUGACAUGUCGUGGAGCCUGAACAAUUUCUUCUCUCCCGCGGUUGGAUCUGGGCUUCGCUAGCCGUCUUCUGUCAAGCCAACUAGUUGGAGUCGGACUUGCUCAAGGCCGACUUGCCCCUAAAAAAGUAUGAACGUUGCGGCGGAGUUCAGGAGGCGUGCCUGAUAAGCUUCCGGGUUGCCGCCCGUGGUUGACCCGUCGUGAGGCGCCAUGUGGCGGAGCUAGUCUGAUCACCCACGCGCGCGACAGGACAGGCCCACAGGCAGGGCCCGCCACUACCGCGCCUUGGCAUGCGAACGGAUCCGUUGCGGCCGCGCGGACGGUUGGGGUUCCCGCGCGGUUAUUGCACGUGGUAACUUCGUGUGGUAAAUCGUGGGGGUCGUGGGGUCCCGGGCGCAGUUAAUCCCACAAUCGCCCCUCGACUUCUCAGCCCACGAGCCUACAAGUAGGCGGGGGGAGGGGGCGGCGAAGCACGCGCGCCCAUUCUCCCCACUUCCUUUCGCUCCUUCUUGCUCCUUCUUCUUCUUGCCGUUGCUGCUCCGAACCACGCCGUGCCCGCAGCGAUGAGCUCCUCCUCCGCCGCCGCGCCUCCUGCUGUUCGCUCUGGAGUGUGGGAUGGCUCCGAGGUUGACGACGACGACAUCGAGAUCCUCCGCCAGACACGGCGGCUGCCUGGGAGGGACUUAGUGCGGGUCCGCCUCGCACCGGAGGGAGAGAUAUCGCCGGCGCCGGAGGAGGGCGAGCGGGUCAUAUUCCGCUCGCACCUCAUGCGCACCCUGGGGCUGCCGGCGAGCGGCUUCUUCCGCUCCUUCUUGGAGUUCCAUGGGCUCCAGCCGCACCACCUUACUCCGAACACGGUGGUGCUGCUGGCUGCCUUCGCCAUCCUGUGCGAAGGCUUCCUCGGUGUUCUCCCCACCAUCGAGCUCUGGGGUGAGUUCUUCCAGUCCAAGCUCGGCACACACGUCGUCGGCGUGCCGGCCCAGUGCGGUGCAUUCAUCACGAUGCGGAGAUCAGUGGCCGACAAUCCGUUUCCCACCGUCGCACUGAUUAAGUCGGUGAAGAUGUGGCAGCGGUCAUAUUUUUAUGUGAAGAACGUCGCCCCAGAAGGCGACUGGGUCAACCUACCGGCUUACGAAGCCGGCACGCCGGCUGGAAGGCUCCCCAGCUGGUCACACCGAGCCAAGACGCUGUCUCCCGCUGGUGCCGCCGCUGUCGCGUGACUCCGAGUGCUGACGCAGUCGGAGGGCCUGACCGGGGCUGACUUGCUGGCCGCCUUCGUGGCGCGCCGAGUCCUCCCACUCCAAGGCCGACCUCACCUGAUCUGCCAGAUGAGCGGUCACCGGGACCCGAGUCGGAUGUGCUCCAAGGACAUGCCUCACGCGGAGGUGGCGAACACGGUGAACUACAUCGCGAACUGCGGUCUCUCGGUGGACUGGCGGUUCGGCAAGGAGCCGUAUUAGCGCGCCAACCCCCAGCCUAUUGUAAGUCGUCUUCCUUCUUCUUCUGUUUCUUUUGCUGCCGAGUCCGACUUGUCAAGUCUGACCGUUUUUGUUUUGAAUCAGAAUCCUCUCGUCCCUCCUUCGACCGGCACCGCGGGGCCGGCUCGUCAGUUUGUCCCCGAUCGAGCGGAGAGCGACGUCGACGAUCCCGACUUGGGGGCGGCGGCCAUGGAAGCCGACGCCGAGGGAGGAGGAGGAGAAGCAGGCGGCUCCAAGCCUUCGGCCACUUUUGCCGACUGGCCUGACGACGAGGCCGAGGGAGAAGUCGCCCUGCGUCGCUAGCCAAAAGCCGGCCAGCCAAGCGCGAGUUCCUCCGCCGGCUUGGACGCUCAAGGCGGUGCGAAGAAGCGCCGAGCCGGGCCGAGUACGCUUGGUGGCCGGUCGAAGAAUUUCAAGAGAGCGGCCACCGCGACCAAGCGGGAAGAGGCGGCCGCGAAAGCCAACCGCUUCCGCAAGGAGGUGAAGAAGCCGCCGCUGGUCUCUGCGUAAGCGCCUCCGUCCCUUAUCUUUAUUUUCUCUUUGUUGAUCUUGUCUGAGUUUUUCAUAUGCUUUUUUCUCGCCUCGGGGCUCCCCUCACUCUUGAGAGGGUUGCCGCCGCCUCCGUUAUGGGAUCGGUGGAGACGUCUGCCACCACUCGGCGGAUUGACCCCGCUGCCGACCUUCGGGAGGCGACGGAGCGGAACGCGCGGGAGAAGCGCGAGGAGGACGAGGCCGCCCGCCGGGAGAAAGCGGAGGCCGAGAAGGUGGAGGCCUCCGCCCUGAAGAAGCUGGAGGCGGCCGAGGCCGCCGCUGCGGCAAAGUAGCCGGCUAAGGAAGUCGCGCCCCGGCGGCCGGCGGUGUUCGCCACCCCUUUGAACUCUGCGCCGCCGCCCCCGGAGUUCACGGGGCAGUCAGGGGAAGCCGGCGGCGAGUUCCCGAUCAUGGAGAGAGGUGGCGGCGACGCCCCCAUGCCGGACGUGGUCGCGCCGCUACAGCCGCCCCCGCCGCCGUCUAGAAGCGCGCAAGGCAAACAGCCGGCGGAUCCGCCCUUGCCGCCGACUGAAGACGAGGCCGUGGCAAGGCUACUCCUUCAAGUCGGCUCACCAACGCGCCGUCGUCUUGAGAAGGCGACCUUGGCACCACGCCCCUUGGAGACCGGUACUGCCAGCUUGACGAUUACAGACGCCGAAGCGACGAGCGCCGCGCCCAUUGGGUGGGUGUGAGGAGGCGGCACGGGCCCACUGAACCAGGCGCUUCUGGAUAUCCAGAAGAAGCUGUGAGCUGAGAGCGACGCCAUCCAAAACUGCACCAAGGCACACCUAGCGUCGCGGGCCGCCAUCCGGGUAUGCUCUCUCCUUUGUCCCUGUUUUCUUGUUCCUCUGUGUGGGGGCGCGCCAGUGCACCCACUGGGUGUAGUCCCCGAGUUUUGGGCUGGUUGCUGAGUAGGCGGCCCGGAACUCCAAUUGGUAAGUUCCGGGUACUAAUCUUUGUUCUAAAAUACUUGUUGCAGGACUAUCACAACCUCCGUGUCACCGCCUUCAACCGCGACAUUGAAGAGCUGGGCAAGCGGACUGCCGACUUGUCGGAGAGCCGGAGUGAGUCCUUUUUCUUCUUUGCGGGUGCUCGCUGGCACACCCGCGGGCUGUAGUCCCCGAGAUUCGGGCCGACUGCUGAGCAGUCGGGCCGGAUCUCCCCGGCGACCUUCUUCGUUGAUGACUUAACGCCUUCUUUCUUCUUUCUCUUCAGAGGCCAACGCCACUCUUCAACAGCAGCUGAGCGAAGCCAACUCCGCGUUGCGCGCCAAGGGGGAGGAGUGCAGCAAGCUCGCCGCACAAUUGGCAGAGCAGAAGGAGCUGCUUACGAAGACGCAGAAGGAGGCGGAAGAGGCGGAAGCCACCCUCCUGGCCGAGUUCGUGAGCGAGUGCUCCUCCUGGACUGGCAAGGAGGCAAUGCUGGUCUCCGACUUCCACGAGAUCGAGGACCUCGUCGACGGUGAGCUUAUUUGCUUUCCGACUCCUGGUUUUUUUGACUUGUUCUUCAUUCUUUCUGUCUUGGCAGACUUCUUUCCCGGCCACUCGCAGGCCACCAUUCAAGCUAUCGAGGCCGACCGCGAGGAGCGGAGGGCGGGUGGUGCGGAGAUCGCCGCUGUUGCCCCUCGGACUCUUGACGAGCAUAUUCUGAGCAUUGGGGCUCGCCUGCGGCCGGCCUAUCAGAUGUUGCGCCGGCUUCAGCGUGUCGGCGCCCAAGCGAUUGCCACCCUGUGGCCAGACAUGCAGGCUCCGCGCACCCCCAGUCGGACUGCCGACUGGCUGGAGGUCACGGCUGGCCGUCUUGAGGCCUGGAAGGGUUCCUCGGCCCGGGCCGGAGCGCGCCGAGCCUUGGAAUUCGUCAAGGCGUGGUAUCCGGGGCUGGACCUAGACCGGCUGGCCAAACUCUGGUCAAAGGCCCAGCCAGAGCUGGCAGCCGCGGAAGAUGCCCUUGUCAAGCGUGCAGCGGCGAUCGCCGAGUACACCGACACCAACAUCUUUGUCCCUGAGCGGGCUGAAGACGGCGAGGAGGUGCCGCCGGAGUGGUUUGGGCUGAACCCCGACUACGGCGAGGACUCGGCAAAGGUGAUCGGCUCCAGCGUCGAGGAGGAAGACGAGGCGGAGGACGGAAGCGAGACGGAGGCACCGGAAGAUGGAGCGGACGGCCAACCUCAGCUCGACCGUGCCUCCAGCAACGAGCCAUGCCCGCCCGAGCCGACUGCUGCCGGAGGUGAUCAAGCCGAGGCCGCCCAACCGGCCGCCCCAACAUCCAACACCGCCGUCUCCUUCGAUCCUCCAAACCCGUCUGCCGCCCCCUAGGCUGCCACCUUGUCUUUGUUUUAUCUGUUCUAAUAGUUUUUGAAGAACUGGUUAAUCCGCACAAUUCCACCCGCGGGGUGUAUUUUGAAAUUCUACUUGAAGAUUCGGCCAAGGGCCUUUGUUAUGUAAAUAUUCAUCCGACUUCUAUCUUUCUUGCUCAUUGUUCUUUUGGCUUUUUCCUUUGCCAUCUUCCCUCAGUUGCCAUCUUUGUCAGUCAGACAGCCACUCCGCGGACUGCUGCUGGAUUAAAUUCUUGGUCACUUUGGGAAGGCAAGUACUUAGCCGUUUUUAGAGUUGUUUAACAAGUUGGAUAGAAGGCGGCAAGCCGACUAUUCAAGAGUCGGUUUGCGAAAAAAGGCUGGAAGCUGGUCUUAAGCUAUGUUUGUGCUUUGAGUCCUUAGCCAUUUUUCAUGUGGACGCCCAUUCUUCCUUACUCCUGCCCACCAGACAGUCGCUCUGCGAGCUGCGGCUUCUGGCAGGAGACGGUUUAGACGCCACACACUACUUGUCCGGCUGCAGGAAGCAUUUCAUAGCGCAGGUCGGCAAGUCCCCGGGCCGACUAGUCGAACCCGGUGCCAAGCGGCAUAACAAAGAGUAAUAUACUCGAAGGCAUAUUUCUUAUCAUAUAGAUAAAAGAGGGCAGUCCCCGAGCUCUUCUCGGGGGGCUCGAAGUCUUGGUACUUUUAAUACAAAAGGUAGCAUGAUACAUACUGCGUUUAACUGUAAAAUUUUCGGAGGAGAUUUGCAUUCCAUGGCCGCUCUGUCUCUUUGCCGGAGUCGUCCCUCUUGCGUGCUCGGGGCUUCUGAGCGUCGAUCAGGUAGUAGGAGUCGUUGUCCAACACUUUGCUGAUGAUGAAGGGGCCUUCCCAAGGUGCCGACAGCUUGUGCUGGCCAGCUGUUCGCUGGAUUAAUCAGAGCACGAGGUCGCCCUCCUGGAAAGAUCUCGGCCUGACCUUCCUGUUGUAGUAUCUGCGCAGGCUCUGCUGGUAGAUGCUGGACCGGCUGAGUGCCAACAGCCAGCCCUCUUCCAGCAGGUCGACACCGUCUUGUCGUGCUUCUUCUGCUUCUUCCUCGGUGUACAUGGUGACUCAUGGGGAAUCGAAUUCUAUGUCCGUUGGGAUGACGGCUUCAGCACCGUAGACGAGGAAGAAAGGCGUGAAGCCGGUUGACUUGUUUGGAGUCGUGCGCAGUCUCCAGAGGACGGCUGGCAACUCGUCGAGCCAGCAGCCAACCGAGCGCUCCAGAGGCUCGAUCAGUCGGGGCUUGAUGCCGGACAGGAUGAGGCCGUUUUCUCGCUCCACCUGGACGUUUGACUGUGGAUGGGCGACGGAUGCUAGGUCCAGUCGGAUGCCCUGUGUCGCACAGAAACGGGCCAAGGCGCCUUUGGCAAAAUUCGUGCCGUUGUCGGUGAUGAUGCUGUGUGGUAUGCCGUACCGAAUUGUGAUGUCGGAGAUGAAAGUCACGGCAGUCGGACCGUUCAGUCUCUUGAUUGGCUUCGCUUCUAUCCACUUGGUGAACUUGUCCAUCGCGACAAGUAAGUGAGUUAAGCCACCUCGUGCCAUCUUGAAUGGUCCCACCAUGUCUAGACCCCAAACUGCGAAAGGCCAGGCAAUGGGGAUGGUCUUGAGUGCAGAAGCUGGCUGAUGCGGCUUGGAGCGGAACUUUUGGCACCCUUUGCAUUUUUGGACCAAUUCCUUGGCCUCUUCUAAGGCCGUUGGCCAUAAGAAACCAUGUCGGAAAGCUUUGGCGACGAGUGCUCUUGAAGCCGCAUGGUGGCCGCACUUGCCUUGAUGGAUUUCUUUGAGAAUUGCUUAGCCUUGCUCUGGCUCUACGCAGCGCUGGUAGACACCAGUGACGCUACACCUGACCAGCUCUUUGUUGACUAUGGUGUAGGCUGCCGCUCGGUGUUGUACUUGCCGAGCUAAGGUCUCAUCAGUCGGCAGCUCUUUGCUCACCAGAAAUUUGAGGAUGGGCUGGGCCCAUGAGGGUGCUACUAUUUCUUCGACCGCCAGAACUGCGACCUGGAUGAGGAUGGCUGGGCUGGGAGGCGGCGGGCUGGAGUCAACAACCACUUGCUAGAUUAAUGAAGUCCCCGGGCCGACUGGCGCAGUUCUUGGGCCGAGUUCUGGAGUCUUCGGGCCGGCUGCCGCAGUCCCCGAGCCGGGUUCUGCAGUCCCUGGGCCGGCCUCGAUUGUGGAGGCUUUGGGGCCAUCUGCCAAAAUCCCCGUACCAUCCGUCGGGGCUCUGGAGUCGGAUCCGACUUCUUCGGGAGGAGCCGACACGAAGAUGGAGUCUGAUUCUGGUGAAGGCUUGACAGACAGCUUGAGGAGGCAUUGAAGGGCGACGCCGGAUGGUAUUGCUUGGCGGGUAGAGCCGAUUCGUGCCAAGGUGUCUGCUUGGUCGUUGUCGUUUCUUGGUACAUGGAGGAAUUUGCACCCCUCGAAAUAUCCACUGAGUUGCUGCACGAGGAAACGGUAACUCGCCAUGUUUGCAUCUUUGGCGUCCCAGUCGCCAGACGACUGCUGGACCACUAAGUCCGAGUCGCCACAACACAGGAUCCGGCGAAUGCCAAGUUAUUUGGCAAACCGGAGCCCGUGAAUGAGCGCCUCAUACUCGGCGACGUUGUUGGAGGCGGCAAAAUGGAUUUGCAGUGCGUAUUUAAGCUUGUCGCCUUUAGGAGAAGUGAGGACAACGCCGGCUCCCAAGCCGGUGCGCAUCUUGGAGCCGUCGAAAUGCAUCCGCCAAUGGGUGGAGUCGGGCGCCGGAGGUAGGUACCGCGUCUCGGCCCAGUCGACGAGAAAGUCGGCAGUGCUUGUGACUUGAUGGCGGUGCGGGGCUGGUAGUGGAUGGUGUAGGGAGCCAGCUCUGUGGCCCAUUUGGCCACUCGGCCAGAAGCAUCUCGGCUUCCGAUGACCUCGGCAAGUGGGGUCGUGCAGACCAUAGUGAUUGGAUGCUCUUGAAAGUAAGGCUUCAAUUUCUUGGCAGCAAAGUGCACGACAUAGCACAUCUUCUGGUAGUGGGGGUAGUUCUGCUUGGAGGCCGACAGUACUUCGCUGAGGUAAUAUACCAGUCGCUGGACAUGUAAUGCCUUGCCUUCCUCCUUGCGUUCCACUACAAUGACUGUGCUGACUACCCGGAUGGUGGCAGCGAUGUACAGGAGCAUAGGUUCCUUAGGAGUCGGAGCCGCCAGAAUGGGUGGAGUAGUCAGCAUCUUCUUCAACUGGAGAAAAGCUUCGUCCGCCUUGUGGUUCCACUCGAAAAAGUGGUCUUCUUCAUGAGCUGGUAUAAGGGGAGAGCUUUCUCGCCUAGCCGACUAAUGAAUCGGCUGAUGGACGCCAAGCAGCCGGUGAACUUUUGCACAUCCAGCAGUCGGCUGGGUACCUCCAUCCUCUCAAUGGCCUUGAUCUUUACAGGGUUGCACUCUAUGCCGCGUUCAGAGACCAGGAAGCCAAGGAGUUGGCCGGCUGGUACUCCAAAGACGCACUUCUCAGGGUUGAGCUUGAUCUGGAAUCGGCGCAGGUUCUCAAAGGUCUCCUUGAGGUCUUCCAGCGGUGUUCCAUGCUUUUCCGUCUUCACCACCACAUCGUCCACGUAGACGUGGGCGUUUCUGCCGAGUUGCUUGAGGAGGCACUUCUGCAUGCAACGCUGAAAGGUGGCGCCGGUAUUCCUCAAGUCGAACGUCAUGGUGAGGUAGUAGAAGGCUCCAAACGGCGUGAUGAAGGUGGUCUUCAGUCUGUCAGCCGGGUUCAACUUGAUCUGGUGAUAUCCUGAAUAUGCAUCCAAAAAGCUCAACAGCUCGCAUCCGGCUGUGGAGUCUAUCACCUGAUCAAUUCUUGGUAAAGCAAACGGAUCCUUGGGGCAAGCCUUGUUGAGGCUUGUGUAGUCAAUACACAUUCGCCACUGCUUGUUCUUCUUCAGUACCAGGACCGGGUUGGCUAGCCACUCUGGAAAGAAUACUUCCAUAAUGAAGCCAGCUGCUAGGAGUCGGGCUAUCUCUUCUCCGACAACUCUUCUCUUUUCUUCUGAUAGACGGCGCAAGGGCUGCCUGACCGGCUUUGCAUCAGAUCGGACAUGUAACUUGUGCUCGGCGAAUUCCGUCGGCACACCUGGCAUGUCUUUGGGGGACCAUGAGAAGAUGUCCUGAUUCUCACGGAGGAAAUCGACGAGCUCGCCUUCCUAUUUGCUGUCGAGGUUUGCACCUACGACAGCGUACCUCUCUGGGUGCUUCGGAUCCAUGGGUAUCUUAUUUGUCUCCUUAGCCGGCUUGAACGAACCCUCAGCCUCCGACUCCUUUGGGUUAGGCGACACCUCUAGCUGCUUGCCGGCCAUCGCCACAACCCGGUCAAGGAGCCGCUUCUCGGCCGCGAUCACCAGGGACUCGACCAGCCGACUACUCUCAGCCGCACAGGCAGACGACUUCCGGUAGUCGCCGGCUACGGUCAGAAUCCCCCUGGAACUGGGCAUCUUCAUUUUGAGGUAGGCGUAGUGGGGGACCGCCAUGAACUUGGCCAGGGUGGGUCGGCCAAGUAAUGCAUGGUAUGGGCUCUCGAGGUCCACCACCUCAAACCAAACUAACUCUCGGCAGAAGUGAUCUUUGUCUCCAAAGAGGACGUCCAUCAGGAUCUUGCCGAUUGGUGAGCAGGAAAGCCCAGGAACAAUGCCAUGGAACACAGUCCGGCUGUUCUGAAGCUGUCUUUGCUUGAUUCCUAACUUCUCCAUGGUGUCCUUGUACAGGAUGUUGAUGCUGCUGCCUCCGUCUAUCAGAACUCGCGAGAAACGAGCAACUCGUCUAUCCGUGGCAAAGGUGGCAUCCAAGACCAAGGCACAAGAGCCCGGACUCGGCAUCACCUCUGGGUGAUCAGCCCUGCUCCAGCUGAUAGGCUCCUCAGACUAGUGCAUGAACUCUGGCAUCUCUGAUGCUACUGCAUUCACCUCUUGUCGCUGCAGACGCCUACUGUGUCGAUCAUCAGCCACGCUGGUAAAUAUCACGUAGGCUCCAUGCUCUUCGGGGUACUCGUCUUGUACUGCACCGACUGGCCUGACAGCCGGCUGCUGGGGCGGAGGCGGAGGCUGCUGCCCAGCAGGCGGGGAAGGUAGGAGGCCGUCUCCUUUGGCGAUCCUGGUGAGCCAGUGGCACUUCCGAGUGGUGUGAUUCGACGGCUUCGUGCCGCUAUGGAACUUGCAAGGACCAUCUAGAGUCUGCUCGUAUGAGAAAGCCGGCAACCAGUUGGGCUUGCCAGCUUUCUGUCGCUUGGGCGGAGGCUGCCCAUCCGGCUGCUGGUCUUCAACUGUCGCCACCUGCCGGCUGCUGGAAGCCGGCUGCAGGGCCUUGCGCUUGUGGUCGUUCUGCCGUUGCCGCCGACUGACAUCUCCUGCCAGAGUUCUUGGAGCCUGAGGGGCCACUUUGCCAGUUGCGCUAACUUGAAUCUCCGCCUUCAUGGAUGAGUCGGCCGUGGCAUACUUGUCUGCUAUGAUCAGCAGCUCGUCGAGGGUUUCUGGCUCGUCGCAGAGGAGCUUGUGCUUGAGGAGGGUGCCUUCUCUGCACUCGGCGGUGAAGUACUCGAUAGCCUGCACCUCGUGCACGCCCUCGCAGGAGUUCCGAAGCUCGGCCCAACGCGUGAGGUAGUCGCGAGUCGACUUGUUGGGGCCUUGCAUGCACAAGGAAAGCUGACGAGGCUUGGGAGGACGCUUGUACGUGCUUGUGAAGUUGCGGAUGAAUGCAUCGGUGAAGUCGACCCAGCUAUUGAUGUUGCGGGGCUUCAGGCUGUUCAGCCAUGUCCAGGCCGUGCCCUGGAGCAUGAGCGGAACGUAUUUUAUGGCGACACGCUUGUUGCCGUUCUCUAUGUUGACGGCCGUGGAGUAGUCGACCAGCCAGUCCUCCGGCUUCACGGAGCUGGUGUACUUGGGUGUGUCUCUUGGGAGCGCGAACCCUUUGGGGAAGGGCUCGUCUGGAAUGCGGGGCCCGAAACAAGGCGGACCCAACUUGUCUUCUUCUUCCAGCACCAGGGAUUGGUGAAGUCGGUCGAUCCGGUGGCGGGCGUCGUUUUGUCCGACUCCCUCUCGGCGACCAAGGCGGUCGCCGAGAGUCGGAUUGUCAACAGGCGGCGGGGAGACUCGCCUUUCCUUGCAAGGAGGAGGAGGCGGACAGUCGUCCCGUUGUUCCACCGCCCGUGGGCGGCCGUCUUGGUCGCGCUCUAUGGUAAUGUGAGUCCAACUGUGGCUGACAGCCGGAUCCUUGUCUUUCCUUCCUUGGGUACCACCAGUCGGCGUCCGAGACGUCGCGCCUUGAUCUCGGCGUGGAGGCGAGUCGUCGUUUUGUCGCUGCGGCACCUCCGUGCGGCAGCCGGCCUCGUUCUGCGCGGCAGCCGCGUCGAGGAGCCGCUGGACUCGCUCCGUCAUCAGGCGGCGCUCUGCGCCCUCGAAGUUGUCCAGCUCAUCCGCCGCCGCCUUGGCGGCUCGAAUGUUCUCCGCAGGUGUGGCGUACACAUGGUGAUUUGCGCCGAACAGGUUGGCGAUGGCCACGCCGCGCUGCUGGACCGCGCCAAGGCGGCUGGGCCAGCUGGGGCCGGCGAGCCACCCACAGCGCGAUCCAUCUCACGCUGGUAGGCUUCUGACAAGCAUCUCAUGCUAGCCAGCUUCUUUGUGCCUUCGACGAGCUGAAGGCGGCGCGCCUCCAACGUCUCCGCGUCAGCGUCUUCUGGAAUGGGCGCAGUCAGGUCUUGUAGUGCCGCGCCAAGUGGGUCAUGCGCUCCUCCACCGGGAGGCUCGUCAUGACCGAUGACGAGGACCUCGGUGACGGUGCUUCUGUCACUCUCCACGCGAGGGAGAGGCUCGUCGUAGACCACCACGUUGGUGGGGAACGCGUCGAGCGACGCGGUGUCGGAGUCGACCAGCAUCGGGUCGGUGGAGCCUACAGACUCCAAGUCCACGGCAGGCUCGCCGGCAACGUGGAGUUUGUCGAGGAGGCCCGCGAGGAGGCUCUCGGGGCCGCCCGUGCCUGCGUUGGAUGCAGGUUCGUCGGAGAGGCGAACCUCGCCGACAAGAUCGGCGAGGCAGCUGGCUACGUAGGCGAUCUCAACGCAGUGCAGCGCGUCAGCGCAAACUCCGUCUUGCGUGCCGGGCUGGCUGCGCUCGCCAGGGAGGAAAAGGGUUCCCGUCCAGAGCAGGUCUCCGGACGACGGUGCACCACGCCCCAUGGUGGGCGCCAAAUGUCAGGGGUUGGGUGCGACAUAUGCCAAAGGAUGGCUUAUCAUGGUGGGGGCGAGUAGAACGUCGCCGGUGCCUGGAAACGGGAUAAGGCAAAGACAUGCACGCCGGCGAAUCUUACCCAACUUCAGGGCUCUCCGGGGAGAUAAUACCCCUGCUGCUGCUCUACGGGGUCUCUACAUGAUCACUAUGGCAAAGUGUUUACACGGUUGCUCCUCGAGCUGUUUCCUGGAGGUAGGAGAAGGCAAGGCUAGCUCUCUCCUUCCUAUAUGAUCUGGUCUAGUGCUAAUGGAUUCCAACCCUUUGCAUGGAUGCCCUGGGGGGUUUAUAUAGGCCUACCCCCAGGGGUACAAUGGUAAUCCGGCUGGGCGCGAGCCCAUCCAUCAGUCUCUCUGGCCGCCGUCUUAUCCGCCGACACUUGGGGCCCGCCGACUGGCUCGGUACGGAGCCGACAGGCCGCGUCCGCCGCGGGGGGUCUUGCCGGCUGCAGAUUACUGUAGCCGUGCCUCUAAUGACGCAGGCUCGGUCAUGAGGUCAUGGUGACAGCUCCGCCGUCUGGCGAGCGAUCACUGUGGCCACUACUUGUCGUGUCUGAUUAAUGGCGCGUGGGACCCAUGGGAGGGGCCGGCCGACUUCUGGUGGCCGACUCCCAUCCGGGCCGGCUGGUGGUGCUUUCGCCGUCUUUCGUACGCCCGCCGACUGGUGGGACCCAUCAUCCCUGGGUUGUACCAGCAGGCCAUCGUGGGCACAGGGCUCCGCCCCCUGGGGCUGAUGUCAGGGCCGACAUGGCAAUAAUGUCGCGCCGUGCAGAGAUCUCCACGGGUACGGCAUACUGUAGCCACGCCUGCCCUUGGAAAAGGGGUGGGAGUGGACCUUACUGUGGCCACUCCCCAUCCCGUCCCUCUUUAUGAGGGCAUGGGGGUUGUUGGUGUCACGGGCCGACUCCCCAAGGCCGGCUUCUUUGGAAGUCGCCAGUCAGGAGUCAGCUCAUCCUGAAGUCGUCCCUAGGACUCGGCCACGAGUGGGCAGCCAGCCGCCUCACCGCCGACUCUCAGAAGGCGGCUCUUCGUCCUGGGGUCUCGAGGGGCGCAGUCUGCCUCAAUGUCUUGAAAGGUUCUGGGCUUGGGUUAGCCUACCCGUGGCUAAUUACUCCGACAGCCCAGCUAAACCGGGGCACAAUCACAGUAGUUCUCCCAGUGCUACCUUAGCCGAUAUAGCGGAACGUAAGGUACCAAAACAUGGGAGCCGGGCAAACCCAACUAUUGACCCAAGACAUGAUUCGGAGCUGAUGCAUAUAAUGCUAUAAGUUCGGGGUGCCGCACUGUCGAAAGUGUUCGUACUUCUCACACCGUAUUAUGGGGUACGCUUAAGCCCCUGACGUAUUGGCCGUACCAGAGUGUACGGGUGCUGAAUGUCAUAAAUGAACAUAUAUAUAUAUAUAAGAAAGAAUAUAGAAUGCGGUAAUAGUGUAGUGCUAUGCAUUGUUUAUUCAAAAAGGUGCAUCGAACCAGAAUGAUACAAGUUAUGCGAUAAGCAAAAAGUAGGACUAUAUGACAUGUCCCCUCCAAGGGCAACCUGAGGAAUGGUAUUUAAAGCAGGUAUUUCACUCGUUAUUAGAGACCACCUGGGAGUUCCGUGGUGCGACAUAGCUUUCUGCCUCCUUGGUUGUUGCAUCGUGUGUCCGACCAUCGUACUGCCGGACGGGGUUUCCAGAUAUUAAAGUCCUGAAAGAGAGAAAAAUAACAAAGCGGGAAGCCCCUAGUGCGGUUGAGCCGCGUCUUGGGACAUGCCAUAGUCGUGCCCCCCUCCCCACGUGUGCCCAUGGUACUUUCAAUGCGUAAUUAUGCACGCGUGGCACAGAUUUCACCGUUUGGCUGGGACUGGGGUGGGGGCCGCGUUGCUAUGCGAGCUCGGAACGUGCUAGGCGGUCUUGUUGUCGAUUACUCCGCGCGCGCUUGAAGGUGUCUGGGUCUUUGAUCGCCGAACUGGUGGAUUGCCUUAAGAGGCUGCUUUGCGCUUCUGCUGCGAGGGCCGCAGUGUGCUCCUCCAUGCGGAGAGAGCGCUCUGUGUUUCCAUUGACUGUGAUGACCCCCCGAGGUCCUGGCAUCUUGAGCUUGAGAUGUGAAUAGUACGGUACUGCGUUGAAUCUCGUGAAUGCGGUUCGCCCGAGCAGUGCAAGAUAGCCACUGCGGAACGGGACUAUAUCGAAGAUUAACUCCUCGCUUCGGAAGUUAUCCGGGGAUCCGAAGACCACUUCCAGUGUGACUGAGCCUGUACAAUGGGCCUCUACACCUGGUAUGACGCCUUUGAAGGUCGUUUCUGUGGGUUUGAUCCUUGAGGGGUCUAUACCCAUUUUGCACAUUGUGUCCUGAUAAAGCAGGUUUAGACUGCUGCCACCGUCCGUAAGGACUCGAGUGAGGUGAAAUCCGUCGAUGAUUGGGUCUAGGACCAGUGCAGUGAAUCUGCCAUGAUGGAUACUAGUGGGGUGGUCCCUACGAUUGAAGGUGAUCGGACAGGAGGACCAUGGGUUGAACUUUGGGGCGACUGGAUCCAACGCAUAUACGUCCCUUAACGCACGCUUCCGCUCCCUCUUAGGGAUGUGGGUUGCGUAUAUCAUGUUCACCGUCCGCACUUGUGGGGGAACCUCUUCUGUCCUUCGGUGUUUGGCUGCCGGGGCUCUUCAUCGUCAUCGCUAUGUAGCCCCUUGUCUUUGUUUUUGGCGUUUAACUUGCCGGCCUGCUUGAACACCCAACAUUCCCUGUUGGUGUGGUUGGCUGGCUUGUCAGGGGUGCCAUGUAUUUGGCAUGAGCGAUCGAGUAUACGAUCCAAACUGGACGGGCCCGGAGUGCUUCUUUUGAAUGGCUUUUUCCCCUGACCGGGUUUAGAGCCUCUGAAUCCGGCAUUGACUGCCGUAUCUUCGGUAUUGUCGCUGUUGACGCGACGCUUAUGUUUGUUGCGACGUGACCUGCCAUUGCUAUCCUUGGUAUCUGAAGUACCGUGGUUCUUUGAUAUGUUAUUGCUGCGAGCCAGCCAACUGUCUUCUCCCACACAAAAGCGGGUCGUGAGUAUUGUGAGGGCUGCCAUAGAUUUUGGCUUUUCCUGGCCAAGGUGCCGGGCGAGCCACUCGUCGCGGAUGUUGUGCUUAAAAGCUGCUAGGGCCUCUGCAUCCGGACAGUCGACAACUUGAUUUUUCUUUGUCAGGAACCGUGUCCAGAAUUGCCUGGCCAAUUCCUCUGGCUGCUGAAUUAUGUGGCUCAAGUGAUCGGCAUUUGGUGGUUGCACAUAAGUGCCCUGGAUGUUGUCGAGGAAUGCGGCUUCCAGAUCUUCCCAACAGCCAAUGGAUUCUGCUGGCAGGCUGUUGAGCCAAUGCCGAGCUGGUCCUUUGAGCUUGAGUUGGACACUACUGGGAAAAGGCAUGCUAGUGGCGCACCAGUUUUGCCUACUAAUGGCGCACUACUGGUGCGCCACUAGCAUCACGCCAUUAGAAUUAAAUUCUAAUGGCGCACCAUCGGUGCGCCAUUAGUAUCUGGUGUUCUAAUGGCGCACCACGUAGUGCGCCAUUAGUAUAGCCCAUAGUGCGCCAUUAGAAUGCCUCCCGGGGGGCAUAUGUACCCAUGUGCUUUGGCAUACUAAUGGCACACCAGUGGGUGAUGCGCCAUUAGUGUGAUUAUCACAGUGCGCCAUUAGUGUCUUGUGUGGUGCGCCACUAGUAUGAAUAUUAGGGAUUUUUUUUCAUUUCUGAUAUUUACACAGGUUACAAAAUAUAUUAUUGUAUAGAAUUUAGACAACAGCACACAGCAACAACAUAUUCAUCAAAUACAAUAGAAGAUUAGCCUCCGAAUACAAUUCAUCAUAUUAGUCUCCGAAUUCAAAAGACCGAACAAAGAUAGAACAUUACAAGUCUCGAGACCGCGAGUAGCGAGUUUGUCUUCACAUUACAAGUCGAUAUCGAUCAUCUAAACCACCAUCACAUAGAAGAGAGCUGCGGUCAUCACGAUGAGUAUCAUCGCGAUGAAACUGGUCUUCAUCCGGUUCCUCCAACGCUCCCUCCUCUCUCCCGCUAGAUAGCGGCGUAUCUAGAUUCCGCCUCCGCCCUAGUGGUGUACCCUUUGUAACUGUUACCGCUGAAAUGGUGAACCUGUCUCCGACACUCAUCCCAGUUGUCGUAGACUCCAGGAACCUUACCCUUGUACACGACAUACGACGGCAUCUCUAUGCACAAGCCAAACAACAGACAAUACAUAAGCAAUAUAUAAGUAUGCAACAAAAGGAUCGGAAGAGAAAAGCAAGACAUUAAUAGCACGAUUCAUGGUCCUACUAAUAAAUAGCAUCGAUUACAUCUAAGUUGAACGACUGUCCAGACCAAAGAGACAUACAAGUUCAUUAAAGUUUAAUUACAACAUGAGCCAAUCAAUGUUUCAGAACUACACAUAGCAUCGUCGACUCGACUCAUGGGACCGGAGCGUGGAUGAAGCCGCCGUUUGUCUUGAUGGUCAUGAAAUCGCGGGCGUUGUCAGCCUGCAUUUGUAGCGUUCCGUCUAUCUCACUGUUGGACGGUUCAUAUCUGAGGUAGAACUGCCUCGAGGUAUGAAGGAUAUCUUGAUGGACGAUGUCCGCAAACUCCUACUGGAUGCGAAAGAAUUCUUGUCUGAUGUCCGCCUGGAUUGCCGACAAGCUCGCGGCCCAAUCUUUGAGAUUAUCUGGUAGCAGAAGGUGAUGAUGGUCCCUUACGAUCGCCCGCACGUGAUGGAGUGUCACACCCUAGCUAGUCAUGCAUUAGAGUGUUGCAUCAUGUUUACUCUUUCAUCAGAAACUUGAAAUGGGGAUGACAGAACCCCCAGUCCCCUCUGAUAACCAACUAGGGUUUACUAAAAUAAUUUUCAAUGAACCUGAAAUGCCCUUCUAAAAUGCCCAUCAUUUUUGCCUUGGUUCAGAACCUCUGCCAAAAAUGGUGCACACUUUUCUAGGCCAUCCUAGGGUUCUUGAGUUAAAUCAUAACUAUUUGAAUUUGGGCAUUUAAAAUAAUAUAAAAUAUUUAAAUGUUCAAAUAUCUCCAAACUAAAAUGUUUCAUGUUGGAAAUAUUCCAACUAUGGACCAGGAGUAGUUUGGUGAUUUUUGGAGUUGCCUAGGUAUUUUAUUUAAUUCAACAAAGUUGCAGAAAUAUUAAAUAAAACAGAAAACAGAAAAUAAAUAAAGGGAGAAGCUUACCUGGGCUCCUCCCUGUUCAGCCCAGCCAGCUGGCCGGCCCAGCCCAGCACUGUAGCUCCCCGUCGUCUUCCUCCCCACGCCCCGAAGCUGCUGCGUGCUCGCGCGCGCGCGGCCGCGCGGCCACCUCCUGCUUGCCGACGCCCCCCUGGCCGCGUGGACGACGCCCGCAGCCGUCCCGAUCCCCCUGCUCUCGCUCACUCUCCCCCGUUUCUCCCUCGCUCUCUCUCGCUCUCGGCCGAACACCACCGUUGCCGCCGUCCGCCGUAGCCACUGACUCCGGCCACCCCUCGCUUCCCCGAGUAGCUCAGAAGCUCCGCCUCGACUCCCUCUUCCUCCCCACCGCUCCACGAGUCCCCGGAAGCCCUGCAUUGCCGCCACGUCGCCGUUCCCCUCUUCGGACUCCGACCACCGUCGCCGACGAAUUCGCCGUCUCCAGCGCGUCCCCGAGCCCGCUUCGACGCCCACUGCAACCGCGGUGAGCCCCCGAGCCGUUUCCCCCUCUCCUUCCCCUCGUUCCCUCACCGUAGCUGCAUCCCCACCUCGGCCGAACCUCCGCCGUCGCCAAGCUCGCCGUCGACGCAGCUCCGGUGACCAUUUGGUCACCCCGGCGAGUCCAACGCGUUCACAGAACCCAGUAGAGCAUCCCUAGCGCCUCACCUUGCUCGACUUCGAGCUCCAGCACCACUCCCGUGCACGACCGAACCCCGGCGGCCGCAUCCGAGCUCGCCGCCGUCGACUCCGGCCACCCCGACCCCAACGGACUCCGCCAAGAGCCGCGGGUCGUCCUCAGCUUCACUCCGGUGGUCGCCACGUUCCAUUUGGUGGCCGAAACGACCAAAACCACUAUCGCCGCCGCACUGUUGGUCGCCGCCGGCCAGAACUCCGGCGAGCUGACGUGGCCUAGUUGAUUAACCACUAAUCCAUCACCUACUGACGCUGACAAGUGGGCCCCAGGGGUUAGUCAAAGCUAACCAGCCCGGGGUCAACGCGGGAUUAGCACCUGGUCACUGACGUGUGGACCCCACACGUCAGGUUUGACCCGAGCCAGCCCUGUUGACCUGCUGAUGUCAUCAUGAUGUCAGGCUGACGCAGUAAAUGAUAUUUCUGGAUUUAAUUAAAUCAGGAAAUUCCAGAAUAUUAUUUAAACUUCAAAAAUUCAUAACUUUUAUUCUGUAACUCCAAAUUGGACAAAUAAUAUAUGAAAAAUGAUCAGAAAAAUCCAAUCUAUCCAUCUGUACUAUUUUCAUGCAUGAUCAAACAAGUUAACUUGAUGUUUCAAUCAGAACAAGAAAAGGCACCUUAAAAGGCCAUAUUUGAAUUUGGAAUUUGAAUCUUUGAUUCAAAUUUGCUCAAACACUUCUGGCUUUAGUUGCAUUAGCCUAACACACUCAUAUUGCCAUGUUUCAUGCAUGCAUCAUAUUGUUGCACAUUGUUUGGUGAUGCCUGUGUAUCGUUAUCCUUUGCGACAGGAUCUGUCCCCGAGGAGUACCGUGAUUACCCUAACGAGGAAUCGUAUCCAUGCAACGAACCAUCAGGCAAGCAACCAACCAUUUGACCAUAUCGAUACAAUCCCAUGUUCUCGCUCCUGCUCUCUUUUACUGCAUUAAGACAACGCGAUUCAAACUGCUGUGUGCUACGGUAGUUGAACCCAUUUCCUCUGCAUGACCUGUCAUUGCCACAGUAACUAGAUGAAACCCACUAGCAUGUGUAGGAGUUGAUUGAGCCCUAUGUAUGUGUUGUUCCUACCUUGCUAUGCCUGCUAUGCUUAGAGUCGUGUCAGGUCUGGUUCAUCUGGGUGAUGGACUAGAGUGAAAUGAUUAUGUCGGUAAUGAGAGUGGCGUGGUGAACACGAUUUGGUAGAGGUAUCGAUGAGAGGCCAUGUAGGAGUACAUGGUGGGUUGUUUCAUUGAAGCCGACCUUAAGCACUGAGAUCUGUAUGUGUGAUUUAAGAAUCAGCUACUACCAUGCAUUGGGCCCGAAACCAAUGGACCCUCUCGACUUCUUAUUCACCCUAGUUCUCCGUCCAGGAGUUGCAAGUAGUUUCUGGUGUUUGUAGCCUACUGGAGGCCGUGGACAGUGCUGACCGUAGGGGUGGGCUGUGAUGCGGUAGGUACGUGGCCGGGUGUACCGAAUACCCGUUAGGUAUCUCGGGAACCCUGUUCACAUCGUUCGGGGCCGUAUGGGAAACCUCGGCCGGACUCCCUGCGGAUGGAACCUGAAUAGGCGAUAAACCUGGACUGGAAGCUUAGGUGAUUGGGUAGGUCGUGGCCGACACCCACGUUGGGCUUCCGCUUGAAGGUUGCCGAGUACAUGUCGUGUAAACGACGAUAAGUGGUGAGAGCGUGUAUGAAGAAGUACACCCCUGCAGGGUUAACAUGAUCUAUUCGAAUAGCCGCGUCCGCGGUAAAGGACUACUUGGUUGCCUAUACAGUUCAUAGACAAGUAAAUGGAAACUAUUAAAAGCCUCAAGAUAAGUGUGAGUGCCGAGGAGGGCUCUUCCGUAGGAAAACGGGAGUGGAUCCUCGGUAGUGUAUUGAAGUGGUGAGUAGUGGACUCGUGUGCGCAAAACAUUUCAAGUUGGUGUAUCGUAGGAUAGUCUAGCCAAGAGUCAAAGCUGGCUUGCUGCAAUAACUCCACCAACCCUUCUUGAUACUAUGCAUGUAUGUAGGAUCUGAUGUAAGUCUUGCUGAGUACCUUUGUACUCAUGUUGCUAUAAUCUAUAUUUUUACAGAAGACGCUGCAACCCCUUCUGAUGGGUUCUAUGUAGACGUUGACAUCAACGAGUAGGCUAAAGACCCAGGUGGUGACCCUGAGCUUGUGAAGGACCACGUAGUAUAGUUAGGCUUCCAAUGCCUCUUUUAUUUACUAGUUGUCUGUACUCAGACAAGUUACUUCCGCUGUUGGCUUGUAUGACUGUAUGACUUGUAUGUUGGGUCGUGAGACCCGUACCUUUGUGUGUAUGUUAUGUAUGGCUCACUGAGCCUUAAAUAAAGUACUUGUGUCGUAGAGUCAUGUUGUGAUGCUUCGUUGUAUUUGCACAUAUCGAGCAUAUUGUGUGUAUGAUUGAAAUGCUUGGUAUGUGUGGGAUCUGACUAUCUAGUUGUUUAUCUUUAGUAGCCUCUCUUACCGGGAAAUGUCUCCUAGUGUUACCGCUGAGCCAUGGUAGCUUGCUACUGCUCUGGAACACUUAGGCUGGCCGGCAUGUGUCCUUCUUCGUUCCUGUGUCUGUCCCUUCGGGGAAAUGUCACGCUUUGAGUACCGGAGUCCUGUUAGCCCGCUACAGCCCGGUUUACCAGAGUCCUGCUAGCCCAGUGCUACAGCCCGGACCCAUUUGCUGAUGACCGACACGUUCGGAGCUGGGUCAUGGAUGCCUGUCCCUGUAAGUCUGUGCCACUUUGGGUUUACGACUAGUCAUGUCAGCCCGGGCUCUUUAUCAUAUGGAUGCUAGCGACACUAUCAUAUACGUGAGCCAAAAGGCGCAAACGGUCCCGGGCAAAGGUAAGGCGACACCCGUGGGAAUACCGUGCGUGAGGCCGCAAAGUGAUAUGAGGUGUUACCGGCUAGAUCGAUGUGACAUCGAGUCGGGGUCCUGACAGCGUUGGCAUCAGAGCCGGACUGCCUGUAGGUUCUCCAAGCCAAACUGGUCGAUGUUGAGUCUAGAAAUUCUUUAGUUAUAUGUAGGGGAAUUGUUUGUGGGUUGGAACGUAAGGCUCUUUUUACUCCUUAUAUCUUAUGACAUUCUGAUCUGAGUCAGUCCAUUCUUCCACCGGGGGUUAAGGAAUUAGGAUCUGUUCUCUCUAUCAGGAUCACGUGUUACUGAUCAGUAGUACCUUAUAAGUUUGAUGGUUACAAGCCUAGUUCAGUUCUACUACCACAUUAUGUUGUUAGAAUGGUUCCAGAACUUGAUAUGAUGAUGUUGAGUGUGUACGAAAUCCUUUGUCAAAUGUCUCAAUAUCCUUUUUGAGCAUUUACAGCUGUUAUGCUGCCGAAAUUUUGCUAGAAAUUCUAAUGCCUUUGCAUUAUAACUGUGCUUUCAGAUGGCCACUCGCGACCUCAAUCAAGUGGUUCGCCUGACUCGAUGCCUAGAUGUACCCGGCCAUACUGCUAAGUUGGUCAGGGUAAUGACUGAGGCUGGAUACCGCUGGUAUCCUGAAUACACGGUCGAAGAGCAAUUCCGAGAUUUUAAUCAAAGCCAGUAUCUCUGCACUGUCAGGAUAUUUCCUUCUUAUCCUGGAUCCACUGAGCCUCUUCACUGCUCCUAUGGACUCGGGGUUACUAUCGAGAUGGCUGUGCAGGAUGCCGCCUACUCUAUGAUGACCAUUAUGCGAGUCAGAUCUGGGUUAUUUCGGGACUCUGACUUCCGGUAUAUGCCAGGAUCACUUCCGGGAGCACAAGGAUAUUUUCAGGCUAUAUAUGCUGACUCCACUCAGGAGGAUUCACGGACUCGCACCACUGCUGAGAUGCUCGAGGAUAAGGACCGUGAAAAUCGGGCCUUAAGGUUAGAGCUCUUCAAUACCCGUGCUGACCACUGGGCCACUUUGACUCGGUUCGCACCGGCAGUGCAAGCUGGAUAUUCAGAUAUGCGCGAUCUCUAUCCUGUGAGAUCUGCUCUGCCAGACGUGAUGGUUUGGCGUGAUGUAGGAGGCAUCACCCCAUCUCGCGGUCCCCGCAGGCCACCGUUUGCUGGUCCAAGACCUCAUCCUAGCCCCUAUGGUCCACAAGCUCCGCGAGACCGUCUGUUUCCGGAUGAUCAUGUUGAACUUCCGGGCUAUGGAGGUGACUUCUACGAGGACUACUACGGAUCGGUCUGAGUUAGUAGUAGUAUCACUAGUUCGCACUAGCUGUGUCGUCUGUCGUCCCGCGUGACUCGUGGGAUAUGACCUAGUUUGUACUCUUCUGGAGUUGUAGAAAAAUAAUGUAUAGGAGUUUGGAAUGCCUCCGAUGAGAUGUAAUCCCUUUUCACCGUAAUAGUACUUUGUUUGGUCUUGUACUAAACCUUGUAUGGUGUGUAUGACGAUGGAAUAAAGAAGCAGUUUCUGUAUCUACCAUGUCAUACGGAUGAUCAUCUUGCAUUCCGAGUUAUUCCUUGCAUUAUGUAUCCUAUGUCGGAAUUUUAUCAUUCUGACUAAAUCAUUGGCUUGUUUACCUAGGAUGGUCAACACGCGCGCCAACCCUGCUUCUCAAGAGCAGGCCGAAGGCAGUGAAGCCAGAAAUGAAAAUCUGCCUCAUCCUCCUUCACUAGCCGAGGUGAUGAUGGAAGCUGAGAGAAACAAGCGGGAGACAAACCGUUUGUUGGAGCGUAUUGAACAGAAUACAGCACACCAUCAGAGGGCUAACGUGGUGUCACUCAGUGAUUUUAUUAAAUUGCAUCCACCCACGUUCCACCACUCCGUCGAGCCUCUCGACGCCGAUGACUGGCUUCGCAGUAUCUCUCACAAGCUGCGUUCCGCGCUGGUAGCGGAGGCUGACAAGGUCACCUUUGCCGCAUAUCAUCUUGAAGGCCCCGCCAGUCUAUGGUGGGAGAAUUAUGGAGCUAUGCGCCCAGCGGGCCAUGUCACAACUUGGGCUGAAUUCAGUGAGGCUUUCCGUGAACAUCACAUUCCGGAGGGUCUCAUGGACCGUAAGCGUGAAGAAUUUUGCAAUUUCACCCAAGGCCGACUUUCUGUGGAUGUCUAUAGCAGGGAGUUUGGUAAUCUUGCACGAUAUGCAACCGAGGAAGUUUCUACUGACGCCAAGAAGCAAGCAAGGUUCCGUAAGGGCCUUAGUCCUGAGCUUCGUCGCGACCUCCGUCUGCAUGAGUGCACAUCUUUUUCGAAACUUGUCAACAAAGCCAUCAGUGCUGAAACUGGUCAGACUGAUUAUGAUGCAACACGCAAGCAUGGACGUGACAUGGGUUCCUCAUCCGGUGCUGGUCCUCAGAAGCGCCGCGUGUGGGUACCCAAUACCGCCCUGCCACCCAGGUUCACACCGAGGCCAUCUUUUCAGGCGCCUCGCCCUGUUCAACAGUCUGCACCAGCCAAGUCCUAUGGGGGUCCAACCAAUAAUGCUCCUCCACGUACCAGUUCCGUGACUUGUUUCAAGUGUGGGGAAUCUGGUCAUUAUAUGCGUGAGUGUCCCCAGACCAACCCCAAUCAAUCUGCUAAAGCUGUUGGCCGUGGCAAGCCGACAGGGAAGGUGUUCCAUGCCAAACCGGUCACCGCUUCACGUGGCCAUGUCAACUGUGUCUCUGCCGAAGAAGCUCAAGAGGAUCCCAACGUCGUUCUCGGUACGCUUCUUGUUAAUUGCCACCCGGCAUCUGUUCUUUUCGAUACAGGAGCCUCUCAUUCCUUUAUAUCUGAAAAUUAUGCUCGUUUGCAUAACGUUGCAUUCUGUGAUCUGCCGUCCACUAUGGAAAUCUCUACCCCUGGGUCUAGAUGGCAGACCUCUAGGGUAAGUUAUGGAAAUGAAAUCCAAGUCGACAGACUUGUUUUUCUCGCAUCUUUGAUAGCCCUUAAAUCUUCAGACAUUAAUAUCAUUUUGGGUAUGGACUGGAUGUCAGCUCAUCAUGCCAAAAUCGAUUGCUUCUCUAGGACCGUUCAACUCACCCAUCCUUCGGGGAAGAUAGUCAAUGUUUUGACUCGAAUAGCCAAGCAACAAUUAUAUUCUCUUAACGCCAGCCCUUUGCCAGACCUUGAGGACGUUCCGGUAGUCCGUGACUUUCCGGAUGUCUUUCUAGAGGAAUUGCCAGGUGUUCCACCUGACAGGGAUGUUGAGUUCGUAAUAGACCUCAUUCCAGGUACCGUUCCGAUUGCUAGAAGACCUUAUAAGAUGGCACCCCUAGAACUAGCCGAGCUUAAGAAACAACUCGAUGAGUCCUUGAAAAAGGGUUUCAUCCGCCCUAGUUCCUCUCCGUGGGCUUGCCCCGUCCUAUUCGUCAAGAAGAAAGAUGGAACGGACCGGAUGGUUGUAGAUUACCGACCUGUCAAUUUGGUCACAAUCAAGAACAAAUAUCCACUUCCCAGGAUCAACGAUCUAUAUGAUCAGCUCGCUGGAUCCUCAGUCUUCUCCAAGAUGGAUUUGAGGUUGGGCUACCAUCAAAUCAAAAUCAGAAACGGGGACAUUCCUAAAACGGCUUUUGUUACUCGCUAUGGUCAAUACGAGUACACCGUUAUGUCCUUCGGUUUAACCAACGCUCCAGCCACUUUUUCUCGGUUAAUGAACUCAAUCUUCAUGGAGUAUUUGGAUAAAUUCGUCGUAGUUUAUCUCGAUGAUAUACUCAUCUACUCCAAGAACGAGGAAGAACAUGCCGAACAUCUAAGGCUAGUGUUGCAGAAACUUCGAGAGCAUCGCCUUUAUGCCAAAUUUUCUAAAUGUGAAUUCUGGUUAUCAGAAGUGACCUAUCUGGGUCAUGUAAUAUCUGGUAAAGGUAUUGCUGUUAACCCUGAGCGAGUUCAAGCCGUUCUUAAUUGGACUCCACCCGAAUCGGUCAAGCAAGUUCGGAGUUUUCUAGGCUUAGCGAGCUAUUGCCGUCGCUUUGUCGAGAACUUCUCCAAAGUUGCUAAACCUCUAACCGAACUCCUCAAGAAAGAUAAGAAGUUCGAAUGGACCCCACAAUGUGAGCACAGCUUUCAGGAACUGAAAAGACGCCUGACUUCUGCUCCCGUGCUGGUACCACCAGACUUCUCCAAAGACUUUGUUAUUUACUGCGACGCCUCGCGACAAGGACUAGGUUGCAUCCUUAUGCAAGAUCGACACGUAAUUGCUUACGCUUCACGGCAAUUGGACCCACAUGAGGAGAAUUAUCCUACUCAUGAUCUAGAACUUGCAGCCGUAGUCUAUGCCCUUAAGACCUGGCGACAUUACCUCCUCGGUAAUCGUUGCGAAAUAUUCACUGAUCACCAAAGCCUGAAGUACAUUUUCACCCAACCGGAUUUGAAUCUCAGGCAAAGACGUUGGGUUGAAUUAAUCACAGACUUCGACUUAGGGAUAACCUAUACCCCAGGGAAAGCCAACGUCAUGGCUGAUGCGCUAAGUCGUAAAUCUUAUUGUAACAACCUGAUGUUACAACAAAGUCAACCGCUUCUCCAUGAGGAAUUUCGGAAGCUUAACCUUCACAUUGUACCUCAAGGUUUUCUCUCCACCUUGGUGGCAAAACCUACCCUUACGGAUCAAAUCAUCAAAGCACAGAAGGUAGAUCCGGGAAUCUCCCGCAUCAAGAGGAAUAUUCAGAAAGGAAUUGCGAAUUGUUUCUCCGUUAAUGAUCAAGGAGUCGUGUACUUCGGGGAUCGAUUAGUAGUUCCCAAAGUGCGCAACCUAAGGCGAAUAAUCCUUAAGGAAGCCCAUGAAUCUCCUCUCACCAUUCAUCCCGGUAGUACUAAAAUGUAUCAGGACCUACGCCAGAGGUUCUGGUGGACUAGGAUGAAGAGAGAAAUUGCUCAGUAUAUUGCCAAUUGCGACGUCUGUCGUCGUGUAAAAGCAGAGCAUCAACGGCCUGCUGGCACCCUUCAACCCUUAGCUAUUCCUGAAUGGAAAUGGGAUAAAAUUGGUAUGGAUUUCAUUACCGGUUUUCCCAGGACCAAAAGAGGGAAUAAUGCUAUUUUCGUCGUGGUCGAUCGUCUUUCCAAAGUAGCUCAUUUCUUACCUGUUCGUGAGAGUAUAACCGCUAGUCAGCUGGCAGAUUUGUACAUCUCCCGAAUAGUGUCUCUCCAUGGUGUUCCUUUGGAAAUCAAUUCGGAUCGAGGAAGUCUUUUCACCUCUCGAUUUUGGGAAAGUUUCCAAAAUGCUAUGGGAACCCGUCUCUCCUUUAGCACCGCUUUCCACCCUCAGUCGAGUGGUCAAGUGGAACGCGUCAAUCAGAUUCUAGAAGACAUGCUUCGAGCCUCCGUUAUCUCUUUCGGAAUGGACUGGGAGAAGUGCCUUCCAUUUGCCGAAUUCGCUUACAACAACAGCUAUCAAUCUAGCUUGGGUAAAGCCCCUUUUGAAGUUCUCUAUGGACGACGAUGUCGAACACCCCUUAACUGGUCAGAGACCGGGGAAAGACAAUUCUUUGGCCCGGAUAUGAUUCAGGAAGCAGAAGAACAAGUUCGUAUCGUUCGUGAAAAGUUGAAAACAGCCCAAUCCCGUCAAAAGAGUCAAUAUGACCGAAAACAUAAGGCUAUGACUUUCGAGGUUGAUGAGAAGGCUUAUCUUCGGGUCACCCCUCUGAAGGGAACCCAUCGCUUCGGUAUCAAAGGCAAAUUGGCUCCUCGUUACAUUGGACCUUUUCGCAUUCUUGCCAAACGAGGAGAAGUUGCCUACCAGUUGGAACUACCUCCGCACCUCUCCAGAGUUCACGAUGUCUUCCACGUUUCUCAACUCAGGCGUUGCUUCUCGGAUCCUAUCCGUGAAGUGGACCACGAAACGCUUGAUCUCCAAGAUAAUCUUACAUAUCGAGAGUACCCCAUUCGUAUCCUCGAUCAAGCCGAACGUACCACGCGACGUCAUAACAUCAAGUUUCUCAAGGUUCAAUGGUCGCACCAUUCUGAAGAUGAAGCAACUUGGGAAAGGGAGGAUCGUCUUCGACUCGAGUAUCCCACCUUCUUCUCGGAGGAACCCAAAUCUCGGGACGAGAUUCUUUUGAGUGGGGGUGAGUUGUCACACCCUAGCUAGUCAUGCAUUAGAGUGUUGCAUCAUGUUUACUCUUUCAUCAGAAACUUGAAAUGGGGAUGACAGAACCCCCAGUCCCCUCUGAUAACCAACUAGGGUUUACUAAAAUAAUUUUCAAUGAACCUGAAAUGCCCUUCUAAAAUGCCCAUCAUUUUUGCCUUGGUUCAGAACCUCUGCCAAAAAUGGUGCACACUUUUCUAGGCCAUCCUAGGGUUCUUGAGUUAAAUCAUAACUAUUUGAAUUUGGGCAUUUAAAAUAAUAUAAAAUAUUUAAAUGUUCAAAUAUCUCCAAACUAAAAUGUUUCAUGUUGGAAAUAUUCCAACUAUGGACCAGGAGUAGUUUGGUGAUUUUUGGAGUUGCCUAGGUAUUUUAUUUAAUUCAACAAAGUUGCAGAAAUAUUAAAUAAAACAGAAAACAGAAAAUAAAUAAAGGGAGAAGCUUACCUGGGCUCCUCCCUGUUCAGCCCAGCCAGCUGGCCGGCCCAGCCCAGCACUGUAGCUCCCCGUCGUCUUCCUCCCCACGCCCCGAAGCUGCUGCGUGCUCGCGCGCGCGCGGCCGCGCGGCCACCUCCUGCUUGCCGACGCCCCCCUGGCCGCGUGGACGACGCCCGUAGCCGUCCCGAUCCCCCCUGCUCUCGCUCACUCUCCCCCGUUUCUCCCUCGCUCUCUCUCGCUCUCGGCCGAACACCACCGUUGCCGCCGUCCGCCGUAGCCACUGACUCCGGCCACCCCUCGCUUCCCCGAGUAGCUCAGAAGCUCCGCCUCGACUCCCUCUUCCUCCCCACCGCUCCACGAGUCCCCGGAAGCCCUGCAUCGCCGCCACGUCGCCGUUCCCCUCUUCGGACUCCGACCACCGUCGCCGACGAAUUCGCCGUCUCCAGCGCGUCCCCGAGCCCGCUUCGACGCCCACUGCAACCGCGGUGAGCCCCCGAGCCGUUUCCCCCUCUCCUUCCCCUCGUUCCCUCACCGUAGCUGCAUCCCCACCUCGGCCGAACCUCCGCCGUCGCCAAGCUCGCCGUCGACGCAGCUCCGGUGACCAUUUGGUCACCCCGGCGAGUCCAACGCGUUCACAGAACCCAGUAGAGCAUCCCUAGCGCCUCACCUUGCUCGACUUCGAGCUCCAGCACCACUCCCGUGCACGACCGAACCCCGGCGGCCGCAUCCGAGCUCGCCGCCGUCGACUCCGGCCACCCCGACCCCAACGGACUCCGCCAAGAGCCGCGGGUCGUCCUCAGCUUCACUCCGGUGGUCGCCACGUUCCAUUUGGUGGCCGAAACGACCAAAACCACUAUCGCCGCCGCACUGUUGGUCGCCGCCGGCCAGAACUCCGGCGAGCUGACGUGGCCUAGUUGAUUAACCACUAAUCCAUCACCUACUGACGCUGACAAGUGGGCCCCAGGGGUUAGUCAAAGCUAACCAGCCCGGGGUCAACGCGGGAUUAGCACCUGGUCACUGACGUGUGGACCCCACAUGUCAGGUUUGACCCGAGCCAGCCCUGUUGACCUGCUGAUGUCAUCAUGAUGUCAGGCUGACGCAGUAAAUGAUAUUUCUGGAUUUAAUUAAAUCAGGAAAUUCCAGAAUAUUAUUUAAACUUCAAAAAUUCAUAACUUUUAUUCUGUAACUCCAAAUUGGACAAAUAAUAUAUGAAAAAUGAUCAGAAAAAUCCAAUCUAUCCAUCUGUACUAUUUUCAUGCAUGAUCAAACAAGUUAACUUGAUGUUUCAAUCAGAACAAGAAAAGGCACCUUAAAAGGCCAUAUUUGAAUUUGGAAUUUGAAUCUUUGAUUCAAAUUUGCUCAAACACUUCUGGCUUUAGUUGCAUUAGCCUAACACACUCAUAUUGCCAUGUUUCAUGCAUGCAUCAUAUUGUUGCACAUUGUUUGGUGAUGCCUGUGUAUCGUUAUCCUUUGCGACAGGAUCUGUCCCCGAGGAGUACCGUGAUUACCCUAACGAGGAAUCGUAUCCGUGCAACGAACCAUCAGGCAAGCAACCAACCAUUUGACCAUAUCGAUACAAUCCCAUGUUCUCGCUCCUGCUCUCUUUUACUGCAUUAAGACAACGCGAUUCAAACUGCUGUGUGCUACGGUAGUUGAACCCAUUUCCUCUGCAUGACCUGUCAUUGCCACAGUAACUAGAUGAAAUCCACUAGCAUGUGUAGGAGUUGAUUGAGCCCUAUGUAUGUGUUGUUCCUACCUUGCUAUGCCUGCUAUGCUUAGAGUCGUGUCAGGUCUGGUUCAUCUGGGUGAUGGACUAGAGUGAAAUGAUUAUGUCGGUAAUGAGAGUGGCGUGGUGAACACGAUUUGGUAAAGGUAUCGAUGAGAGGCCAUGUAGGAGUACAUGGUGGGUUGUUUCAUUGAAGCCGACCUUAAGCACUGAGAUCUGUAUGUGUGAUUUAAGAAUCAGCUACUACCAUGCAUUGGGCCCGAAACCAAUGGACCCUCUCGACUUCUUAUUCACCCUAGUUCUCCGUCCAGGAGUUGCAAGUAGUUUCUGGUGUUUGUAGCCUACUGGAGGCCGUGGACAGCGCUGACCGUAGGGGUGGGCUGUGAUGCGGUAGGUACGUGGCACGGUGUACCGAAUACCCGUUAGGUAUCUCGGGAACCCUGUUCACAUCGUUCGGGGCCGUAUGGGAAACCUCGGCCGGACUCCCUGCGGAUGGAACCUGAAUAGGCGAUAAACCUGGACUGGAGGCUUAGGUGAUUAGGUAGGUUGUGGCCGACACCCACGUUGGGCUUCCGCUUGAAGGUUGCCGAGUACAUGUCGUGUAAGCGACGGUAAGAGGUGAGAGCGUGUAUGAAGAAGUACACCCCUACAGGGUUAUCAUGAUCUAUUCGAAUAGCCGCGUCCGCGGUAAAGUACUACUUGGUUGCCUGUACAGUUCAUAGACAAGUAAAUGGAAACUGUUAAAAGCCUCAAGAUAAGUGUGAGUGCUGAGGAUGGCUCUUCCGUAGGAAGACGGAGGUGGAUCCUCGGUAGUGUAUUGAAGUGGUGAGUAGUGGACUCGUGUGCGCAAAACUAUUUCAAGUUGGAGUAUCGUAGGAUAGUCUAGCCAAGAGUCAAAGCUGGCUUGCUGCAAUAACUCCACCGACCCUUCUUGAUACUAUGCAUGUAUGUAGGAUCUGAUGUAAGUCUUGCUGAGUACCUUUGUACUCAUGUUGCUAUAAUCUACAUUUUUACAGAAGACGCUGCAACCCCUUCUGAUGGGUUCUAUGUAGACGUUGACAUCAACGAGUAGGCUAAAGACCCAGGUGGUGACCCUGAGCUUGUGAUGGACCACGUAGUAUAGUUAGGCUUCCAAGCCUCUUUUAUUUUACUAGUUGUCUGUACCCAGACAAAGUACUUCCGCUGUUGGUUUGUAUGACUGUAUGACUUGUAUGUGGGUCGUGAGACCCGUACCUGUGUGUAUGACAUGUAUGGCUCCCUGAGCCUUAAAUAAAGUACUUGUGUCAUAGAGUCAUGUUGUGAUGCUUCGUUGUAUUUGCACAUAUCGAGCAUAUUGUGUGUAUGAUUGAAAUGCUUGGUAUGUGUGGGAUCUGACUAUCUAGUUGUUUAUCUUUAGUAGCCUCUCUUACCGGGAAAUGUCUCCUAGUGUUACCGCUGAGCCAUGGUAGCUUGCUACUGCUCUGGAACACUUAGGCUGGCCGGCAUGUGUCCUUCUUCGUUCCUGUGUCUGUCCCUUCGGGGAAAUGUCACGCUUUGAGUACCGGAGUCCUGUUAGCCCGCUACAGCCCGGUUUACCGGAGUCCUGCUAGCCCAGUGCUACAGCCCGGACCCACUUGCUGAUGACCGACACGUUCGAAGCUGGGUCAUGGAUGCCUGUCCCUGUAAGUCUGUGCCGCUUUGGGUUUACGACUAGUCAUGUCAGCCCGGGCUCUUUAUCAUAUGGAUGCUAGCGACACUAUCAUAUACGUGAGCCAAAAGGCGCAAACGGUCCCGGGCAAAGGUAAGGCGACACCCGUGGGAAUACCGUGCGUGAGGCCGCAAAGUGAUAUGAGGUGUUACCGGCUAGAUCGAUGUGACAUCGAGUCGGGGUCCUGACAUGGAGGGCGUAGUAGGCAUCCUUCUGACCGCCAGGCGGCUGCUUGAGGCAGCAGAACUUAGUAUUGUGGGCAAACACGUGCUUGCCGUACCUACGAACUGGCCUGGUGAAGGUGCCUCCAGAUUUGGCAUAGCCGGGGAGAACAUCAUCAAGAACUUUCUUGAUAUUUGUGUAGACCGUCUUGGAGUCACGGUUCGGGUCGAAAUAUGUGGCCAUGGAAUAUUUCGGGCUUAAGAGGAUGAGUGUGCAAUGUGUGUCACUGCACAGAACACGGAAUGUUAGAAAAAAAGAACGAUCGAAAUCUAAGAAAUCAUAUGUUACGGGGCGGUUAAGGGAUGACUUACUCGGGAAAGUAAGCCACGAGGAAGUUAUCCUUAUCUAGGUUUGCCAGAAUGACACCUUCGAGGUGUGAACUCGCGACUUGGCGGUCCCCAGCGCUGCCCAAGAGCUUGGCACGCAUGUAGAAGGGGCCGAGUAUCACGAUGUCCGGGGUCUUGUCUCUAAUGAUCCGCAUCUCCAUACUCAGCGAAAAUAGCCGAACGAAGGUGUAGUGCAGCGGAUGAAGGUUAAACAUAGCAAAGAUGUCAUCAAACCGCAGGACGAUCGUACCCCCGAUGGUGCCAUCCAGAAAGCCCUUGCCCUCUGGCACCUUGGCCACGAAAACCGGGUAUGCCACAUCAUUCUCUCUGAGACGUCGCUUCUCCAAAGAAAGAACACUGUCAUGCAGACUCCGCAUAGCACCGGUUGCAGCAUUGAGCAUAUUUGUCGGUAGCAUCGCCCUACCCACCACAUGCACCCUCCUCGAGAUAUCCUUAGGUGAAGGUGGCCCGUCCUGAGCACGGAUCGUACUCGGUGCCGUCUGGCUCACACCCUUGUUACUCUUUCUUUUUCGUCCCUUCUUAUUCUAUUGUAAUGGGACCGAGUUCUGCUCACAGACCGCCUUCUUGAGUGUGUUGGGGCUGAUAAUAUUUGGCACCUCGGCUAUCUGAGGCUCGGUGAAGUCGGCAGCUGGAGGCAUCUCCUGAGAACUGAACGCCAGACGACGCCUGUUGCAACUGGGUUUCUCCACCGUACCAGCUAGACCGCGGUCGUCUUGGUUGGGUUCUUGAGAAAGAGGACCGCAUAAUUCGUCAUCGUACCCAUGUUCGGCAAAGUACUUAUCGAUGUUCCUAAAUGUACGGCCGUCGUCGUUGUCGUCGUCGUCCAGAUCCUGUGCCAUAUGCAUGUUCAGAUCCUGUGCCAUAGGGAUGUCCGGUAGCGUUGCGGCGGUCUUGCCAUGGCUUGGCGCCGGCACGACUGGCGGUGUUGUCUUUGGGGUGGUGCCCCCCGCCCCCAAACGAAUUUGGCUCUUCGGCCAAAGCAGGGGCCAGCUUAGGCAGGCGCUAAGGGUCAUCUGAUCAUCUUCGUCGGCCCCGGUGGGUUGAAUCGGAGGUAACAACUCAUCGCAGCCUGGCAGCACCCGAACCAGUUGAACCCUAUACACGGUGGGUGGCAUCGGUUUACGUUGCCCGGUUGAAUGAUUUUGCCCUUGGCGACAUCGACCAACUCGUCGUUCAUGAAGUGCAGGAGAGUGCACGAAACGUCGGCGGCGCCCUGCGAAAACAUGUAGGGCGUCAGGGAUGCCCAGUCAAAGGCAAGGAGAUGAAGUCCUCAGUCGAGAGGCUUAAUUAGUUACCGUGAUGAUGGCGUCGAGCUCGGCUAAUGUCGAGGCACCGCCAACGGUGGGCGUGCAACUGACAGAGGGGCCGCUUGCUGGCGAGGUGCCGGCCGGCGUACACCCGGGUGCAUUAAGCUCCAAUGCCGGCCGUGCUGGCGUCGGAGACACCAAUACCGCCUCCACCGGGGACACCAAUGGCGCUGCCUGCGCGUUGUGUGAGUUGCUGGCCGCGAAGCUGGGAAUCGGGGGCGGCCCCUGUUGGCCACCCGCAAUCCACGUCGUUAUCCCAUGAAUCAAGGUAGGCAUAAUGCCGGUGAGCGCCGAUCCCAAUUGUUGUUGCACUUGCUCUUGGACAAUCUCCGGAAUCCGCGCCACUUGUGCCUUCAGUGCUUCAAACUCGCGCGACUGGCUUUCCGAGCUAGUCUUUUUCUCCUUUCGCCCACCAGCGGUAUAGUAUGACGACCAUUUCGUGGACAAGCCUUUGCCGGCCACACGACCAGCUGACGACGGCUUAGUGAGCUUGUCCUUGUUUUUCAUUACGUUCAAUGGCCUAUUUAGAGUGCUGUCCCAAGCAGGGGUGCUCUGAGACGACCCCGCACUACUGCUUUCAGUCUCGUUCGCCAGAACAAGCUCAAGCACCCUGGUCUUCAGAUCUGUGAUAAGCUCCUUUGUUAUCGGGUCCUCCUUGUACCGGGCCCUGAUAUAGUUCCUGGUCUGCUGGUCACUGUUGUAUUUCUCGAAGCGGUGUGGUAGGCCUUGCUCGGCAUGCUCCGCGUCCUCCUUGUCCCAUAUAGGCUCCGCCACUCUGUAACCGUUGGGACCGAGUUUGUGUUCCCCUAAGUUCAACUCCCACAUUUCUUUCCCCCACUGACUUGAUUCGGAGGUUGCGGGGCUCUCGCACUUGAUCUUGAACUCCUUGUAGUCCUCUUCGCUGAUCGAAGGAUUUUUUGCCUUGAUCUUCUCAUAACUAUCACCUUUCUCAAUCAUUCUCUUCACCACGCUUCUCCAAGUAGACAGGACCAUGCUCAUCCUUGUGAGGGCGGCACUAUUCACUUUAUUCCCUGAGAGGUGUGUGUUUUCAAAUUCAGCGGGGAACUUGUAUCGUUCGUGCAGCUUCGUGAAGAGGAGGUUGCGCAAAUUCCCUCGGUCCUUAUGCCUAAGGUUCUCGGUGUUGAUCAAGACGGUGCUCCGGAGAAUGCACCCGAGCUGAACCGAGUACCCCUUGAAUAUAUGUUUGGGCUCCGUUGGAUGCCCGUCGGAGUCCACUUGAGUAAAUUCCUCCUUGACGGUGCGGAGCGCGUUCGGGCGCCGGUCCUUCCGUUGCUUCUUCGGUUGGCUGCCAUCUGUGCGUGCGCCACCAUCAUCAGUGGUGGCAUCCUCGGCGGCACCAUCAGUGGUGUCAUCCCCGACGCCACUAGGGGUUGUGUAGUCAGGAUCGGUGUCUUCCGCGGUGUCCUCAUAGAGGUGAGGUUGUUCCUCCAUCUCCUGGGACAGCUCCCAGAAUUGCUUGCUGCCCGAACCGCCGGCCUCAUUAUUGUGGGCCAUGUUUCUCUCUAAAUAGGAAAAAAGUUUGGUCAAAAAGUUGGUUAUUGUGAAGGAACAAGAUCAUGGUCUCAUCAUUUAGGGUUUGUCGACACCGAGGCAUCCUAAAAUCUAAGCUUUUAUCAUUUAGGGUGUGUCGACGCCGAGGCACCCUAAAAGCGUAAGCGUACAUCAUUUAGGUUCUCAUCGACACUGAGGCACCCUAUAGAAGCCAAGGUUUCAUCAUUUAGGGUUUGUCGAUGCCGAGGCACCUUAAAUGCUAAGUUAAGUUUUCAUCAUUUAGGGUUUAUCGAUGCCGAGGCACCCUAGGUUGGGCCUAAUCACUUGGCACUAAUCACUUGGCUCUAUUGCCACCUAUGCAGCAAGAAUGGCGGGGCAGUUGAUCCUACUUAACUAAGUACUAAGAUACCCCGGCCCAUGCAUUAGUCGCAAGUACCCCAUAUGUCCUAUUUUUAGCAAAGUCAUGCUAAAAUUCAUGGGAAAUUUCAGCAUGACCUUUGCUGAAAAUAGGACAUAUGGAGUACCCGAAUUUGCCGGAACGGAAGUUAAUCGACAUUCCGGCAAACUCAAGGGCCUCUCGGGGUACCUGCAAUAUCAUUAUCCCCGCGUAAUGAAGUCGCCAAUGGGUCAUUUUAGAAGAUCACAAGUAGCAUCAUCACAAGUACAACAUCAUCUAUAGCUUUAUAUUAACAAAGCAUCAACACAUAUACAAAAGAUCACUUAUGCCAACAGUAUGGUUUAUAUCAGAUUCAGAGUUAGAAACAGGAAAAACCGGUGCUUCAAAGCCUACUGGACACAAUUUACAUCUAUCAGUACGGGAUGUGCUGACUAAUUUCAAGUGUUCACAGGUGAACUUGUACCAUGGAUGAGCCUAGUGCUUCAUUAGUCAAGUGAACAGAGAUAACAGAGCAUAACACCAUACAUAAAGUGAUGAGCAUACAUACUACUGUCCAAGCAAAUUAACUGAAUAGUAUUGUGUCAAGUUCAGUUUGAAAAUUCAGUUACUGCUUGAGUGAUUUGACACUAAAAUUUACUCCCAAAAAUUACAAUGACUAUAUAUUGACUGCAUAUAUUCAUUGUACAGGACUGAAUUCAGUCAAGAAAACCUGUCAAUUUCUGUUCACUGCAUAUAUUCACUGUACAGGCUGUCAAGUUCUAUUUCAGCUGAAGAAUGACACACUCAACUUCAUUGCUUCAACCACAUGGACAACAGAGCAAAUGUUGGAAGUUGACAAUAUACUUUAGAUUCACACAUGCUCCCCUAAUUAUUUUGUCUGUAUCUUUAGAUUAUCUACUUUAGGCACAAUCAUACACAAUUCUGACUAAUUCAUCACUGUAGACCAGCAUGAAACACACUCCUCCAAAAAAGCCUAAAAUUCCACUAUUAUUGCCUAUAAAAAGGCCUAAUAUCCACUAGUAUUGCCUCUAAAAAAGACUUAAAAGUCCACUAUUGUUGACAAUCAAAAUACGAUCUGAACUAUAAGGAGUUAACUAAAAAAAUGAGUGGUUGUCGGCAUGAGGGAGUAAACUGAUUGUUGGUACAAAAAUAUUGGUUCUGCAACCAUGAAAACAGUCACAAAAGUAAUGCAGUUGGUUUGUGUUGAGUUUUUGCUUUCAGGGAUUGGUUUGUGUUGAGUUGUUAACCUAAAGGUUCGGCAGUUUGAAUCUCCUUUAGCUAGUUUGAAUCCAUGGACUACCCUGCUAGAUUGGGACUGAAGAUAGGUACCUGCUUAUCUUCCUAUUCCGUCACCAACAGUGGCUUUUCCAAGAAUAAUAUCCCUGUAUGAACAUAGGUGAGAGAUUAACUAACUGCCUCAAAGGUAUAAUCAAUGCAUCAUCUCGAAGAAAUAAUGCGAUCGACACGUCAAAACUAUGACAGAAAUGUAAAACUUGAUGGCAACUACGGCAUGGCAAGAAAGAACUCCUAUGUAGUGAUGGCAGAACGUAUGAAUUUGCCGCGGCAAAAUUUGGUUCUCCCUAAGAAAACAAAAUGGAAAAAUUGUGGUGGAACGAAUCUAAAUUUGCCAUUCACUGCAUAUUGGAAAUUGCCCUAGAAUACCCCUACCAGUUCUGAACCAGAUCAAAAACUACAUAUCACAAAAAUACCAUGGUACAGAAUGGUGGUGAAAUUUGCCAUGACAUGUCUACUAGUGCACUAGGUCAUGGCAUGUCAUCUGUACUAGUCUACUGGGUCAUGGGAUGCAAUUUGGGGUGAGAAAACUAAACACAAAAUUCGGUUGUGCCUCUACUGGGUCAUGGCACAUCAAUUUACAGAUAAUCAAACUAACAAAAAUGAAAAAAAGAUGGGGGGUUGAGGAUGUUGCCACCAGCAGUGGAAAAGGAGGAAGGAGGAGGCCCUCCCCAAUCUUGCAACCAUUGACUGCCACAGUCGAGGGGAGGGAGGGAGGGAAUGGGGAAUGGUGGAGAGAGGGAGUGUCGGUGUCAAAACCGACGGAUCUCGGGUAGGGGGUCCCGAACUGUGCGUCUAGGCCGGAUGGUAACAGGAGGCAAGGGACGCGAAGUUUACCCAGGUUCGGGCCCUCUUGAUGGAGGUAAAACCCUACGUCCUGCUUGAUCAAUAUUGAUGAUAUGGGUAGUACAAGAGUAGAUCUACCACGAGAUCGGAGAGGCUAAACCCUAGAAGCUAGCCUAUGGUAUGAUUGUUGUUCUGUAUGUUGUCCUACGGACUAAAACCCUCCGGUUUAUAUAGAUACCGGAGAGGGUUAGGGUUACACAAAGUCGGUUACAAUGGUAGGAGAUCUACAUAUCCGUAUCGCCAAGCUUGCCUUCCAUGCCAAGGAAAGUCCCUUCCGGACACGGGACGAAGUCUUCAAUCUUGUAUGUUCAUAGUCCAGGAGUCCGGCUGAAGGUAUAGUCCGGCCAUCCGGACACCCCCUAAUCCAGGACUCCCUCAGUAGCCCCUGAACCAGGCUUCAAUGACGACGAGUCCGGCGCGCAGAUUGUCUUCGGCAUUGCAAGGCGGGUUCCUCCUCCAAGUACUUCAUAGAAGAUUUUGAACACAAAGAUAGUGUCCGGCUCUGCAAAAUAAGUUUCCACAUAUUGCCAUAGAGAGAAUGAUAUUUAUACAAAUCUAAUUUGCUGACUUAUUCCGUAGUGUGAAGCACCACGGCCAAGCCUUUAUUCGAAUCGUUUUAUUGUCCCACCUCAGCGUGUCAUGCGAGGCGGUUUCCUUGGCAUGUCUUGUUAAAGAAGAUAUCGUGUCCCCUUAUUUUGGGAUUCUUAUCAAUACAGGCGUGGGUAACCCAACCGCCUCUAGGACUCCUAGACUAUAGGAAAGUCCAAACGGCCACGGAGAGGACGCUUGAUAUUCACCCUCUUUAUAAAGGGACAAGGCUUUUACUUUUUCCCCUCCCGUGCUCAAUCGAAUCCUUCCCCCACCUCAAGCUCAAACACCCAAAGUUCAGGUCAGGUGCUCCGAACCUUCAAUCAUGUCCGGAUCUAGCCUUCAAGGCUGAUGGGUGCCUUCCUCCGUCACGGAAGAAGACAUCAAAAAGUUGAGGGAGGCCAAAUAUCUGACCACCGAGGUUUUGCAUCGGCUGCCUGCCCGAGGGCAGGCCGUCCCCUCCCCCGAACCCAACGAGAACGUCGUGUUCGUCUCCCACUUCCUCCGAGGUCUAGGCCUUGCUCUGGAUCCUUUCGUCAGGGGUUUGAUGUUUUAUUACGGGCUAGAUUUCCAUGAUCUAGCUCCGGACUCCUUUCUUCAUAUCACAACAUUUAUUGUCGUGUGUGAGGCCUUCCUCCGGGUUACCCCUCACUUUGGCCUGUGGCUCUAGACCUUUGAAGUAAAGCCGAAGAUGAUAGAGGGGAACAUGCAGCGUGUGGAGGUGCCUCAAUAUGCAAGAUGACGGGAGCUCCAUGGCCCAAAGGUUCCUUUCCAGAUGUGUCUGAAUUGUGGCAACAUGAGUGGUUCUACAUCACGGCUCCUAGAAGUGCCAAGUGGGCGGCCGCCCCUGUUUUCCGCUCGGGCCCUCCACCACAGCUGAUGUGAUGGAUCAGCAGAGGUCUGAGCUGGGGUCCAGCCAAGGACGUGCCUAUACUACAAAGACACAUUCGAGAUCUCUUCAAUAGAGAUUUUAGUUUGGUUGCGGUAAUACAAGUUAUGUUGGUUCAUCAAGUCCAGCCUUGCAAACGCCGGCCCCUUCGCUUGUGGGAGUUCAAUCCCGAGGGACCGCAUGUCAUUCAAAAUUUCCUCGGCCUGACGCACGAGGAGAUGUACAAGUCAUUCUUCGGACCUCAGGUAGAGUGUCCGGAAAUCACCGAGGACGUGGGCCUGAGAAGUAACCGCGCCGCCGAACAGGUAAGGAAUCUUCCGGCCAAACAUACUAUCUCUCAUUUGUUACGAAGUUAUUUUCGAGAGUUCGCUUUUUGACCAGGACUGGCUAACAAAGGCGAAGUUGAUUCGGUGUUCGGCCCCCUCCCUAAGGGUUUGGACAAUCUGGUAUUGGAAAAGAUGCUCCAGGUCACACCUUGCCCAGAGCCCUUGAAGGAAGAUACUGGGGAGGAUAAUACGGGUGGACGCGGGCCCCCAACGCUGCCCAUUCUAACCGAGGGAGCGAGCGUCUCCAUGAAGGAAGAUGACCGGAGGAGCAAAAGGACUGCGCCUGGGGAUUCAGAAGCUGAAGCUUCCAAAUGAGAGAAGAAGUCUCCCACAGAGGGUCCUACCUUGNNNNNNNNNNNNNNNNNNNNNNNNNNNNNNNNNNNNNNNNNNNNNNNNNNNNNNNNNNNNNNNNNNNNNNNNNNNNNNNNNNNNNNNNNNNNNNNNNNNNNNNNNNNNNNNNNNNNNNNNNNNNNNNNNNNNNNNNNNNNNNNNNNNNNNNNNNNNNNNNNNNNNNNNNNNNNNNNNNNNNNNNNNNNNNNNNNNNGUGCUUUUGCCGCACAAAGUCCGCGGGGGGAUCAAUUCUCCAGCGAGUCAUAAGUGACCCGAAAUACUUUAAUAGUACAGGUAUGCCAUCCUUUUCUUCUGAGAAAAUAACCACCGCAUAUAUCUUUGCAGUUCGGACCUUAGCCCCUCUCAAAUGAGCUCGUCUUCGGGGGAUCUUCUUCCAGAGAUGAUGGAGAGCGAAACGCCUCCUCCGGACUCCUCCGCUCCGGAAGCGGGCGACCCCGAAGUGUCGUCGCGGAGGGCCUCUCCGAGUCCGGUGAGGCCAGAAGAUAAUCCCAUUGACCCCCGAAGCUCCCAGUGUCCUGCUCCCGAAGAGAGCGGACAAAAGAGUCCGACACCGUCUGGUGUGCGAUCGGAUGUUCUGAGAGAGUUGGUGGGGUGAGCGGCCAUCUCAGAUGAACACCGUGUGCUGAUGAAUACGGUGAUGGAGAGAAUCUUGUCCGCCGAAAUCGGAUUGCAUGAAGCUUUUAUGAGUCUACUGGCAGGCUUUGAGGUACGUAAAAUAAUGUAUGAUAGUCCUGCACAUGCUAGGUGUGCCCUAUGUAGAUAGUAGCCCCUGAGACUCUGGUUGUCGUCGGAAACGACGAUGAACAGAGGAUCAUAUUCCCAGGUAAUAACCAUACUGCCUCUAUGUGCAGGUGAUGAAAACUCCGGUGGCUGGCCGGACUAGCGAGUUUGCCCAUUUAAAACGGCAGUUGGAUGCGGCAGACGCCGACAUCGAGCUUGUUAACAAAAGGCUUGAUGAGGCACAGGGUAAGUGUCAUUAUCUGGUAAACGCCACAUAGUAAGAGUAGCAUGAUGCCAGUAUCUUUAAUAUGUUGUGACUGUAGAUGGAGCUGCCAUUGUUGAAGCCUUGUAGGCAGAACUUGCCCGAGCCAAGGAACAAGCGAGGUUUGGUAAUGCGGCUGCUUUGAAGGUGGGUGAAGAGUUGAAAGCCGAGAAGGCCGCGCAUGGCGAGAGCCGAGAUAAGAUGGCCAAGAUGGCCAUAGAAUUAAAAGCCGCCGCCGACCGUUGCCAGGUUCUUGAAAAGGAAAACCUAGCGAAGGCACCGGACCUUGAGAAGGCUGCUGCGACGAGAAAAGACAUCCGCUCUGCUAUGAGGGCGAAGAAGGAGGAGCUGCGGGAAGCCGGAGAUAUUGUAGCUGGGAAAUCCUUUAUGCUGCGGAGGAAGUUCGGAGAUCCACGGUAUGCCUCUCUGGAUCGGCUGUGGAGUUCGGAGGAUGUGUACAUGGAUUUGGCGGCGAGCGCUGCCGAUGCGGCCAAGUACUUCCAGGGUCAGACGGACCGUGAAGUGGACCAACUAUUUUGGACACAAUUCCAUUCUCCCGAGCGUCCGCUUUCAUUGACUGACCAAUUAGCCGAAUGGGCCGAACUGAAUAGGUUGUCCGGACUCGCCAUGAGGUCUGUUGUGGAUCAGCUAUGGCCGGAAAGGCCAAAACCGAACAGCUAUUUCAGCUUGGUGCAGCAGUUCCUUGACGUGGUGCCGCGCAUUAAUGCGAUGAAGAGGUCGGCGUGCAUAGAGGGCUCACGGAUGGCUUUUGCCCGUGUUAAAGCAUACUGGGCGGAGAUGGACGCUACCACUGUUGCAGCGCGGGAUUCGGCCAUAGGUCGAAUGGCUGCUGAGCACUACUUUGAAGAUGUUCUUGAGGGUGCUCGUUUGAUAGAGACCCAGUGCUCAAAAAAUAUUGUGUUUGAGUGACAUGUAAUCUCAUUGUAAGCGAAAUGCUUUUAUAAAUUUUUAUAAGGCUAUUUUUAUACUUUUGCCUGAAAGUAAUAUGAUGCCUCCUGGGCGGGCGUUUAUGUAUACAUGUGUAUAACCUGAAAGAUUGCAUCCGUCGGCUUCAACCCCCACGCAUAUAAUGCGGAGGUGCUCGCAAAAAACACAUGUUCACUUAACCCAACGUCUUGGUCCUAUUAAGGAGGUGAUAGCGGAGCGAGCGAGGCAACCGGACUAUAAUGCUUUAGCACUUUCACUUAGCCAUAGGAGUUUGACAGUGGGGCUACUAGAUAGCCCCUGGUGGCUCCGCACUCUCUUGAUCCUGGGGUGCGUACAUGCCUGGCCAGAAAACGGCCCCUCGUUAAGGCGGAGGAAUUCUAACAUUCCAACAGGUCAUCGAGUGGUUGACCAGUCUCACGCUAUAUCAUGACAGUCAGUUUUUGGCUUUCUCUACUGAGGUGCUCGUCCGGAUGAACCAGGGCACAAUCGCAGUAGUUCUCCUGGUGCUACCUUAGCCGGUAAAGCGGAACGUAAGGCACCAAAACACAGGAGCCGGGCAAACCCAACAUUUGACCAAAGACAAUGAUUCAGAGCUGAUGCAUAUAGGACCAAACUCGCGAUGCCGAACACUCCCUAAGGUAUUCGGUCUUUGUGGUAUAAACCGGGCCUAAAUAAUGGCCUUCGUAAGAAGCCCCUUGUGUCCAGGUACGUGCAUUGUUCUAGCGUGGCCACAUGCCAAGACGUUAGCAUCCUUCUCAACGGUGGAUAUGUAUCAAUAAGAGACAGUAAAAAAGGUUUACGCAGGAUCUUAAUCUAAAAAGAAUCCUUGGAGCGGGUCCCUGCUGCACGUCUGCGCCUGUGUCUCCGUUGUGCCGUAUCCUGGACGGGUGUAGCACGAUGAUCGUCUGUAAUAGAGAGGAAUUUAGGUGAAAAAGUUGUCGUGCAAAAAGAUAGUUUUUAAAGAAACUAUAUAUAAUUCAAGAUGAGAAGAAAUUGCCACUUGUCUGCACGCGUUGAGCCCCUUGUAUUGACAAAUAGGGAUGUGACCAUUUAUUCGGUAUAAAUAGCGGUGCCGGACUUGAUUAGUUGUGUCUGAGGUCUUGACGACCUAUUGGAUGCUUUCGCUGGUCCGGGAGCCUUUAGUGUGCGGCUGCCAAGGCAGCCGCACUCUCUUUGGCGCGCAGAGAUUGCUUGAUAUUUCCGUUCACUGAAAUGAUGCCACGUGGACCGGGCACCUUGAGUGUGAGGGAGGCGUAGUGUGGUAUUGCAUUAAAGCGAGCGAAAGCUUCGCGUCCGAGCAGUGCUUGAUAGCCACUUUGGAACGGAGCGAUGUGGAAGGUUAAAUGCUCGUGACGGAUGUUAUCAGGGGAGCCGAAUAUAACUUGUAGUAGGAGGGAGCCCGUACAACGAGCCCCUGGGCCUAGCGUUACUCCUUUAAAGGUAGUAUUGCUAUGGCGAAUUUUUGUUGGGUCUAACCCCAUCCCACGGAUUGUAUCCUGAUAUAUUAGGUUUAGAUUGCUGCCACCAUCCAUUAAGACUCGUGUGAAGUGAUAUCCGCCAAUUACUGGGUCUAAUACCAGGGCAGCCCAUCCUGCGCGUCGGAUACUUGCUGAGUACUCGCGAUGGUCGAAAGUGAUCGGUUGAGACGACCAGUGCCAGGACUUCGCGGUGACAGGCACUUGGGUAUAUUUUCCUGGGAGUGCCGCGUUGUUUUUUUCCUUGAUCACAUGUAACACGUUUACUGUUUUGACUUCUGGUGGAAAUUUCUUUUGUUCGCCAGUGUCUUGCUUGGGAGGCUCGUCCUCGUCUUCCCUUGGUGUAUCCUCCCCCUUUUGUACGGCGUUGAGCUUGCCGGACUGCUUGAAGACCCAACAUUCUCUGUGGGUAUGAUUAGCAGGUUUACCAGGGGUACUAUGGAUCUGACAUACUUGGUCCAGAAUUUUGGUGAGGCUGGACAGUUCAUCCUUGGUGCCUUUAGAGGGCGGCUUUUGACCUGGCCGAGAGCUUUUGAAUCCGACGUUUACUGCCGUGCCCUUCGUGCUAUCUUCAUUAUUCCGGCGUUUGUUAUUGCUGUUGCGCCAUGAUUUCCCGUUUCCAUCUCGAACUUCAGAUGUACUGGGGUCGUUGGUGCUGCAUCUGGCUAGCCAGCUGUCCUCACCCGCGCAAAAGCGGGUCAUGAGCCUUGUUAAUGCGGCCAUCGUUCUCGGCUUAUUUUGGCCGAGGUGUCUGGCAAGCCAUUGGUCACAGAAGCUAUGCUUAAAAUUGCCAAGGCUUCGGCGUCCGGACAGUCGACAAUCUGGUUCUUUUUAGUAAGAAACUUGUUCCAAAGCUUUCGGGCUGACUCUCCGGGCUGUUGAGUUAUAUGACUCAAAUCGUCCGCAUUCGGAGGUCAGACAUAAGUCCCUUGAAAAUUUGCCCGAAAGGCGUCUUCGAGCUCUUCCCCACUUCCAAUGGAGCUUUCGGGGAGGCCUUUAAGCCAGUGACGAGCUGGCCCUUUGAGCUUGAGGGGUAAGUACUUGAUGGCGUGGAUAUCAUCUCCUCGAGCCAUAUGGAUAUGAAGGAUGUAGUCCUCAAUCCAGACCCCAGGGUCUGUUGUUCCGUCGUAUGUCUCUAUGUUUACGGGUUUGAAUCCCUCUGGAAAUUCAUGGUCUAGCACCUCAUCGGUGAAACAUAGGGGGUGUGCGGCACCCCUGUAGCUGGGUGUACCGCGUUGUUCGGAUGUGUGUUGUGUUGCAUUGUAUGCUGGGGCGCGCUUGCGUGGUCCAUAGAUGGAUCUUGUUGCUCCGUCCUUUGGGUGCGAGCCCUCGCAUGGGCGCGUGUUGUAUUGUGAGUGGCGUUGUAUGCCGCUCUGUGUUGGUAGAGGGGUCGUCUAUCCGGCCGGGUGGCUGCUUUGAUAUUUGGUUGUGGGGGGUCUGAGGCCUCCUCAUCGAAUUCAGGUAGCAGCUUCCGCUUUGGGUGGCUCUUGGAGGGGUGAUUGUCGCCGUACCUUGCUGCUGUGUUGAGUAUUUUACUCCAUCUGAUUUGGAGUGUGUCUUGCACAGCCUUGAGCCUUUGCUUCUACUUUUUAAGACUCCUCGCAGUGGCAACAAGCCUUUUACGGGCAUUCUGCUGCUCCGGGUGCCUGUCCGGUGUUAUGUCGUCCGGACCAUUAUCCUUGAUAGAAUUUGUUUGUUCGGUUUGAUUAUCCGGAUUGCCGUUGUCCGACAGCGAUUCGCCCUGCUCCAGCGCUGGGUCUGUGUGAUCGUUAUUUCUGUCGAGGCGGGAUUUGGGGCGGCGCUUGCAUCGCCGCUUUGACUGCUUCUCGAGGGAACAAGCCUUCGGUGCGUCCUUCCGCUCCUCGUCGUCAUCUUUUGGUGCGCCCACCAUGUAUACGUCAUAUGACGAGGUGGCUUUCCAGGGCCCAAUAGACGCUGGUUCUUCAUCGUCUCUUUCAUCAGCGUCCAUACCUUCGAUGUCUUCGGAGUCGAAGUCGAGCAUGUCGGUUAAAUCGUCGACAGUGGCUACAAAGUGGGUGGUGGGUGGGCUUUGAAUUUCUUCAUUGUCCGUAUCCCAACCUUGCUGACCGUAGUCCGGCCAGGGCUCUCCUGAUAAAGAGAGAGAAUUUAGUGUCUUCAGAAUAUCGCCGAAAGGCGAGUGCUGAAAGAUGUCCGCGGUAGUAAACUCCAUGAUCGGCGCCCAAUCUGAUUCGAUUGGCAGGGGCGCAGAGGGUUCAGAGUCCGGCUCCUUGGAGUCACGAGUCUCGCGGAGCGCAGGGCUGGUGUUCGGCUCGAUCGCUAUUGGGAUCGCAGCCCCCGAGGAGGCGUCCAACCACCCAUCCUCGAUCGGCGUAGUUUUCUCCGAAUUAAGGGUCGAAGCCGAUGUGGGUGCGGCCUCCAAGGCACUGUUCGACGGCAGAGCUAUAUCAUGCUCAUCGUGACAGUGCGGCGCGCUCAGCGGUGGCUCGAAUCCGUCGAAGAUCAAGUCCCCGCGGAUGUCAUCCGUGUAGUUUAAACUUCCAAAUCUGACCUGACGGCCAGGGGCAUAGCUUUCGAUCUGCUCCAGAUGGCCAAGUGAAUUGGCCCGCAGUGCGAAGCCGCCGAAGACGAAGAUCUGUCCAGGGAGGAAGGUCUCACCCUGGACUGCAUCGCUAUUGAUGAUCGUAGGAGCCAUCAAGCCUAACGGCGACGACACAGAGGAACUCUCAAUGAAAGCACCAAUGUCGGUGUCAAAACCGGCGGAUCUCGGGUAGGGGGUCCCGAACUGUGCGUCUAGGUCGGAUGGUAACAGGAGGCAAGGGACACGAAGUUUACCCAGGUUCGGGCCCUCUCGAUGGAGGUAAAACCCUACGUCCUGCUUGAUUAAUAUUGAUGAUAUGGGUAGUACAAGAGUAGAUCUACCACGAGAUCGGAGAGGCUAAACCCUAGAAGCUAGCCUAUGGUAUGAUUGUUGUUCUGUAUUUUUUCCUACGGACUAAAACUGUAGGAUCUAGAAGUAGAUGUGUCUAGAGGGGGGUGAUUAGACACUUCAUGCUAAAGUUGCAAUUUUUUAAGCUUUUUCGGUUUAAGUGGAGUUUAGGCAUAAUUUCAACAUUCACAAUACAUAUCAAGCAAGCAUGCAAAGAGUGUAUAGGCAGCGGAAAGUAAAGCAUGCAACUUGCAAGAAUGUAAAGGGAAGGGUUUGGAGAAUUCAAAUGUAAUUGGAGACACGGAUGUUUUUCCCAUGGUUCGGGUAGGUGGUGCUAUCCUACAUCCACGUUGAUGGAGACUUCAACCCACGAUGGGUAACGGUCACGCGAGUCCACGGAGGGCUCAACCCACGAAGGGUCCACGAAGAAGCAACCUUGUCUAUCCCACCAUGGCCAUCGCCCACGAAGGACUUGCCUCACUAGCGGUAGAUCUUCACGAAGUAGGCGAUCUCCUUGCCCUUACAAACUCCUUGGUUCAACUCCACAAUCUUGUCGGAGGCUCCCAAGUGACACCUAGCCAAUCUAGGAGACACCACUCUCCAAGAAGUAACAAAUGGUGUGUAGAUGAUGAACUCCUUGCUCUUGUGCUUCAAAUGAUAGUCUCCCCAACACUCAACUCUCUCUCAUAGGAUUUGGAUCUGGUGGAGAGAAGGUUUGAGUGGAAAGCAACUUGGGGAAGGCUAGAGAUCAUGAUUCAUAUGGUAGGAAUGGAAUAUCUUGGUCUCAACACAUGAGUAGGUAGUUCUUUCUCAGAACAUAUGAGUUGGAAGUGUAGAUGUGUUCUGAUGGCUCUCUCUUCGAAUGAAGAGGAGGUGGAGGGGUAUUUAUAGCCUCCACACGAAAUCCAACCGUUACAUACAAUUUACCAAUCUCGGUGGGACCGAAUCAAAAAACUCGGUCGGACCGAAAUAGUAAACCUAGUGACCGUUAGUGAUUUUUGGUGGGACCGACUGGAUCAACUCGGUGGGACCGAUGUGCUAGGGUUAGGGUAAAUCCAAAACUCGGUUUGACCGAUUACUCAAACUCGGUGGGACCGAUUUGGGUAAUAAGCGAAACAGAGAGUUGGCCAAGCAAACUCGGUGGAACCGAUUGCACAUCUCGGUGGGACCGAAGAUAUUGCAACAGGUAACAGAGAGUUUGCAAGCCCAUCUCGGUGAGAAUGAGAUCCCAUCGGGGAGAAUGAAAUGGUUAGGGUUUCUGGCAGUGGCUAUGACAAGUGAAAAUCGGUGGCGCCGGAUAGAAAGAAUCGGUAGGACCGAGUUUGGCUUAGGGUUUAGGUCAUAUGUGGAUAUGGGAAAGUAGCUGAGGAUUUUGGAGCAUAUCAUUAAGCACUUGAGCAAGAGGCUCAUUAAGCAACACCUCAUCCCUCCUUGAUAGUAUUGGCUUUUCCUAUGGACUCAAUGUGAUCUUGGAUCACUAAAAUGUAAAAUGAAGAGUCUUGAGCUUUAAGCUUUAGCCAAUCCUUUGUCCUUAGCAUCUUGGAGAACUUCCCACAACCUUUAGUCCAUGCCACUCCAUUGUUGAACUUAUCUGAAACAUACUAGAUAGAAACGUUAGUCCAACAAGAGAUAUGUUGUCAUUAAUUACCAAAACCACCUAGGGAGCACUUGUGCUUUCAAUCUCCCCCUUUUUGGUAAUUGAUGGCAACAUUCAUCAAAGCUUUAGAUAAAGAUAUAGAGAAUAGCAAGCAAAGCUUUGGAAGGACAUGUAACAAGCAUAGGCUCCCCCUACAUGUAUGCACUCAUGUGAAUAUGAAAUAUAGAGGCAUGUGAGAGCAUAACCAUGACUGAGUAGGCAAUGUGUUACAUGUAUCUUGGCCAUAUGCAUCAGAGCAAAAGAUUAUCAAGGAAAAUACCUUCAUGCUCAUGAGUCCUUCUUGCAAACAGUAUGUACAUAAGCAAGAAUUCCUCAUUCUCAUGAUUUUGAUGCAUACACUUACCUUGUAGUCUUUGGUUGGCUUAGGAUGGAAUGAACCUGCACAAACAAAGUUUGAAAACACAGGUACAUCCACUAGCCAGAGCAAACAAAAGAAACCACAAGAAAACCAAGACUGGGAUGACAUGUAGAGAGUGAGUACUAGGUACCACAUUGGAAUAGACAUGUCCCCAAGAGUAAAGAUAUGCAAUGAAUUUGACUGAUUUCUUUCCCUUAGGUGUCUUGCUCCCCCUGAAUCUUACAUGGGAUAUUGGGAGAAGAUAGGGAACAGAAAAUCAGAGCUGACAGAUACAAAUGGAUAGAACUUAAUGCAAACAUGUCUACAUGUGACAUCUCUCCUCUUGAACAUCAAGCAUCUGGGACAUCUGGGAUCCUUGAGUAUUCUCUCCCCCUGGAAAUCUCUUUCUCCCCUUUAAUACUUUCUCUCUUGUAGGUUUGGUCCUUGAGACUUUCUCUCCCUCUUGAGCUUUGAUGUGAUCUCUCUCUCCCCCUUUGACAUCAAUUUCCAAGAAGGGCUUUCUGGAAUCCGUCGUAUAGGUUUGGUCCUUGAGACUCAGCAUAAAGCAAUGGAUAAAACUGUGAUGCUUGUAGAGGACAAGAUUCAUUGAGUAGAGCUGGAUCAGAAGAAAUACAGAACAAGUGGCAAACUGUUUUUCCUGUUGCGAAGUCAGUGGCACCGAGUGGCAUGUUUCGGUGGUACCGAAAAUAUUCGGUUGGACCGAAAAUUACAAGUCGGUGAAACUGAGUUCACACAGAGAAAAACACUUGUCACCUAAGCUCACUAGACAUGUAGGAUCUCACAAAGAUUUGCAAUGAAUUUGACUGAAGGAUUUGCAAGGAAUUGAAUGCAGAAAAUGCAGAACAAAAAAAAAA
This 120802-nucleotide long non-coding RNA is filed under the name Triticum aestivum (bread wheat). RNAcentral's name for it is "long non-coding RNA (TAES_LNC006313)". Lineage: Eukaryota; Viridiplantae; Streptophyta; Magnoliopsida; Poales; Poaceae. The record is from RNAcentral.